Molecule: long non-coding RNA, 108832 nt
Filed under: Citrus x clementina
Lineage: Eukaryota; Viridiplantae; Streptophyta; Magnoliopsida; Sapindales; Rutaceae
Description: Citrus clementina (C. clementina) long non-coding RNA (CCLE_LNC002459)
Rfam family: Plant small nucleolar RNA R71 (bases 31109-31215)
Source: RNAcentral
UACCUUGAGAAACAGGAUAGCCAUGUUGUCUAAGUAGUCUGAAUUCAAGGGAGGUUGCAUACAGAUUUUCUUUUCUCCAAACAUAAUCGUUAUUACUGUUGUAGAUAUCAUGCAAUAUGUUCCGAAUCUCAGUCUCAAAAUGAUAAGCCAAUCCAAGUCUUUGCAAGCUGUCAAUCAGCUCCAACUGAUUCAGAGGCUCGGUUACAUCCUUAAUCGUUGUCAUUACUUUUCCCUUCAGCUCUUCUUCUCGUCUUUUGUAUGUUUCAUCCUGUACAUGCACAGCAUUUAGUUUUUAGUUAUUCAUGGUCCCAGUUUGAAAUCAACAAAGGAAAUUAAUACGUAAUAAUAAUGAUGAAUACCGUAUAGUUGCUAUUCAAUGACUGCAAAAAAUCAUGGUCCCAAAUUGAAGGUUGGUAGUUUGCUGAUCUCCUAUCAACUGUCAAAUUAUCAUAUUUGGCGCUGACAAGGCAUUGGACUGGCUUAUUUUUUGCCAUGAUUCUGAUGGCUGCUUUAUUUGUUGCAAGAGGAAGACAUUUGAAACCAUUUACAGAGGUAACCAAGGUUGAGGGAUUAAUGCAAGAAGACAUUGGAUGUACAGAUGUAGUGUAAGCUAGCUUACAGUUGUACUUGGCAAAGAUUCUCAAAUUAAUCUAUGGUCUGUGGUGAUGUACGAGGUUAUAUAUAUAUAGGCAGAGGAGAAGCUCAUGUGAUUUAUUUUUCUUACUCAUUUUUUCUGAGUUUUGAAAGCGUUUAAUUUUUAAGUCUUAAUAGUACAAAGAUAUUUUAUUAAUUUGGGGGGGGGGGGGGGGGGGGGAAUACAUCGUAUUGGAGGUGUAUUUGAUUAACUCAUGUGCAUAACUCAAUUGGUGGGACAAACAAUGUCUUAAGAAAAGCGAAAUUCGUAAUGUGCCUCGAAGUACACAUCCAUUUUCUAUAGUUUACCUAUUACUAUUAUUUUUGUAACACCCUAGGCGAAUCCCACAUCAACAGAACACGGGAGAAAUGCUAGUUUUAUAAGAGGUGAUUCACAUCUUAAUUGGCAAGAUACGUUUGGGCUGUAUGGGCGCCUCAAGAACAAAACCGUGCGGGCUUUGUUAAGGCCCAAAGCGAACAAUAUCUUGACAAGUCUGAAUUUGGUCAUGACAGAUGAUAUCAGAGUGGCUCCGCAUGUCCUCUUGAGCGAUGGUGGGACAAACCUCAGCGAGUACUCUGAGUCAUUAAGGGGGGUGUAUGUAAUAACACCCUAGGCGAAUCUCACAUCGGCAAACCACGGGAGAGAUGUUGGGUUUAUAAAAUGUGAUCCACACCUUAAUUGGUAAGACAUGUUUUAGGGUGUAUGGGUGCCCCAGGAACAAAACCGUGCGGGUCUUUUUAAAGCUCAAAGCGGAUAAUAUCUUACCAGGUUUGGGUUGGGUCAUGACAAUUUUCUUGUACCUACAAAGUUAUAAACACAUUAAUUUAUUAAAAUAAAGUUCCACCUUUAUUAUUGCAAUUCUCUACAUUUAUUAUUCCCCACAAAUAUAUAUCUCGGCACUUAGUAGAUAGAUUAUUUUAUUAUAACUAUCAAUAGAUUUUACUUGCAUAAUAGAUAUUGAUGAAAUUAUAUAGAGUAAUUUCGUCCAAUUAUAUUAAUCGUUUAUGAAUUUCAUCACAAAUUUAUAUGUGGCCAAUACCGUGCAAGUGAAAAUUAUUUUGAGUUUUAUCCACCCGUUUACCAUUUCAAUAUAUAAAACUCUCCUAUUGCUUUAAAGUGUCAUUUUUUAUUUUAAACAAGUCUCAGCCAAAGAUUAAAUUGUCAUCUGUUCGCAAGAUAUUCAGCACAACACUUGAGCGAAAUUUCUUCAUCCUUGAGCGGAAAAUACAAAGAAACACAUAGUUCGCAAUUUUAGUAGCAAAAUUAAUAUUUUGUUCCAUAUGGGGUAAAUCUUCAGGAGGCCCAACUUCAAACUUAAAAUGUUAAUUUUAAGUUAUUAUGUAGUCGUUAGGAAUUUCGGAAUUUGAGAAUUUUGAUUGUUGCUGCAGGCUGCAGCGAUUUUGUCAUGGCGACUUUGAUUCAUAAUUGAAGUACUGUUGCAAGUAAAACUAAAAAAAUAAUUAACAAAAUAAAAAAAAAUCGAGUUACUUGAUUUUAUAUGUAUAAAGUUUAUAUAUCAAGUGCUUAGGGGUCGAAUCAGUCUUCUUAUACCUAAUUUUUAAUAUUUCACUUCGAAACCUCAAAAUUUUUCAAAGCUCGUAGGGUCACAAUCCCCGCUAGGAGUGGGCAAAUUUGUGUUCAGAUCAACUUGUUUGAGUUUUGGGUUGAUUAGGUUAGAAUAUUCAGAUUGGAUUGGAUUAGAUCAAAAUCAAAAAGUAUGAGAGAAAUUAAUUGACUUCUCCCAAGAAAAAUACAUACUGAUGAUUGAUAUAUAACCAUUAAAUAAUAAAUAUGUUAGACUUACUUUAUUUUUUAGCCCUAAAUAAUAAAAAGGUUUAUUAUUGCUUGACUUUUCGAGUUUAAAAUUUGAAUGUCAAAUUAGAUAAAAAGUUAAAAAAUUAUUUUGAGUUUUAUCCACCCGUUUACCAUUUUAAUAUAUAAAAGUCUCCUAUUGCUUUAAAGUGUCAUUUUUUAUUUUAAACGAGUAACAGCUUUGUCCUGCUUCAUGUGCCUCCGCUCUGCAUCUUCCAGCACAGCUUGAAUGUCUUGAAGAUUGGUAGUAAGCUUUCCCACUUCUUGUUCGACACUCGUCACAAGCCUCCACUUUUCUUUCACCUGAUCUUGAGCAAUGGAAUUCAGCUGGUCCAAGAGAGAGGAAACGAUCGCAUGAGCCAUUCUGAUAUUAGAUCAAAUGGUAAAUGCUGCAAUUGCUUUUCUUGCUAAAAUGCUCAGAGGAAAGUAGCUUUUAUGUAUUCUGUGAGAAUGUUCAUUCAAGCAUGUUUGCAUAUUCUUCUUAUAGCAUAGGAGAUAUUUAAUUUUUAUCCUUGAGUCAAUGCCAAUGUGAACGUUCUUUUGUGCUGCAAAUUAAAGGAGUCCCCACACAUGGGUUCUUUUGUGCACGACAAGAUGCACAUGGGUUCACAGCAUCAACCCAAUGUGAACGUUCUGGGGCUAGCUUUCUGAUCCACCACGUCAAUAAUUGUACAGCAUCUGCCCUGUUUCUCUGAUUCAUAAUAAUUAUUCAGAGUACUCAGCAUCUGCUCCACCACGUCAAUAAUUGUACAGCAUCUGCCCCGUUUCUAUGAUUCAUAAUAAUUAUUCAGACUACUCAGCAUCAGCUCCUGUAAAAUUUCUUAUGUACUAAGCAACAAAAUAUUUGUGAACUACAACAAAAGGCUUAGAUCAAUCCACCGAUGAACCUUCUGAAGUUAUAUGUAAUCUAUUAAUUGUUGAUCUAGAAUAGUCUUAGUGGAUAGAUUUUUUUUUAUUAUAAAUAUCAAUAAAUUUUUUAUCGUCUAAUAGAUAUUGAUGAAAUUGUAUAGAGUAAUUUCGCCCAAUCAUAUUAAUCCAUUAUGAAUUUCAGCACAAAUUUGUAUGUGGUGUGGACCGUUCAAGUGAAAUUUCAGAUAAAAUCAUCCCCUGACAAUUUAUUUAUUAUAUGUUUUCUGAUAAAAUAAUGUUAAUUAGUAAUUUAUUACAUCUGCAAUUAGCUAGAUACUUUGUUUGAGAAAAAAAAAUAAAAUCAGUUUCACAAUGAUUUUAAUUGCAAUAAAUAUCAUGCUGUGGUCUAUGACUUAUCUGAUAUUACAGAGAAAAUAUGUGAAAGAUAACUAAGUAAUAAAUCCAUUACGAAUUUCAUCACAAAUGAAAUUUAUUUAUUAUAUUUUUCAAUUUAACCUUAACGUUUGGACCAUUUUUUUUCUAUAUGGAUUAUGGCCGACAACGUUUGUUAUCAGCAAAAGCCAUUUGUUAUCUUGUCAAAAUUUGCUACAACACCACCAUUUUCUUACAUUUUGGCUUCUUCAAUGUUAAAGCCGUGUGCUGCCAAUUUUACUUCUUUAAAGAUGCUGCAGCCCUCUUUGAUUUUUCUUUGUUCAAAAUGGGCUGCUUUUAGAAUUUAGCAGUUACUUUUCUUGACAUUAAAUAGAUAGAACACUCUAGCACGUAGUUCUAAUCAUGUUGCAGAUAGAACACUCAAACACGUUGUUAUAAUCAUGUUGCCUUGACCUUAUUUUCUUAAAGCAUGUUGACAAAUACAAUAAUCUGCAUUUGGAGGAUGAUUAUGAAGAUAAAAACAAUAGAAAGUAUAAAUGACUAAUAAUAUACAUGACUUUAAGUGACAUGAGAUUUUUAAAACUAAACAAAGCUAACACAAGUAGAUGAUCCUUUCAUUAUAAUAUGUCGCAAAAUAAAAACUAAAUAAUAUUUAUUUCUUUUAUUUUUUUAGUUUAAUUCAUACUUCAGAAUUAUGUUAGGAUCAACCCAUACAAAGAAAAUCUCACAAGUCCUCUGAAGUAAUAAGCAACAUACAUAUGUGUGUGUGUGUGUAGUACAAUUUAAUAUUAUUUCAACUAGCGAAAUUUAUUGUGGAAGUCAUAAAAAUUAAGAAUGAAGAAAAGGAACCAUGAACCCAAAACAGAACGCAAAAAGUAGUCAUAUUUGUUCAUGAGGGAAUUCUAACAUGCCAAUCCUUGUGUUUAGAAUAAUCAACGAUGUCGAUAUUUCUCUAUAAUGGUCUUACAUUGAACAGAAACGUACGGAAGCAUGUGUUUAAUAAUCAACGAAUCAUACGAGUCAAAGAGUACUGAAAAGAAUACGUAAAAACUCUUUUAAUCCCUAUAUUUUGAGGUUAGUAACGUAUAUUUUUAAGAAUACCUCAAAACUCCCAGCCGUUAAACUAUUGACGCAUCUGCCUUUUUAUUUUUAUUCCUUUUAACUUGCUUCAAUAAUAUUAGCCUUUUACAAUAAUUUUUUUGGAGAGUAAUAAAAAGAAAAAAAAUUAUCAAUUUAAACCUAAAAAUAAUACACACACAUACAUAUACACUAAUUUUUCUAAAAGCUCACAUAUGUAAAAAAAAGUAAUAUUGUAAAAAAAAUUAAAUUACGAACUUUUUUGGACAUUAAUAAAAACAUAAAUAUAUUAACUCCUCAGCAAAAUGUUCCACAUUAAUUUUUUGAGAUUAAAUUGAUAAUUCAAUUUUUUCUUUUUAUUAAUGUAAAAAAAAUAAACAUUAUUGUGAGAGAGUAAUAUGUAAAAGCAAGCUAAAUGGAACAAAAAGUAACGGCAGGGGUUUCAAUAAUUUAACAAUAGAGAUGUUUUGAGGUAUUUCUAAAUAUAUAGUGACAAAAAAGAUGCUAACCUAAAAAUAUAGGAGCUAAACGAGCUUUUAUCCAAAGAGAAUCCAUGUAUAGCCGAUUUUACUAGAAUUUGCAAAUAAAAUGCAAAUACCAUUAGUCUUAUAAAAAACAUGCAACUUUUUAUCAGCAACCUGUAAAAUACCAUUAGAAGAGAUACUUGUACCAUUUCCAUGGGAUCAUCAAUCUCGAAACAAAACAGUUUCUGCGAGGCACCAUAUCAGCAUGUAAAAUGCCGCUUCAUUGACUAGUAUUUGAAAAUGACAAGAAGUGCAUAAGAGAAAUUUUAGAAUACCUCUAAAGUACCAUAUCAUUUAUACAAUAAGUAAAUAAUUUUAUAGUAUAAGUACAUUUAUUUUGAAGAAUCGACAAGUAAUUAAUGGUUAUACAAAAUUUAAAUUCACAUAUCAUAUAUGUAUUAAUUGAUUAUAUUAUCUCUUGGGUGCUACUAAGUUACAGCUGCUGUAACUUAUAGCCCCUUCAAAAUAAUGUAAACAACUGUCAUAGGUGGUAGGACCCGCAUGAUUUUUAAAGGAAUUAUAAAUUAUAGCAGUAGUAACUUAGCAAAAUCUUUAUCUCCUAUGCAUUUUGACUUGCUAAGUAUGAGAAGUCCCCCUGGGAUUCAAGAAGAAGGAAAUGAAGAAUGGGAACGAAAUGAAAUAAGGUCUUUCUGCAAGAUCAUACUUUGUAAUACCCCACCUCGCUGCUUUGACUAAUUUUGACUCGCUUUUUGAUUAUAUAAAAAAAGGAAACUAUAAAUUGUUUAAAGAAGAGGAAGCAUAUUCACACGUGAGAGAGAGAGAAAGUUGCCAAAGCUGACUCGGAAAACCUGACCCAUGAACCAACCCGGCCACCAUUUCUCGUUCCUGGCCACCCCACCAGCAACCGGAGGUACCAAUUAGAAGCUUUAGAACCAAUGGUCAGUUCCCCACCAUCGUUAUCGUUGAAUAACGGCUGGAAAGCCAUCAUUUGAGCCUGCAAAACCUAUAGUAUUUGCCACCUCCAUUCACCGUGAUUUCGCUGGUUUUAGGUGACGCCACCGAAUGGAUUUCGUUCCUCAGGUCACUACCUUCAUUUUUCGACCACCCACAUCACCAAAAAUGGUCAAUUUGCUGCCAAUCGACCACCGGAGUGUUCACAGCUUUGGGAGCUCGAUCUGGUGCCUCUGCCACCACUGUUGGAUUCAACGCUACAUGAAGCUUCUAUCCCGACCUUUCCUGUCACCGUCAUCUGAAUUUCGAUCACCGUUGCUCGAUGAGAGCAUUUUGGUGAUUUUUUAGAAUUUGAGGGUAAUUUCUUAAAUUUUUUAUUUUGUGAAUAUUUAAGUGAUUUCUAAUUUGGAGGAUAAGAAUCUAAGGGUAGUUCAAUAAAUUAUGAUUUUGAGGAUAAUUUAGCAACUUGUGAUUUUGAGAUUUCGGGAACAUUCUAGUAAUUUAAAAUUUUGGUAUUUUGGUAAUUAAUUAUUCAAAUUGAGAUUAAUUGAGGUUAAGUUUAGAGGGUAUUAUAUUGAGGAAUUUGAGAGCAUUAGAGUUUAUGAUUUGAUAUGAUUUUAUCUUAUAUGAGUAUUUUUUAUUGAUUUUAUCUUAUAUGAUUUGAUAUGAUUUUUUAGGUCGGUGAUAUCGAUACAUAUUUGUUACUCGAGGAUGCUAGAAGGUAAGUAAACUAGAUUUCUAAAUGAGUCACAAUAAAUAAUAUGCAUAUGUUUGACAUGUUUGAAAAGCUUAUUUUGAUAUAUGCGGAUAUGGAUUUAUAUGCUCUGCCCAUGUGUUUAUAUGAUGUGUUAAUAGGAUGUAUUGUUAUGUGUUAUGUGUGUUUAUGGACGUGGACAUAUGUCUGUGUGAAUGUUUCAAUGGCAUUAGCACGAAAAUGUAUUAUGUUUUCUGUGAAAUGAGAAAGUGGAUUUUAGCCAAACGAAAUUGGAAGAAAGAAAGUAAGCUUUACAUUAAGUAGUAGCAAUCCUUAUGAAUUUCCGCGAGGUGAUGAAAACCUAGGCCAUACAUCAAACAAAUGUCCAAAACGAAGACAACAAAUAGUCAAUUUGGCAACUAAUGCAGAGGAAAAUGAAAAGCCUAAGGAUGAACCGUAUAAAGACAACGACGACAUAGAAAAGGAGGAAUAGUAGACAUAUUGAGACACAUGAGUAUCACUAGUAACACAACAUUUGUUAUACACACUAAAGAAAGACGAAGACACUCAGAGACACAACAACUUCAAAACAAGGUGCACAAUCAAUGAGAGGGUAUGUAAUAUGAUUAUUGACAGUGAUAGUAGCAAGAAUAUAGUUUCGAAGAUUAUAGUUGACAAGUUACAACUUAAAACUCACAAACAUCCUUCCCCUUAUUGCAUUGGAUGGAUAAGAUAUGUUGGAGAGAUCAAGGUUACUCAACAAUGUUGUAUUCUUUUUUUCUAUCGGAAGAUACAAAGAUGAAGUAAUUUGCGAUCUUCUUGACAUGAAUGCUUGCCAUUUGCUUCUCGGGAGACCCUGGCAAUUUGAUCUUAAUAUGGUACAUCAUGGGAAAGAUAAUACAUACAGGUUCUAUAAAGACAACAAGAAGGUUAUCCUUGCUCCGAUAAAGUCAAAAGUCAAGGGAGCCUAUCUUUUAGUACAAAAGACAUAGCUGAAGUAGAAUCGAUGCCUGAAUAAGUCCAAUCGCUACUCUCAUAAUUUCAAGAUAUCAUGCCUAAAGAGCUUCCUAACAAGUUACCUCCUAUAAGGAUUACCUGUGACUCAAAUUAAAAGAGAACUUGUAAUGGUUUGCCCCUACAAGUCUAUAGUUUUUAAAAGAACCAUACUAAAAAACAAGAAGAAAUUGAAAUUUUGGUACUUUCGAGUUUUAAGAAAAGUUGAUGCAAAGUGCUACACUUUUGCAGUGCAAGAUCAAUUACUCCUUUGUUACAAGCUUUAUCCUCCAUAUUGUCCUUUGUUUUCAGCAAAACUAUGAGUUUUUUUUCAAAGAGGAGGAGACUGAUGUAGGAAGUAUAUACGAUAGAAUAUAUAAAAAAUUAUAGUAUUUGAGUCGAUUUAAUAUUUAAUAGUCUAUUAAGAUUUAUCCUGUUAGAGUAUAAGUUUUCUAGUUUAAUUAGGAAUUACUUUAUAUCUCCUUAUUUAAAGUCAUAUUCCUUUUACUUAUAAGGAAUCAUAAUUUUAUUAGGAUAGGAUAAUCUUAAUUAGUAUAAAUAGGCUUAUUAUGCUUGUUUCUUGACACAAGCUUUUUCAUUAAUAAUAUUUAGUAUUUCUCAAUUGAGAUAUUUUCUCCUUUGUGAGAGCUCACUUUCUUGAGUUUUCAAGAACGUACGCUAGAACUAAAUCUAGUAUCGCUUCCGCCCUGCAUCAUAAAUUAUCAUUAAAUGUAAAAUAAAACAUAAAUUAAUUAAAUAAAGCUUAAGACCUAUAAAUUGAUUGUAAAACAAGUAAAUUAGCAUAGGAAUGGUAAAAUGAUGUAUGAUUGAUAAACAAAAUAUAAACUUACAAAUAUUACACAAAACUUGCACUACAAGAAAACUGACAAUAGAUGACAGACACUUGUUGAUAGAUUCUGAGUGGGUCAUAAAAGCAUGAUAUAGUUGUGAUAUAUUUUUGGCUGUCAUAUAUUCAUGACUGAUUUGUGAUGGACUCGUGAUAGAAAAAGAGUAUGUCAAGAAUAUAUGAUGUCUUUGUGAUAUAAAUUUAAACGUCAAUAAGUCAUGAUAGAAAUUUAACGUUGCCUUAAUUUUGGCGCUUUUUUGACUGAAACUUUUAGUGUUAUUUAAAAUAAAAUAUUACACAAAGGAAGACACGUCAUCGUUUUAGGGAAGUUGGAACUAUGACGUUUUGUACAUAAAUAUAAAAUAUUAUAUUUUUAAAAUGUUUUAUUAUAAAAUAAAAUUAAAAAACAUGAAACGCACCGUUUUGGUGCUGAGUUUCACUUCUUCAAUCCCUAAUUUUUUCUAAGUAUUAACACAUACAACUCACAAACAUACAGAGAGUAUAGGGUAAGGCUAAAAUCUCAGCCAUCAUCUUACCCUCUUAUAUUGACUUCCUUUUCGCCUUCAUCUUACCAAAAUCUUGACCAUCGUCAUCUUGCCAUCGUCUUCCUAACGUAUUGGUUACCGAUUGCGUUGAGAAAUUGAGUGGGUGAAGGUGCAUUUUGUGGUAUCGCCAUUGUCUUCUUCUCCAUCAUGUUCCUCGCCAUCGUUUUCUGUCCUCAUCUUACUGUCUUCCUCACCGUCAUUUUUUGAAAGCCCUUGGUAUGAUUUCUAUUAUGUCUUUAUUUUGCAUGCUGUUUGUUUUGCACAGAUCUAAGUUAAAUCAAUUAAUUCUAUAAAUAAUCUAAUGAGAAAACCUAAUUAAAAAAAUAAAUUAUUUAAUUUGCUGAAAGAGAGCAAAGAAUGUAGGUUGUUAGGGUUCGCAGUAGCAGAAGCAACAGUAGUGUAGCAGGAGUGAAGUAGAUUUUAGAGAUGAAGGAUUAAAAAAAAGGGAUAAUUAUUUUGCAGCAGUAGUACUACUAGUAGCAGGACCAAGAGCCAAAUAAUUUGCCUAUUGUAGUAAAUUUGCAUGUCUAGGGGUUAAUUUUUCAUUGAAGUUUGGGGUUAUUAGGAAAUGAGUGAAGUAGCAGUACUUUUUUUUGCAACAAAUUUAUACUUAGAACCUAAUUAGAACCUAAUUUACCUUCUGAUGCAAAAUUGUAUUUUAUUUUAUUGAAAAGGGUAUCUGUGUUUUUGUUGACUCUGUGUUUUUGUUGAAGUAGCUUGCUGCCACCUCUUUUGUUGCAGAGUUUGCUGCAUCUCUUUUGCUGGAACAAUUUGGUGUAGAGGAAUUAAUUUUUAUUUGGUAAGUAAAUUGCACUUCUUUAUUUUUAGAGUUUUGAGUUCGUUAGUUAAUUAAUAGUUGCAUGAUAGCAAUUACUUUAAUAUUAUGGUCCUUUAUAUGAUUGUAUGAGGCUUUAUUUGUAUGUUAUGUUGUGGCUAUUGUAAUCUGUCUAUCUACUUGCAUUCUGUGUUGUGACUAAUGUAAUGUGUGGGGUCAAAAAUUUUUGUUAUGUUUAUCUUGCAAUAAGGGUAUUUAAAGUGGUGUUAAUUUGUACUUUUGCAUAUGUAGGGUUAAUUUUUUUAUUUAAGUAUGGGGAUAUUAGGAAAUGAUGAAGUUCCAAUACUGGUUUUGCAAUAAAUUUAUACUUAGAACCUAAUUAGAUCCUAAUUUAGCUUAUGGUGUUAAUCCUUUGUUUUUGUUGGAACAACUUGCUGCCACCUCUCUUGCUGCACAAUUAUUUCCUCUUCUCUUGCAGGAAUAGUUUGCUGUAGAGGAAUUAAUUUGACCUGGUAAAUAAAUUACACUUCUUUAUUUUAGAGUUUUGAGUUCGUUAGUUAAUUUAUAGAUGCAUGAAAUAUGUUUAAUAUUAUGGUCCUUUAUAUGAUAGCAUGACCUGAAGUUGUAUUAGGCUUGAUUUUAGUGUUGUGUUUAUUUACUACUGCAAUGAUUUUGAAUAUUGCAAUGUGUUUAAGUACUUGUAUUUUGUGUAGUGACUAUUAUAAUGUGUGGGGUCAAAAUUUGUUGUUUUGUUUAUGUUGCCAUAAGGGUAUUUAAAGUGGUGUUAAUUUGUACUUUGCUUAGAUAAAUUGGUAAUAUAUUCUGAUAUUUUAUUUAUUUGUAACAUGCUUAAUGUGUUAGGAUCAGAACUAAUUGAAACUGAAAAUGGAUAAGUUUUGGGUUCAUUGUAGUAAAAUGUCAAGUGAGUAUGAAGAUGGGGUUGAAGAAUUUAUGAAGUUUGCUGUUGGUAAUUCUGAAGGCAGUAGCGUCAUUAAAUGUCCGUGUACUAAUUGUAUGAAUUUAUCCUUUCGUACACAUAAGGUUGUUCGUGAACAUUUGUAUUUUCAUGAUUUUGAUGUUUCUUACACAACCUGGAGUUGGCAUGGGGAAGAUGUCAAUGACACACCAGUUCUUAAUGUAGAUGUAGAUGUUCCAUUUGAGUUUAUAGACUAUGAUGACGGUAACACAGUAGAUAUGGUUAACGAUGCUUAUAGGGAUUGUGCUGCAGAUCCUAAAGCAUUUAAAGAACUUCUAGAACAAGCUAACAAGCCUUUGUACCCAAGAUGUACAAAUUUCACUAAGUUAGGCACUUUGGUUAGCUUAUUCAAUAUAAAAGGGUAAAUUUGGGUGGUCCGACACAAGUUUUACCGAGUUAUUAAGUCUUCUAGCCAAGUUGCUGCCUGAAAGUAAUGAAAUUCCUGUGUCUAUGUACGAGGCCAAAAAGACAAUGUCCGCUUUAGGCUUAGAAUAUAUGAAAAUACAUGCUUGCCCAAAUGAUUGCAUACUUUAUAAAAAAGAGUAUGAAGGGUUGUCUGACUGUCCUAGUUGUGGUUUAUCUAGAUGGAAAAAAAAUGAUGGUAGUGUUGACCAAUAUAGGAAAGGGGUUCAUGCGAAGGUUUUAUGGUAUUUUCCGCCCAUACCUAGAUUUAAACGCAUAUUUCAGUCCUCAGAAACUGCCAAGGACUUGACUUGGCAUGCAAAUGAGAGAGCCGAUGAUGGUAAGCUCCGACAUCCGGCCGACUCGCCAUUAUUGAAAUUAGUAGAUAACAAAUGGCCUACAUUUGCAUUAGAUCCUAGAAAUCUCCAUCUUGCGUUAGCGGCUGAUGGAAUAAAUCUACAUAGCUCUCUUAGUAGUACAUAUAGUUGUUGGCCAAUUAUUCUUAUAACAUAUAAUCUUCCUCCGUGGUUGUGUAUGAAAUGGAAAUUCAUGAUGUUGUCCCUAUUGAUUUCUGGUCCUCAACAACUGGGCAACGACAUCGAUGUGUACUUGGCACCUUUGAUAGAAGAUUUACAAACUUUGUGGGCAGUUGGGGUAGAGACUUAUGAUGCCUACAGGAAUGAGUUCUUUAAUUUGCGGCCUGUGUUAUUAUGGACUAUAAAUGACUUUCCGGCAUAUGGAAAUCUAAUUGGUUGCCCUGUUAAAGGAUAUAAUGCCUAUCCAUAUUGUGGAGUAGACACUACUAAAUGUAGACUUAAACACAGUGGCAAAAAUGCAUAUAUCGGUCACCGUCAUUGGCUUCCUCAUGGUCAUGAAUUUCGAGACCAAGAGAAAGCCUUUGACAACACAAUAGAGAGAGAGUUUGCCCCGAAACUGUUGGAUGGGGAGAGUGUUUUGUGACUGAUUGAGUCUAUUGAUUAUAAAUGGGGGAAGAACAACUCUAAAAAAUGAAAAAGUUCUGACAAUGAUGAUCGCAUUUGGUGGAAAAAAAUCCAUAUUCUAUAAUUUAGAGUAUUAUAAGCAUUCACUUGUACGUCCUCAAUUAGAUGUUAUGCACAUUGAAAAGAAUGUGUAUGAGAGCAUAUACGGAACACUGCUGCAUAUUCCAGGAAAGACCAAAGAUGGUCUUAAGUCAAGGAAUGAUCUUGUGGAAAUGGGAAUUAAGAAUGAAUUAGCACCAACUUUUAAAAAUAACAUCUUACACAUUAACUAUAGAUGAAAAAACAAGGUUCUGCAAAGAUUUAAAAAGUAUUAAGGUUCCAGCUGGAUAUUCCUCAAAUAUAAAAAAUCUUGUGUCAAUGAAAGACCUUAAACUUCAGGGCCUUAAGUCACAUGACUACCAUGUUCUUAUGCAACAACUUUUGUCUAUUGCCAUUCGGUGUGUCCUGCCAAAGCAUGUUAAAGAAGCUGUGAUCAGGUUGUGUUUCUUCUUUAACUUGCUGUGUUCCAGUGUGGUUGAUGUGUCAACAUUGGAAAAAUUAUAGGCUGAGCAUAUGGUGACUUUGUGCUUGUUAGAAAAAUAUUUUCCUCACUCUUUCUUUGACAUAAUGACACACUUGGUUGUGCAUUUAGUCAAUGAAGUUAGACUAUAUGGCCCGGUUUACCUUCGAUAGAUGUAUCCUUUCGAGAGAUACAUGAAAACUCUUAAGGGUUAUGUCAGGAACCGCAACUGUCCUGAGGGUUGUAUAGCGGAGAGUUAUAUUGCGAAAAAAGCAUUAGAAUUUUGUGCAGAAUACAUGUCAAACAUGAAUACAGUUGGGGUUCCACUUGGACAUGUGCAAAACCUAUCAAAAGAUAAGCCAUUAACUGGUGGGAAAGUGGUACCAAUUCCUCCACAUUCACUAGAUCAAGCGCACCUGUACAUCUUGCAUAACACGCAAGAGGUGGUACCAUGCAUUAGGUAAUUUGGUGCAUUUCUUCAAUUCUAUAUAAUUUAUUUCUAUAAUUUUUAGUCUAAUUUUUUCAUGUUCUGGAUGUCUAGUGACCAUAUGCAGUGGCUUAAAACACGUUAUUCACAUCAAAAUGACAAAUGGUUGCCAGAGGAACACAACCGUACCUUUGCCGGUUGGCUAACUGAUAAGGUUCUAGCACGUAUAUAAUUAAUUUUCACAAAGAAAUCUCAACUUUUUUUUCACUUAGUAAAGAUGUUUACUUUUCUUCCUUGUCUUGUUAGGUAUAUGACUUGAUUGAAAAAGGUGAUCACGUAUCGGAUACUUUGCGAUGGUUAUCACAUGGGCCUCUUCCUUUUCUAACUAAACAUAAUGGUUAUGACAUUAAUGGUUUCCAUUUUAUUACACGAGAUCGAGACUCAAGUCAAGUAACUCAAAAUAGUGGAGUUAGUGUAGGUGAUUCUGAUAUAUGUGAUAUGACAUAUUAUGGAGUUAUAGAUGAAAUUUGGGUACUUGACUAUCAUUUGUUGAAAGUCCCUAUGUUGAAGUGUGAUUGGGUUCAAAGUAGUAAGAAGGAUGAGCUUGGAUUCAUCUUAGUAAACUUAAACCGAUUAGGAUAUGAAUCUGAUCCAUUUAUAUUGGCUUCUUAAGCCAAACAAGUAUUUUAUGUAAACGAUCAGAUUCAAACAAAGCGGUCUAUUGUCUGUUAUAUGCCUAGUAGAAGUAAUCCUAAUAAAACAAAUGAAGAUGAGGUCAAUAAUGUAACAGAAUAUCCUCCCUUCACCAGAGAAUUUCCAACUAAUGAUUUGUUACAUUUUACAAAUGGCAACCGCGCAAUCUAUGCACGAAAUAGCAAAGAGGGAAUUUGGGUUACCAAUUGAUUAACUUUUUUCCAGUAAGUGUUUAUUCAACUAUUCAGUCUAUGUUACAAACUAAUAUGAUAAUGAAUUAUUGUAGCUACUUUAUUCUUGCAGCUGAUUGAAUGUUAUAUAGUUUUAUAUUAUCAGUUAACUAAUACAAUUUAAUUUACUUAUUUCAGGUGCAGUAAUAUAGCUAAGGGAAAACAUGUAGUGGCUGAUGUUGCUUCUAAUCAGGAAGCUUAUUUUGAAGACGAAUACGACGACUUAUUUGCCGUGGUAGAUAAUUUAGCAGAUGCAAAAAACGAGGCUCAUUUUGAUGGUGUUGAGAUGGAUGGUGUUGAGUGUGAUGGAGGUGAUAAUGAUGGUGCUGAUUUGGAUAGAGGUGAUUUUGAUGGUGCUGAGAUGGAUGGUGUUAAUUUCGUUCCUCCUGAUGCUGAUGUUCCUGAAAGCAGUAACUCUAGGAGAGGUGUAAAUAUGGGAGCUAGGCAAAAUAAAAGACUUAAAACAAAGAAGGGAAAUAUUGUGGUACAAUACAAUAAAAUGGGCGUUCCAGCAGGCGAUGAAGCCACUGAGUUGGCUUCUCUUAUUGGGGUAUUAGCUCGUACAUCAGUUUUAAUUCUCUAUUCCAACUGGCGUAAGGUUCCGCUGGAGACAAAAGAGGUUUGUGGAAAUCUGUUCUGUUAAUUCUUAAAAAUCCACUACAUUCUACUUAAUCCUUUUGCUGUCAUUUUUCAAUUAUGUACUUUUAUGUAACAUAAUUUUUAUUAACUGUCACUUAAACAAUCUUCCUCUUAUUUAGGGUCGUUUCAUUGUUCAUCCUAGAAGUAGGAAGUAGGUGAUACAAUCAAUUGGAAUAGCAUUUCGGAACUUCAAGUAUAUGCUAGCCAAAAACUAUAUCUGGAAGUCCAGAAAUGAUAAAAAGAAAUUGUAUGCACCCGCAAUUGAGUACCCUCAAAUAAAACGUCCUAUUUGGAUAAAGUUUGUCGACCAAAGUUUGUCGGAAUCGUUUGAAGUAAGUAUUUUCAAGUUAGGACAAGUAAUAUGUUAGUAGUUACAUUAUUCAAGUUAGGACAAGUAAUAUGUUAGUACUUACAAUAUAUUUACCUUGUGUUAUGACUAAUCUAAUUACGCAGAAAAUCAAUCGUGUCAAUAAGAACAGGAGAGCUUUGAACAAGUGCAAUCAUCGCCUUAGUCGAAAAGAAUACAUUGGAUUAAUGAAAGAAAUUGUAAGUGUGUUAAAUAUUUAAAUUGUUAAUGAAAUAAUUUAUAUAUCAGUUAAGCAUGUAAAUUUUUUGCUUUGUUAAAUAUUUAUUAAAGGUUUAGUUAACUAUUAAAUUUUGUAACAGUUAACUAAUCUAAUUUCUUUAUCGAAGUAGUGUGCAAAAUCAGGGCUUUCUGAAGAGUUAAUUAACAGGAGUGAACUAUGGAAGAGAGCUCAGAUGCUAAAGAAUGGAGGACACGACUUUGAAACUGAACAGAUCAUUAAGAAAAUGGCAAUAAAGUUUAACUAGAACAAACAUUGUUUUUGAAGUCUGAUCUAUGCUCAUUUAAUAAUAUUAGUUUUAUGGUGGGUUGUUAGGAAAUGCUAGAGAAAGAGGACAAAAAAGACUCAUACAAUUCGGAUGCAAGAAAUGACUUACUUGCACAAGCAUUGGGAAAGCUUCCUCGAACUGGUCAUAUGCAAGACUUGGGCAAAUUUAUUUCUGCUUCUAUGUGCUUUCACUGCCUACAUGGACCCAUCUGAAAUGAGAGAGAGAGGGAGCUGGAUGCUUGCAAAAAAAUCAGUAGAUGAACAAUUGCGAGAAAUUUGCAAAGAAUUGAAGAGGACACCUUACCAUUCAGAUGUUGGAAGUUUCACUUUCCCACAUAAUAUGGUCGAUAAUGACACUAAGGGAGAUAUACAUAAGGUACUUUAGUUAUCUGUGUUACCCAAAUUUUUCCUGAUUUAAGUAUUUUUCCUUGUAUAUCUUCCACUCUGAAGAAGAGGAAAUGGAUGUUUGGUCAAAGGGACGAACAUCCUAAAGUAUCAACACUAAGAAAGAAAGAAGAAGUUCAGAAGAAAGAAGAGCCACCAAAAAACACAACUACUGCCAUUUCGAUGAAGUCAGCCAAAAAUGAUGACAGUGAAAAUGACAAUGAAGGAGAUGCACAUAAGGUUAGUUUAUUCAUAAUAAAUGGUUGUAUUUUUCCUAGAUUAUGAUUUAUUGCCUUGUAUAUUUACUAUUCAAUCUAGUUUAAUAUACUUACUAUUUCAUAUAAUUAAUCUUCACAGGUAGAUAAUUUGGGCAAGCCACUAGCAAAUGCCGCUGCUGCCAUUCCGGUGAAGUCAACAAAAAAUGAAGGCAGUGAAGGAGAAGUGCAUAAGGUUAGUUAAUAAAAUAAAUUGUAUUUAAGCUGUUUUUGUCUUUGUAUGUGUGAUUUCUUUUUUUAUUGGCUAAUUGUUUACUAACAAUUUGAUAUCAAUAACAUCCACAGGAGCCAGAUGAUUUGGGCAAGCCACCAAAAAAUACUAUUACUGCCAUUUUGAGGAAAAGUCCAAGACUUAAUCCUUCAAUCCCAAAGGAUUAUGCAAAUGAUGAGAGGAAAAUAGUUGGAAGCAAUAAAAAGCAAUUGGAUUUUGAAUGUCUUGAUGGUACAUCUAAUGGUAUACAAGAGAGGCAUCCUGAUAGCCCAACAAAAAAGACAUUUUUGAAAAAGGAUAGAGCUAAAAAAGGUGUAGUGCAGCCUAUGAGGAACACAAGGAGUGCAGUAUUCAAGCACCAGAACAGUCAUCCUAUGCUGCAGGUAAAUUGUGUGAGAAAUACCUGCCUAAUGAAAAUGAUGGUGUUUUAACAUAUAUGAUUGAUGAUAAUGUAUUCCAAAGACAUGCUUGUGCGUACAUUGGGAAGAAAGAUUGCAAUGAACUGUUGUCAAUGCAAGCACUAGGAGUAGAUGUUAUUCAAGUAUAUAUGGCGUAAGUGGUUUAAUGAAUUUUCUUUACACUAUUUUAUUUGAAAUUAGUAUACUUUUUUUAUUGAUGCACUGAUUUUCUAUUUAGGAUGUUGGAUUCCACCAUUCUACCAACCAGAAAAGGAAUAAAACCAUUUGGAUUCAUGUGUCCAAGUUUAGUUUGCCCAACAAAUCCAAAGGCUGUAGAAAAAUUUCGCUCAAAGAGAGUUGAGCAUAUCCACCACCGCUUGAAAAAGGCCAAAAAGGGACAAUUCAUUCUCAUGCCAUAUAAUCCUUUGUAAGUUUUAAUUUUCAUUUAAUACUUUUACGGUUGUUUUUGAAUUUAUAUUACUUUUACAACUGUUUGUUAAUUCAUGGUUUUGUUUUCUGCUUUUUUUCCAACUGCCUUCUCCUAUUGUAGCUACCAUUGAGUUUUAGUUGUGUUUGACGUGGUGAAAAAUGAAGUGUUUUAUGUAGAUCUUGUGCAGUCCAGUCCUGUUACUGAUUUAGAACAGCUCCUUAAAAUGUAUGUAUGCCAAUCCAUUUCAUGCAAUUGAUAUUUUAAGAUUUUUCAAUAUAAUUAAGAGAUAACACUUUGAUUUUUUUUUUAUAGCACCAUGACACUCUUCACAGCAGAGGAUAGUAAGGAAAAAUGGAAUUAUAAUUCUAAGAUGAGAAUUGUGAAGGUAAAAAAAAAAUAACCCUGUAGAAACUAUAUGUGCUUAUUGAUUACAUAACUAAAAUGAAUGAGAUUUUGUAAGUUUAUUUUUUUUUUGUGGCAUGAACAGGGUCUGAAACAAAAUAUCGCAAAAUUGGAGUGUGGCUAUUAUGUGUUAAGAUACAUAAAGGAAAUAAUAGCUGAUGUUAGUUUGUUAAUGAACAAUGUAAGUUGAUGAUGGCAUUUCACUACCUUUCUUUUAUUCCAUAUAUGUGACAUUAUUUUUUAAGUUUGACCUCUUAAUAAUCUUGUGAUUAACAGUUUAAUGGAAAGAAAUUAUACACUCAGGACGAAUUAGAUGAGGUUCGUUUGGAGUGGGAUAACCAUUUUUCCGACAUCCUUGUUGCAUCAGCAAAAUGGUUAGUAUUAGUAUGAAACUAUAAUUAUUAGUUAUAAAAUUUAUUGAAAUUAAAGUUAUAGUAUCAAAUUAUAAUGGUUACUAGCUGUUAACAAUUGUAGUGUACGUGUUUUGCAUUCGAUAACAUUGGGUAUUUUGAUUGAUUCCGAAUAGAUUGGUAUUGGUUUGCUGGGUUUCGGUUGGAGGGUUGCUGGGUAUGUGGCUGGAAGAUAUACCAGUGGUGUGGACAGCUGUUGGGUUGGAAGAUGCUGGGUUGCUGCUGAAUGUGUGUUGGGAGUGUUGUUGGGUAAGUGGCUGGAAUAGCAAUGAAGUGUAGUUAGAAGAUGUAUUGCUGCUAGAGGUUUUUGUUGGUGUGGAAAGAUGUAUUGGCCUGCUGCCGUUAUGCCAGUGGUGUGGAAUGAUGCAUGUAUUGGCUUGGUGGCUGGAAUUUGGAAAUCUGUUCUUGUAGUUUAACUGGAUGAAUUUUUUUUUUAAUUUCGGAUGUUGCUUAUAUAUGUAUUGGUAGUGAUGACAAUAUUAGACACUAGAUGUAUUUAUUUUGAAAUUAACUUGUUGGAAUGAAUGGAUGUUAAUUAAUAUUAAUUAUUUUUAUUUUUUUAUUUUUUUCAUGAUACUCAUUUUUAUUAAUUAAUUAAAUUUGUAAACAUGAAUACAAAAAUUAAUUAUAAUUGUUUUUUUUAAAUUAACUUUAUGACAGGAAAUUCCCAUCAUAUGGUCUGUCAUAAAGAAUUUCCUGCCAAAAAAUGAAUAAUAAAUUUACAAAUGAUAACAUAAUUUCCCACCAAAACUGAAUAAAAAAUUUACCAAUUACAAUAAAAUUUCCAGUCAAAAUUCAAAAAUUUGGCGCAAAAUUUUAAAUAAAUUCAAAUUUUAAUUUAAUUAUUUUUUCACAUUAAAAUAUUACGUGACAGAUAUAUGACUAUAAAAUACCAUCGUUAAUUUAUGACGGUAAAUAAUCUGUCAUACAUUAAUGACAGUGGACAUAGAUGACAAAUGAAGUGUCUGUCAUGCACCCCCCUUUUUAUGAACGGUUAUUUUUCCGUCACCUAUUGCAUGUUUUCUUGGAGUGUUGUAAAUUAAAUUAAGGUGUAAAUAAAAACAUUAAUUUNNNNNNNNNNNNNNNNNNNNNNNNNNNNNNNNNNNNNNNNNNNNNNNNNNNNNNNNNNNNNNNNNNNNNNNNNNNNNNNNNNNNNNNNNNNNNNNNNNNNNNNNNNNNNNNNNNNNNNNNNNNNNNNNNNNNNAAAUGAACUUAUUAUUGAGCAUGCAACUUUCCUGUAUUUAAGAUAUUUCCCAAAAUCUAACGUGAUUGAUAAUGCAAUCCUUUUGACAUGAUUUAGCAUUAUUUUUGCCAUUCUUAGGACUUUUCUUGGAUAUAAUCCAUAGUGAUUAUUUUAUUUUAGGUAUAUUUUAGUUAAUACAAGGAUUCUAUGACCUAUUUGAGUUUUUAUUAUUUAUGGAAAGCAUAGUAAUCAAUUCCUACACAAAUUACACUUUCCUGCUUCUAUAAGGUCUAGGUUUAUAUCUCUAUAUAAGUACAUCACUAAAAGGCUCAUCAACUUAAGGCUCAUCAACUUAAAUUUUACAUAUCAUUUGAAGAGGCAAAUAAUAAAAAAAAAUUCCCAAGGCUCUCUAAAUGAGAUUAAUCUAAUAAAAUUAUCCUUCUCUCUCUUCAAUAUCUUCUCAUUAUUGAAUGGCCAGAUAUGUUAUAAUAAUUAUUAUUUUGGUGGAGAAAAAAGUUUGAUUAAAAUAAUAUUGAAGAGAGAGAAAGACAGUCUUAUUUAAAGAAUCUCACUUAAAGAGAUUUUUUGAGCUUUUAAUUUAGUAUUAUAUUACUUUUUAUAUCUUCUCAUUCUUGAAUGGAGAGAUGUGUUAUAAUCAUUAUAUUUUGGUGGAGAAAAAAGUUUGAUUGAAAUUAUAUAUUAGAAGAGUCUUUACGGAGAUGGCUAAUUUUUUCAUUCUUCUAUUCGUCACAUGGAUAAGCAAAUAAAUAUUUGAAGAAUUAAAUUAGAAGAGUCAUUUGGUGAUACUUUCAGGGCUAUUGCUUAACUCGUUUUUGUCAUUAUUUCUCACCUAAAUAGCAGCCUAUAUCUCCAUAGCUUCUUCUUUUUUUAAUUAUCUUUCAGUUGCACAUCAUGGUUUCCACAACAUCAAGUUCAUACUUCGAAAAAUGCUAUAGCAAUCUAUAGCAAUCAUGCAAUCUUGCAGCAACUCAUAAGAACAGUAAAAAAACCCAUUUAGAUUGUUUGUCACUCAACUACAAACAGAUUUAGUUCAUACUUCGAAAAAGAAAAGCAAACAGUAAAGUAUUAGCCAUGAAAUACAUCGUUUCAAUGAAAGAGCAAGAAAAUGAACAAGUAAAGAACAAUGAAAAUUGAAUCCAAAUUGGUCUGCUGAUUUCUUCACUGAUGCAGACUUGCAUUUCCCUUGAAUUAUGAUUUUUCCUUCUUUUCCUCUUGAUUUUCUUGAUGUCAAUUCACCGCCACCCUUUUUAUGUGUUGCGCGCUCUUUUUAUAACUGAAAACUAGGGUAAACCAAACCCUAGGGCACGCAUGAUUAAGAUUAAGAAACUGCAGAUCGCAAUUCUGCAGAUAUCCCACGCUAAGUUUUCUCUAUAGUUGUUCCAGGAUUGCUACAGCAAUGGUUGCCCCAACAACGGCUAUAACACUGCACUACUUCAGAUCUUGUUUCAAUUAUUUUGUGGCCAUAUUCUUCUUCCUUUUUGCCAUCCUAUUACAUCAGCAUCCCUUCCAUAAAUUAUAGACUUCUGGAAAUCUACAAUUAUGCACACAAUUUGAGUACAAAUUACCUUAAAUCACGCAAAACUUAUCAAGGCUAAACUAAAAUGAAUGUUUAUGCAAAAUAUAACAAAAAUGCAAUAAAAACACAUCAUUUACUCUCUAAGUGAUCUUGAUUUGAGUUUAAAAUGGCCAUAAUAACUCUCAUUUCAUAGAGUUAUCACCCAACUUCACAAAUGCAAGUGCAAACUUCUUAAUAGCACGAUGAGAAAUUGACUCCAAAUUGUCUUGAAAAGAGAAUAACUACGGUUAAAAAGCAUCAAGUAUCGUAUUAUAGAAUGCGAUAAUUCCUAUGACCACACCGUCCACUGAUGGCAGUGCUUCUCCACCGCCAGAACCUUCUCUAAUUGCUGGCGACAUCCCCACUGAUCAACAACCCUCACAACAACUAUUAACAUUUCAAACCAUAAACCCUAGAUUGCAACAAACCUUUCAAAAUAUGCUCUACGUUGUCGCCACCUUGCCUACCUCCGUUGGUGGCGAUUACUUACUGACGGAACCACCAUUGAACCUUAUGUACUCCUAACAGUUGCUUCUCACCCUCCAUGUACCACCAACCCCCUCAGGCACCAAUACGCACGAGCACAAUCAAAACUCAGGCACCACUUAUUGCCCACUAUUUCCGACUCCUUUUACUAAGACAAAUCCCCUUAGCUGUAAUAUAUCUCACCAACACCUUGCUGUCUCUCUUUUGGCCACCGCUAGUGGCACCAUCAACCUGCCGGCCGCCUCAUAUCAGCCACUUUUGACCACCCAAACCCACUCUACUAUUUAAAACUGAGACUAGCUGCUAAAUGCAGAAAACCUUAGCUAUAAUAAAGAAACCCUAGCCAACAUCUGGCUUUCCAAACCAAAAACUAAACCAAAUAUCAAGCCCAAACCCAUGAUCAUUUUUCCACCCCUUACUCUUGGUCAUACAUCCAACCCACCCUGAAAGGCCUCUUUUGCAUCUAUUACGAAUCCUGAAGUUAUCCUCAACCCUAAUGCUAAAUCUUUUGUUGAUGUUAUUGCUAGCCCCCUAGAAUCUUCAAUUUAGGAAAAGCCAGUUUUAAUAUUUCAUGGUAAAACUGUUAUCAACUUUUCAGCUAUAGAAAUCCAGCCCAUAGCGUAACCAUCUAAACUUUCCCUUGUUAGUAAGUUUUUGUUUUGCCGCCCUCCUGUAGAUAUGAUAAACAAAUUCUUUGUUUCUUGAGUUUUAAAGGUAGUACACAGGUUUCUUUGCUAGAUAAUUGAUCAAGCUUUAACUUGGAGAGGAUUUCUCAUGUAUUUGGGUUAGGCACACUUGGUAUGUUAGUGGCAGGUUCACGCGUACUUUUAAGUAGUCUAUAUUUAUGCUCUAAGGAGUCUCAGUUGUUCUUGUCUAGGUGUCUUUGCCUUAUUUACCUGUGCAUUUCAUUCAUUGCAGAGAUGCUUUAUUUUCUAUUGUAAAUGCUAUUAAAAAUCCUUUACGGGUGGACCGUGCCACUGCUGCUAUUAAUAGGCCCUCGGUGGCUCAUGUACUCAUUGAGUAUGAUGUUUCACGACAAUUGUUGCCAAGACUUUGGAUUGGUAAGGGUGAUAAUGGGUUUUGGCAAGAUAUCAUCUAUGGGCGUGUUCUGUUAUAUUGUGCCACGUGUAACCAUCUUGGUCGCUUUGCUGAUGCUUAUUUUGUUACUAAUCAUGGGCUCUAGAAGCCCUAGUAACCUAUUGAUUAGGUGAAGGAUAUAGUUGCUGAUGAUACAAGUACGAUACUUAUUACUGAUGGUGUUGUCCAGCCUACUAAGGAUUUUGCUAAGUUUGUGGUUACUAAGGAUAAUCGACUACAGAGGCCUGCUCUCGUCCAAGGUCAGUCUUUAGGCCUGGCCCCCUCGAUGAUGUUGCUUGGCCGUCUGCUCUUUUUCCUCAAGAUACUGUAGACGCGACAUCUAAUUCGAUUUCUGCUCUGUGAGUUCCAAAUGAUAAUGGCUUGCAACAUAAUGUUGCUCUAAGAGAUGCUGAUGGAUGCACUAAGGUUGCUAAUUCUCUUGUUUUGGAUAAUCCGAGUGCUCUAAGGGCUUCCACAAGCUUUACUUUUUCAGGUCUAUAGUGGAUGAUAUUCACUCCAUGGUUGUGAGUUUUGAUUUUUUUUAAUAGUCAUAAGAGCACUAUAGAUGCUACAACAAUGCUCAUAACUCUUGUUGCCUUUGGACUCAAGUCUGCAUAUGGAGUACAUACUCAGCCCUGGUUACUUAGGGACUUGAGCCAUUGGAGCUAAAUUUAUUUCAUAAUGAGCACAAUUUAACCAAAAUUUUCCCCCAGCUUGAGAUAGUCUACUUUUUUUUCUUGGCUUUGCUACAACAUUCUCAUAAAACUCAAUCAAAGCUUAAGUGUCAGGACAAAAUUUCAACCUCCAUCUAUCACUAUCUCUACUUGGCAUUCUCAUAAAUACUGAAUAACACUCAAUUUAUCUUCAUAAGGUUUUCAAAUCCAAAAAAAAAAUAUUAGUUAACAGAGCUUCACACAAUACACAACACAAGCAUAAACAUACGCAUGCAUUCAGAAACACAACCCCCCCCAAACUUGAGUGGUGUUGUGUCCUCACAAGCACACAAAACAAAACCACAUAAACUAUACAUGCAUACGCUAAAUAAAAGGGCAUGUAGAAUGAAUCAGAAAAUUAAAACUGAAUGAAAGAAAAGUUGUCCAGAAAUAAAUAAAAUAACUAGCAAGAACAGGGUACUCCCCUAUUGCUUCGGCACUGCUGCAACAUGGUGUAGUGACUUUAGCGCUUUUUGGAUGCACUUCGCAGCCUAUCCUUAGGGGAUUCUUAUGGUGAGGCAGCAUGCAAUGUCUUUUUCUUUUUCUGCAACGGGCUGGUGGUAGGGGUGGUAGUUUGUGCAUCCUGCCUAGAUGAAACAGAUCUGGUUCAUUUUGGUUCUGGUGUGGCUACUGCAACAACGCCUCUAGAAGUGCCCCCCUUUCUUUUGUUGGGUCCCUUAGGACUAGUAAGAGUAGGUUUUCUGGGGGUUUAUUGUGAAGGGGCUAGAGUUAGGGCUUCGGCUGCCUGUCCCUCAGUCGUGAUUGCGGCAAUGAUAUUAAGCAGCUACUUUGUCUCUGUUUGUGUACGCGUAACUCUGGCUACUGCAGCUUCUAAAGCUGCCUCAAUUUGCUCAGCUUCAUCAUCAGAGGCAGAAGGGGUGAUUACUUUCUCUUUGCCCUUUCGAGAAAGGACUAGAAUAUGAAGCUCAUCUGCUGGUUCAUCAUCCUCUUCUUGUAUGAUGCACUUUUUUCUGAAUUUGUAGAGGGUCUUGGCUGGGGAUUCCUUAAGUUCUCUCUUAGGCUCUUCCUCUGCCGGGGAACUGUCAAUUGCGGACUUGACACCCUCUUCUUCAGGUUGGUCAGAUUGGUCAUCAGCAUCUGUUUCGGCCUCUGCUUGCGGUUCUACUGUAACUUCUUCCUCUGGUUCAUCUGUGUCAAUAGCUUCUUCACUGACUUCUACUGGAGCUUCUGUAGUGUUGGUAUCAAAAUUAUAUUGCUGGAGCAAUGAAUCAGGGAAAUUUCGGUGGGUACUUUUCAUAUAUACAACAAAUUUGUGUAAGUGGCUUUCCAAGUGUUGCAAAUAGCUCCAAAAUCGAUUGUUUUCCCUCGGCUGAGCUUCAGCACAUUAAGUGAUGCCAGUGCUCAGUGUUUGGAUUCUUUGUUCUAACCCAAUAACUUUUCUUGCCCCUAUUACAGCAGCUGGUUUAGAUAGGGCUCCAGUAACUUCACCAAUAAUUCUUUCGAUGGUGCGUGCAGUGAGGACACCAUCAUUCUUGACAUGCUCAUCUUUUGCAUCAAGGCGAGCUCCCGAUACCACAUAGAUGCUGGUGAUGAGCGAAAGAAAUAGCAAAGCUGCUGGUUUGUGGUUUUUCGUGGCACAGUCUCGAAUUUCUUUUUCUAUAAUGCUUCCCACAUCUAUGGGUAACCCUCUAAUAAUGACAUACAAUAGUACUAACAUUUCUUGUGAAACAGUAGUGGUGUGGGUGGUUGGCAUAAGUCUGGAUUUUAGAAAUUUCACUCACACUUUAGCAAUGGGUUUCAAAUCUAUCCUAUUAAUCACACACCCUUCUUCAUUAGCCCACAAUGCACCCUUUACAGUGAGUGUUGUGAAAAUUUUAUUCCAUUUUUGUGGGGUUAAUUUGUCAAGCAAUUUGUCAUACUCGCAAUUAACUUCAGAAGGUAAGUUAUAGAAAGCAUUUAUAACUCGGGAAUCUAAUGGAACAAGUGAGUUUCUUACCCAAAUAUUAUGCUGACCAGGGCUUACCAAAUUCGCGUAAAAUUCUUUCACCAGUGGCAACACAGGGUCUCGAGGGUGGUUGCAAAACUCCAGCCAUCCGCGCUUUGCUACAACAUUGUAUAAUGAUUGCACAAUUCGUGUGGGUUGAGGUGGGAACUGAAACCCUUUUUCUUCCAGAAUCUUGCACGGUUCAAUAAAUUCUUCAUAUUUUUCUUCUGUAUGGUAACUUUGGAAUCGUGAGGGAUCUUUUAGUCGACUGGCUGUCCUUUUGUACCCUGGCAUUGCGAUAGCACUAAGAGUUUGAUGGUAAUAUACCCAAGAGUAAAAUGAGAAGAAAAGGUUAUGGAGUAUUAAAGUCGUAACUGCGAAGGGGAAAGAAAAUAGUUUUAAAGGUCAAUAUGCACAGUGAUGCCCUUAUAUAGGUGGGAUUAAAUGAAAACAAAUCUUGUAAAAGAGAUAAAUUAGAGAAGAAUUUUUUUCAAAUUUAUUAAGCACAUCCAAUAAAAAUAGGCAAGAGAAAUUAAUGUGUUAAUUUAAGAGAUAUUCUUCCUCAAUUUUUAUCCAAAUCCACCCAACCAUCUGUCACAUAUUAUUUCUAACGGUAACGUGAGAGGCUCCGUGAUGAAGUUACUGUAACGAUAAUAUUGGUUGCUGCAGUACCCAAUUGUGUGCUCUAGCAACGAUUACACAUUCUCCUCAAAUAGUUGCUGACACGUGGUUUUCCUCUGUAAUAUGUCAAUAUUACAGCCCCAAUUGUUAAUAUUGAAUCUAAUAAAUGCGUGACCUGACAAAAAAAAAUAAGAAAAGAUAAGAGAUAAAUAAUCCUAAAUAAGGGAAAUAAAUAAAAAAAAUAAAAAUAAACAAAACCAGGGAGGAUCCAUCUCAUUUGAAAUAACUGCCUCCGUAAUGGGUUACCUCCUAUUGAGCGCUUGAUUUAAUGUCCUUCAGCCUGACCUUACUUGAGUGCUCAAAUAGCCGAUUCUCUAAGGAGUAAGACCUCCUUUGAACAAUCUGUAACUGAAUGCAUGUAAUACUUAACUCGAUGCCCAUUGACUUUGAAUUCCUGGCCUGUCUUUUCAUCUAAGAGAUCAACAACCCCAUGAGGGUAAAUUCUGAGCAGCUUGAAGGGUCUAGACCAUCGAGAUUUCAGUUUGCCUAGAAAUAGUCUCAACCUCAUAUUAUAGAGCAGCACUAGUUGACCAGGGACUAAUUUCAUGUGUUGGAUGUGUUUGUCAUGCCAUUGUUUUGUUCUCUCUUUAUAGAUUCUUGCAUUUUUAUAUGAGAAUAGUCGUAAUUCAUCAAGCUCACAUAAUUGAAGUUUCCUUUGUUCUGCUGUAGCAUGUAUAUCCCAAUUUACUUGCUUCAAUGCCCAAUAUGCUUUGUGUUCUAACUCAAGUGGCAAGUGACAAGCUUUCCCAUACACAAUUCGGUAGGGAGGCAUGCCAAGUGGUGUCUUGUAUGUUGUUCUGUAAGCUCAUAGGGAGUCAUGUAAGCGCAAUGACCAAUCCUUUCUUGAUGGGUUCACCACUUUUUCCAAGAUCUUCUUAAUCUUCUUAUUAGACACUUCUGCUUGACCAUUGCAUUAUGGGUGAUAUGUUAUUGCUAUUUUAUGCCUGACUCCAUAUUUCACCAUAGCUGCAACAAAUACUUUAUUGCAAAAAUGAGUACCUUCAUCACUAAUAAUUGCUCGUGGAGUGCCAAACCUGGAAAAAAUGCUCUUCUGAAGGAAGUUCACUACUGCUCUAGCAUCAUUGAUAGGUAAUGCUGCAGCUUCUACCCAUUUAGAGACAUAAUCCAUAACAACCAGGAUAUAUAAGUUCCCAAAGGAUAGUGGAAAAGAACCCAUGAAGUCUAUUCCCCAUACAUCGAAAAUCUCUUCUUCCAGAAUGUUCGUCAAUGGUAUUUCAUGUCUUUGAGUAAUGUUUCCUGACCUUUGACACCUUUUACAACAUUUAACAAACUCAUAAGCAUCUUUAAAAAUAGAAGGCUAGUAACAACCUGAUUGCAGAACCUUAGCAGCUGUUCUGUGACCACCAAAAUGUCCUUCAUAUGCUGCAGCAUGGCAAGGUUUCAGUAUCUGAGGAAUUUCUUCCUCUGAAACACAUCUUCGUAUCACUUAAUCUGAGAAUAACUUAUACAAAUAUGGGUCAUCCCACUAGUAGCUUCUAACACCAUAAAGAAAUUUAUUUUUUUGCUGAAAUUUUAACUCAGGUGGUAGCAAUCCACUUACUAAGUAGUUAGCAAAAUCUGCAUACCAUGGGGGUCCUGAUUGCUACAUAAUUUGUGCCUGUUGUAUCACUAACAGUUGUUCAUCAGGAAAAGUUUCAAUGAUGUCUUUUUUUGUCAAUGUGCUUGCGUCUGCUUCUAGCCUAGACAGAUGCUCUGCUACUUGAUUCUCAGUCCCUUUUCUAUCUUUAAUUUCCAAAUCAAACUUUUGAAGCAAUAAGAUCCAUCUUAUUAAUCUCGAUUUAGCAUCCUUUUUAGAGAUUAGGUGCUUGAUGGCUGUAUGAUCUGUGUAUACUGUCACUUUAGUACCCACCAAGUAGGCUCUAAACUUGUCAAAAGUAAAUACUACUGCUAGUAAUUUUUUCUCUGUAGUGGUGUAAUUAAUCUGAGCUUGAGUAAGAGUUUUGCUGGCAUACUAUAUAGAGUGGAAAACCUUAUUCUUCCUCUGCCCCAACACUGCCCCAACAGAAUGGUCACUGGCAUCACACAUCAGUUCAAAUGGUAGAGUCCAAUCUGGUGCUAUAACCACUGGUGCAGUGAUCAAAGCUUUCUUCAAUUCUUCAAAGGCUUAAAAACAAUCUUUAUCAAAAUGAAAAGGCUUGUCAUGUUCUAGCAAUGGCCACAAUGAUUUAACUCUUUGGAAAAGUCUUUUAUGAAUCUUCUGUAAAAUCCAGCAUGCCCCAAAAAACUUCUAAUCCCCUUGAUUGAAGUGGGAGGUGGCAGUUUAUCUAUCACUUCUAUUUUCGCUUUAUCUACCUCUAUGCCAUUCUUGGACACCUUAUAACCCAACACUAUUCAUUUUUGCACCAUGAAGUGGCAUUUUUCCCAAUUGAGUACUAAGUUAGUCAUCUAACAUCUUUUAAGAACUUUUUCCAAGUUGUGUAAACAAUCAGUAUAUGUCUCUCCGAAGACUGAGAAAUCAUCCAUAAAGACUUCCAAUGUUUGCUCCACCAUAUCCGAAAAAAUAGACAUCAUACAUAUCUGGAAAGUUGCUGGAGCAUUGCACAAACCAAAGGGCAUCCUUCUGAAGGCAAAAGUUCCAUAAGGACAGGUAAAUGUAGUCUUUUCCUGAUCCUCUAGGGCUAUAGCAAUUUGGUUGUAGCCUGAAUACCCAUCUAAGAAAUAAUAGUAUUAUUUUUCAGCAAGUCUGUCCAACAUUUGAUCUAUAAAUGAAAGUGGGAAGUGAUCAUUCUGUGUGGCUUUGUUGAACUUCCUAUAAUCCAUACAUACCCUCUAAUCCAGUUACUGUUCUUGUAGGAAUAAGUUCAUUUUUUUUCAUUUGCUAUCACUGUUAUUUCUCUCUUCUUUGGAACACAUUGAACUAGACUCACCCAUGAACUGUCUGAUAUCGGGUAUAUGAUCCCAGUAUCCAAUCAUUUGAUGAUUUCUUUCUUCACGACUUUCUUCAUAAUGGGGUUUAACCUUCUCUGUUGUUCUACUGAAUUGUUGUAGUAAUCUUCUAACAGAAUUUUAUGCAUGCAUAUGAAUGGACUGAUCCCUUUAAUGUCUGCCAUGGUCCAUCAAAUUGCUUUUCUGUGUUUCCCAAGCACAUCUACCAGGCUCCUUUCUUGACCUGCAUCCAAAGUAGAUGAAAUGAUUACAUGGAGUUUGUUGUUCUGACCAAGAUAAGCAUAUUUCAAAUGUGAGGGUAACAUUUUUAAUUCAAGAGUAGGAAGUGAUUCAAUAGAAGGUAAAGUUGUCUUUACUUCCUUGUCUGAAAGAUUUAGAGGUUCAACAAAUCUGCUAUGUCUGUUAGAUUGCCUUUCUCCCAUCCAAUCUAUCUGGUUUGCUGCAGUAUCUUCUUCUUCAAAGCUCUCAAAGGUUACAACUUUGAUGACCUUAGUACUACAGCAUCUAUUUACUUUGUUUGCUAUAACACAAUCCAAAACACUCAAGAAAUUGUAAUCUUCUACCUCAUCAGGAUUCUUCAUAGCCUCUAAUACAUUAAAUGUGACUUGUUGGUCAUUCACCCUCAUUGUUAGCUCUCCUUUUUGCACAUUUAUUAGAGUCUUCCCAGUUACUAGGAAAGGUCUUCCAAGUAUAAUGGGUACCUCUUUAUCAACCUCAAAGUCUAGUACAAUGAAGUCCACUAGAAAGAUGAAUUUGUCUACUUUCACCAGUACAUCCUCAAUCUUUCUUUCAGGGUAUGCAUCAGAUCUAUCAGCUAAUUACAGAGUGACUGUUGUUGGCCUGCAUUCUCCUACUCCAUACUGCUUAAAUACAGAUAAUGGCAUCAAAUUAAUGGUGGCUCCCAAAUCACAGAGUGCUCUGCCAUUGUACCUAAUUCCAAUAGAACAUAGUAUUGUGAAACUUCCUAGAUCCUUCAAUUUUUUUAGGUAUCUUACUUUGGAGCAUGUGACUGCUUUCUUGUGUUAAAGCAACAGUUUCAAAUUCUCCCAACCUUCUUUUUCUUGCCAAGAUGUCUGUUAGAAAUUUUACAUAAUUAGGCAUUUGCUCCAAUGCUUCCACAAAAGGUAUGUUGAUGUGUAAUUGUUUCAGCACUUCCAGGAAUUUACUAAACUGCUUAUCUUGUUUUUAUUUCUGGAAUCUCUGUGGGAAAGGAGGUGGAUGCCUAAAUUGCUGGGCAGCUUUAGAAGGUACCAAUCUCUACACAUUUGAUUUAUUGUAAGUUGUUAUCACUGGUGUUGCAACUUCUUCUUCAGCAUUUAUUGGUUGAUUCCCUUCCAAAGUUAUUGUAGCUUGACCACUAACACCAAUAUCUUGAUAACUGGGUUGCUAUAACAUGCUCUCAUCUUCAAGUUGUUCUUGUGAGGAGUUAAGUUCCAACAUUUUCUUAGUCACGUCAACAGAAAUAUCAACAUUCUUUCCAGAUCUUAGGUUGAUUACUUUACAGUGUGCUUUUCCCUCUCUUCUUAGAUCUUCUGUAUUGCUGGGUAAACUUCCCUGAGAUCUGCUACUCAUUGCUGUGGCAAGCUGUCCAAUUUGGUUUUUCAGGUUUCUUAGAGAUACAACUUGACUUUGCACAAUUGCUUCAUUCUUCACAAUGUAUUCCUUAAUCAGUAUUUCGAAUGAGGUAAGUGGAUCAUGGCUAGUGUGUUUUUGCCCUUGAUUUUGCUGAUGAAAACCAGGUGGUUGAGUAUUUAUGUUUUGUCCACUCAAUGUUGGAGCAUUUUGAUUCUGAUUGCCCCAUGAAAAAUUUGGGUGUUGCUUCCAUCCAGGGUUGUAAGUAUUUGAGUACGGGUUGUUUUGAGGUUGUCGGUUGAAAUUACCCACAUAGUUUACUGAUGCUGGAUUUCCAGGGUAGUUGUCAAAUACAUGUUCGUCACCAUAAUACACGCAAGACAGUUCAGCAACUUGCUUUACUGCUGCUGGAACAGAAGUCAUGGCUUUCACCGUGUUAGUCAAUGAAGUUACUUGUGCUGAUAAUGCUGUAAUUGCAUCUAUAUUAUGUACCCCCAUUGCUCCUCUCACUGUUGUCUGUCUAGUUGAUGGCCACUGAUAAUUAUUGUUAACAAUUCUCUCUAAAAUUUCAUAAGCUUUAAUGUAAGAUUUAGAUAACAAAGCUCCAUUUGUUAAAGCAUCAACCAUCAAUCUGGUACUUGGAUUCAACCCAUUGUAGAAGGUUUCUAGCUGUAUACAAUAAGGAAUGCCAUGAUGAGGACACCUUUUGAGCAGCUAUUUAAAUCUCUCCCAAGCCUCAUACGAACUUUCAUCUUCAAGCUGAUGAAAAGAAGUGAUCUCAUUCCCCAAUUUUGCAUUCUUGGUUGGUGGAAAAUACUUUAUUAAAAAUUUGUCAGCUAAUUCAUUCCAUGUAGUGAUGGAAUCAGAUGGUAAUGAGUUCAACCAUGCUCUGGCUCGAUCUCUUAAGGAGUAAGGAAAAAGCCUUAGUCUUAAAGCAUAUUGCGUUACUCCAAGAAUUUCAAAAGCAUCACUCACUUCCAAAAACAACUUAAGAUAGAGAUGAGGAUCUUCAGUUGGCAAUCCAUUGAAUUGACCCACUGUUUGCAACAUUUGAAACAUCACUGGCUUAAGUUCAAAGUUUGCGGCUUCCACUUCAGGUCUGACUAUUCCAGGAUGUACAACUUGAGGAGUUAACACAGCAUAAUCCCUGAUAGUCCUAUCUCUAUCAUCUGCCAUGUAAAUGAUAUUGCUGCUGCCUGGUUGUCUCUUAUUAACAUGCUCAUUUUGCCCAUCUUGAACAUUGACAGGUUGUAGUGGUCCGUGAGGGUCCAAGUUUCCCACAUCUUGCAAAUUAUCCAUCCCUGAAAUAGUUUUUGAAUUUCAUUGUUCUCUUCGCAGUCUUCUUAUGGUCCUUUCAAUCUUAGGAUCAAGGUGAAAUACAAUAGAACUGUCUUUAUGCAUGCAAGUAUUGAUUUGUCAAUAAACAGAACAAAUUAGAUCAAGUUGGCACUGUCAAGAUUGACUUCACACUUUGAAAAUAAACAAUCAAUCCCCGGCAACGGCGCCAAAAACUUGUUGGAUAAUUUUUAACUCAAUUGCUAUUGAUGUCAAUGUGCAAGUGAACACAAUAAGUAAUAAAGUGAUGAAUAUUCAAGAUCGUCUCCACAAGGAUUAAUGUUACUAGAAAGGCUACAACAAUCACGAUAGUGCAAACUUCUUUUGUUCCAAAAAGAUUAAAAAUUAAUUACCACUGAAAUAAACAAUAAAAGAAGAAACAAAAAUAAGUUAAUGCAAUAAUAAAUCAAAUUGAAUGAAUUGCGUAGGAAGAAUUCAAUAGGGAUGAGGUAGUUAAGUGAUCAAACUCUCUUCAGGGACUGACUGUUUUGUCUAAAUUAACACCAGUUGCUACAGUAAUUCUUACAGCACUAGGCAGAAUUAUUUUACAUCCUCAGAUGUCGCUUAUCAGAUUUCUCAUACCCUUAAGCACCUAACAAUGACUGUUAUAGUACAAUUUAUGCACUAGUUUUGCAUUGUUUACUUCCUUUAAUAUCGAUUUUUUGCACUUAAUAAUAGUUAUUUACUUGUGUUUUAUUUUUGUAAGUACAAUUCUAUUGAUUGGUGCUAAAAUUGAGCUACAAGAUGAUGUUUGAGGAUGAUUGUUUUCCUAGAAAAAUUAUGAGCUUCAGAAGAACUUUGUUGAUAAGGCGUGGGCGCGUGCUGUCGAUUACAGACCUGCAGUUUUUAGUUUAACGUAUUUUGUCUUUUUGGUUAUUUUUGUAAUUACUAAUUUAAUAUUUAGCUAAUAUUUUAGAUAUUAGUAUUUUAUUUUAAAAAGAACUCUAGAGGAGGAGAGAGGGAAGAGAAUUUAAGAGAGGAAUCUAUUGUCAAAGAAGGGAAGAAAAAGAAACCCUAGAUCUAAAUUUUUCUCUUCUCUAUGAAAAACUAAAUCUAUUAUUCUGGUUAAAGGUUAAUGAAGCUUUGAUUCAUCACUACUGUGAGAUCUUUCUUAUGCUUUAAUUGUUUUAUUACUUUUUGGGUAUUUUUUUAUUCUCUGAAUUAUUGUCAUGAUUAUGUUUGUUAAUUAGAUAAUUGGCCACUAUUUAAUUAUCAACUUAAUCUAUUAUCAAUUAAAAGAUUCAUCGUAUGAAUAUUUUAAUGUUUGUGAUAAAUAGCAUAGCAGUGCAUUGUGUAAUGAGAAUAAACAAUCUAAUUUAAAUGAACUAUCGUAUGCGUUUGUUGAUUAGGAUUUGGGUCUCUCUGAUUUUUCAGGCUGUCAAUUGAUUAAAUCAUAUGAUCGUAUCUAGGGUUGUCUAUUGAUUAGAGAAAUAACCAACAGUCGUACCUUGGUUAUUGACUAGUUAAGGAGAGAUUGGCUAUUAGAGAGUCUCAGUAGCUAUAACCGGUCUAUUCAUAAGUAGUAAUGAUUUAUAUUUGAAUCAAUGAUCAAUAGUCGAAUCAAGCUGAGUUAAUUCCUUCAACCAGAGCUUUCCCCAAUUUGAAUUACAAUUUUAAUUUGCAUUCUUGUUAUUUUAAUUUGAUUUUUAUUAUUGUCAACAAUUCCCCCAUUUUGCAUUUUAUAUUUUAAAAGGAUUUAAAUAAUUACUGAUCUCUGUGGACACGACCCUGCUCAAUUACUAUACACAAUUUAUUUAGAGUAGGUAUUUAUUUUUGCUGGCUUCGACAACCAACAAAUUUUGGCGCCGUUGCCGGGGAUUGGUGUCGUUUAUUUAAUCCUUUUUACGUUUUACUUGGUGUAUGGUUUUUUCUUCUCGUACAAGUACACUUUCAUUUGAUCUUGAAAUUAAAAAGACGGCUCGCCAGUUGAGACAGCAGACAAAGCGAGCUAAGCAACGAUCCUUGUCGCCUUUACUUUCUGAAUUAGAUACGGUGCCUGAUUUAGUUGAAUCAUCUAGUGAUUUAGAAGAACAAGUGAUGGAUAGAGCUGCACCUGUAGAAAGAACUCUUAGAGAGUUAGCUGAACUAGACUUGAAUCAGCAACCACUCUGCAUUCAAUAUGUAGGCUUGGAGGUAAAUUUUGAAUUAAAGUCUGGUCUAUUUAUUUGUUACUCAAGUUUCAUGGUUUUGCAGGUGAAGAUCCUUAUAAACAUCUCAAGGAGUUUCAUGUUGUGUGUUCAAGUAUGAGGUCACAAGGCGUGACAGAAGAACAGAUUAAGUUGCGUGCUUUUCCUUUCUCUUUAGAUGGACUAGCUAAAGACUAGUUGUACUACUUGCCUCCUGGAUCGAUUACAACGUGGAAUGGUUUGAAGAAGCAGUUCCUUGAGAAAUACUUUCCUGCUUCAAGAGCUGCCAACAUCAGAAAAGACAUUUGUGGGAUCAGACAACUUCUUGGGGAGACUUUAUAUGAGUAUUGGAAGCGAUUCAAACAAUUCUGUGCAAGCUGUCCUCAGCAUUAGAUUUCUAAUCAACUUCUUAUUCAAUAUUUUUAUGAAGGACUAUCAUUAAUGGAUAGGAGUAUGAUAGAUGUUGUUAGUGGAGGCGUGUUGGUGAACAAGACUCCUACUCAAGCAAGGGAGUUGAUAUCAAAUAUGGCUGCCAAUGCACAACAAUUUGGCAGCAGGCAAUAUCCCACUUCAAGGAAGGUGAAUGAGGUAAAUAUUUCUUCUGUUGAACAACGUUUAGAUAAACUUACUUCUCUUGUGAAAAAGUUUGUUGUAGGUAAUGUCCAACAGGUGAAGACUUGUGGCAUUUGUUACAAUAUGGGUCAUUCAACUGAUAUGUGUCCUACACUUCAAGAAGAACUCGUUGAACAAGCCAAUGCAGUUGGAGGAUUUCCAGGCAUGCCUCAGAGGAGGUAUGAUCCUUAUGCACAAACAUACAAUCCGGGAUGGAAUGAUCACCCCAACUUCAGCUAUGGAGUUAGGCCAUCAGGAUUCCCACAACAGUAUCCACCAAGACAACCAGCACCUCCACAGUCAAACUCCAAGUCAGGUAUAUCUCUUGAAGAAAUUGUUAAAUCACUUGCGACUAACACUUAACAAUUUCAGCAAGCAACUACAGCAAGCAUUCAGAAUUUGGAGAACCAAAUGAGUCAAUUGGUGACUACAGUGAGCCGUCUGGAGUCUCAAGUAAUAGGGAGGUUGCCUUCACAAUCUGAGGUGAAUCCAAAGCAAAACGUUAGUGCUAUCAUCCUUAAAAGUGGGAAGGAGUUGCAAGAGCCUAGUAAGAAAGUGACAAAGCAUGUAGAAGAUGAGCUUGAGAAGAAUGAAUUGAUGCCUAAAUCUCAAGAUGCAAAACCCACCAGAGCGAAACCCCUACCUAUUGUGAUACCUCCUCCUUUUCCAAGCCGGUUUGCAAAAUCCAAAAAGGAGGAACAAGAGAAAGACAUCCUUGAGACAUUUCACAAGGUUGAGUUAAAUAUUUCUUUAUUAAAUACUAUAAAACAAAUACCUCGAUAUGCUAAAGUCCUUAAGGAACUGUGCACCUCCAAGAGAAAAUUAAGAGGAGAUGAAAAGUUCACAUGGGGGAGAAUGUUUCAGCAGUUCUCCAAAAGAAACUACCUCCUAAGUGCAAGGAUCUAGGUAUGUUUACUAUCCCUUGUAAAAUUGGUAGUGUUAGAGUUGAAAAGGCUAUGUUAGAUCUAGGAGCUUCUAUUAAUGUCAUGUCUCGUUCCAUUUAUUCAUCUUUGAACGUUGGUCCAUUAAAAGAAACUGGUGUGAUAAUUCAACUAACUGAUAGGUCUAAUGCAUAUCCUAAUGGGGUACUAGAAGAUGUCUUAGUACAAGUUAAUGAGUUGAUUUUUUUCCUGCUGAUUUUUAUGUACUUGAUAUGGAAGAGGAUAACUCCUCUAAUUCUGUCCCAAUUUUGCUAGGAAGAUCUUUUCUUAAGACUGCUAGGACUAAAAUGGAUGUACAUAAAGGGACUCUUACUAUGGAGUUUGAUGGAGAGGUUAUAGAAUUCAAUAUGAAUGAUGCCAUGAAAUAUCCUAGUGAGGAACAUUCGGUAUUUUUUAUGGAUGUUAUUAACCCUAUAGUGCAAGAAGUUUUUUACAAGGAAAAAACGAAGACAUUUCAUGAUAGAAUGAUUUUGAGAAAGGAGUUCUCUGUUGAUCAAAAAGUUCUUCUUUUUCAUUCAAAGCUUAAACUUUUUUCGGGUAAAUUACGUUCUUGCCGGGUUGGACCUUUUAUUGUUACUAAUGUUUUUUCUCAUGAUGCAAUUGAAAUUCGGAGUCCGACCUCUGACAAAGUUUUUAAGGUUAAUGGUCAUCGCUUAAAACCUUUUUAUGAAGGUUUUUCGAUGAAUAUUGUGGAGGAUGUGGCUCUCAAGAGUCCCAAUUAUGGAGAUUGAUGCAUAAAUGUGUCCAGCCAAAUACAUAAAACAAAGGCGCUUUUUGGGAGGCAACCCAAAUGAUUUAUUUAUUUUGAUUUUUGUUAUAUCUUCUUUUAAUUUUGAUUCGGAUUUUUUAAAAAAAUAAUGUGUUUGCUUAUUUUGGCCAGAAGAAAAUUUUUGAUAAGGCGUGCCCACGUCUUAACUAAUAAGUACUUCUGUGAUUUUUAAAGUAAAAUGGUUUUAAGGUGUGCCCACGUGCUUAUUUAAAAAGUACUUCUGAAAUUUUUAGUGUCUCAAGUGAUUCAUCAUUAAAAAAAAAUUAAUUUGAUUUAUUUAUUUGAAAAAAAAAUAAAAACGAGAAAAAAAAGAGGUUUUUUUUUCUUUUCUUUCUUUUAUAUAUUAUUUAUUUAAAAAAAUGAAAAAAAAAUCAAAAAUCACUGUUCACAAAAUCCCUAAUUCAAAAAAAUCAUUUUCUUUCCCGCAGCAACCAGCCGCUCCAGCCUUCACCGAGCAUCCCCAGCAGCAGCAGCAACCGUGCGCGCAACCAGCCCCAUCCCGCUCCACACAGCAGCCAUGCACGCUCUGCCCCAGCCUGAGCACGCAACGCAACAAGCGUCACUAGCGCGCAGCACCAGCAAUCCCCCAGCGCGCAGCAUCAGCCCCAGUGUGCAGAUCCAUCGCGCACCAGUUCGCAGCACCAGCAUCCUGCGCACGCGCAGAUCCAGCGUCACCAGCGCGCAACAUCAAUCCCAGCCCGCGCGCGCAACACAACCAGCACCAACCCAUGCAGUACAACCAUCCGCGUGCAACUGAACCAGCAGCCGUGUACCCGCAACCUCCAGCCGAGCAACAAUAGUCCGCAACCAGCCUACGACCUGCAUUCCAGCCGCGUGAAUCGAAAUCUGUGAGUGAAAUUAUUGUAACAAUGCCGAAAAGGAAAGCAUCAACUUCCAAGUCAUCUAAAAAGACAUCCAUCGCAAAGCAAUCUAAGAUUGCCGCUCCUACUACGGUUCCAUGGAACACAAUUUCAGAUUCACGCCAAGCCGUGGGACAAAGAUCGAAACAUGGAAAAGGCAUGAGUGUUUUGCCACUUGGGGAAUCCAAUCUCAGAGGGUGCCUCACAUUCACGACUCAACAAGAGAAAGAAAGGUACAAAGAUAUUUCCAAGCGAAAAUACUUCCAACUAAGUAUAUUCAUUACCCGACUCUUGAAAAAUUGAAUAUUAAGGAUAAUUUUGAUUCUUUGAUAGAUAAGACUGGUUUGCAUAAGUUUGUUGAUGUUGAUUGUUUGGGUUAUGUUGAGUUGAUUAGGGAGUUCUAUGCUACUUUUCAAUUUAAUAUACCGAAUGAUUUUACUUUACAUACCCCGAAUGUUAUAAAGUUUAGGUUAAUGGGAUGAAAUUUUUCACUCUAUCACGGAUUUUAACCUAGCUUUAGGAUUCAUUGAUGAUGAUUAUUCUUCUAGUGAUGCAUAUUUAGGAACAACUUGUGACUUUAGCGAAAAUUUUAAGCCUUAUGGUCUUUGGCGUAAUUUAUCUGUUGAUCACAAUGCCUAUGACCCGAGUAAAUCAAAGAGUUCUUUCUUAUAUGAUCCUGUUUUGAAAUGUGUGCAUCGAUUCUUAGCAUAUAAUUUUUUAGGAAAGAAAGAUCACUCAGGAGUUUCUCUAAAUCUGAAUUUUAUUUUAUCUGGUGCAUGUUAAAUGAUGUGAGGCCUAAUUUAGGUUUUUGGUUAGUAGAUCAAUUUCAAAGUGUGCUUAAACGGUAUAGGACUUUAUUUCUUGGUCCAUACAUUACUCUGUUAGCUACAAACCUAUGUGUGCUUGAUCCUGACAAUAAUGAUUUGCAUCCUGCUUGCAAAAAGGAAUUUUUGGAUAUGUCUGUGUUUGAAAGAACAGGUGCGGUCGAAUUCAAGGAGGAGAGAUUUUAGUUUACUGAAUCAGGACCCACUCAACCUCCAAAGAAGCUUUAUGCUAGGAGUGGUGCUACCUCUGAUGACGAGUUUGACGACGACACUGCUGCUCCGCCGACUAUUCCUUCUACAUCCGCACCACCUUUGAGCAUUCAAUUAGAGAAAAUGGAGCACAAGCUGAACAAGAUGGAGCAGAAUUUGGCCGCAUACUUCGAGAGUGGGAUUUAUCCCACCAUUUCUGCCAAGCCCAUAGACGUUAUAAGGAUCAAAGCUCACAAUUCAGGGAAGUUUUUACCUUUAAUCAUUUAUCCUUACGCUUUAAUUUUUAUGUGAGCUUUGAUUAUCUUACAUUGGGGACAAUGUAAGUUCUUGGUGUGGGGGAGGGAUUUUUGCAUUAUUGAUGUCUGGAAGUAUUAUUUUCACUCUACUCAUUCUUAAACGAUUUUGGAGUUAGUAUGCUUCAUAUAUUAUUAUUUUUCUUUUCUUUUCUUUCUCACUAUUUUUUUCCCAUCUAUCUCAAAUUAUUCAUAUCUAUUUUUAUUUUACCAUAUUCUUUCAUCACUCACAUUUCAUUUUUUUUAUUUCUACAUACAUCUUUCUCGCUUAUUAUCCUUUUUACCUUUCCUUUUAUAUAUCACUCAUACCUUCUUUUCAUUCUACACCACUAUUGAUGGUUGAUUCAUUUGAAGAGUGUACAUGAUUUGAUGGCAAAUUUACCAACUUUGUGAGGAUUUGAGCUUAUGAGCAACCACUUUGCUCUAAUUAUUUUUGUUAUGUGAAUAUCAAUCUUAGUUUGUUUAUUCUAGAACUUGCUUUGUUAUGCAUGUUGAAGCCACAUUACGGGAUUUUAUGCAUUAAAAUGAUAAGGGCAAACUACUUUCCAUUUUUCUAUUCUCACAUUUUUCUUCUUUUUCUCCACCCGAAAACCUUUAUUUGUUAUCUUUGUUUGAGCCUUAACCAUUACCCAUCUAAUUAUCUCCGUCUACUUAACCAUUUUUCUUCUUUUUGAGCCUCAAUUUAAGGAGAUUUUUGGACUCAUUGGGUGGAUAUAUUUUGUUGCUUUUUCUACCUUGUAUUAAAGUUUCUCAAUUAGAUCAACAAGCAUUAUGCAUGAAUUAAAUUGUGCAAGGUUCGUUUCUUUUGUUUGAUUCAUCACUACUGAAAAAAACAAAAAAAAAUUAAAAAAAAAACCAAAAAAAAGAAAAAGAAAGAAAAGGAAAAAGAAAAAAAAUGUUUAAAUUCUUGGUGACUUGAGUAGACAUAAGCAUUUCGGUAUCAUAAGGUUCAUUCAAUAGUUCAUUCUUCUAAUUUUGAUCUCUUUUUCUUUUAUAGACCUUUCUUUUUCAUUUAACCCAUUUAACCCUGUUACAACCUUUUUAAGACCCUUAGAUUUUUGCAUUUAAUUCAUGUUUUGUGGAUUGAGAUGUGAUAUAAGCAAGCUUAUGGUAAUAGCAUUCUUUGAUUUGAUUUGAGUGCAUAAAUGAUACCCUAAACACUUUGAGUGCAUGGAGUGAAGUCAAUGAGAGUGCUAUUAAAUCUUGUUGCACUUGAAUUUUGAAUGGAUCUUCUUGGUGGUUGAAUGUUUUUCUUUUAUAUUAGCUUAUGAGAUCCUAUGCUUUAAAAUUCUUAUCUUUUGAAUGUUGAUCGACUUAAAUUCUUGAGGUAUGCUUGCUUAAGAUUGUUUUCGGAUGAGUUGAGAUGAGAAUUGAGUGGAGAUUUGGGAUUAGUCUUGAGUUAUAUGCUUGAGGACAAGCAUCAUCUUGGUGUGGGGGAAUUUGUUAGAGUACAAUUUAUGCACUAGUUUUGCAUUGUUUACUUCCUUUAAUAUCGAUGUUUUGCACUUAAUAAUAGUGAUUUACUUGUUUUUUAUUUUUGUAGGUGCAAUUCUAUUGAUUGGUGCUAAAAUUGAGCUACAAGAUAAUGUUUGAGGAUGAUUGUUUUCCUAGAGAAAUUAUGAGCUUCAGAAGAACUUUAUUGAUAAGGCGUGGGCGUAUGCUGUCAACUACGGACCUGCAGUUUUUAGUUUAAUGUGUUUUGUCUUUUUGGUUAUUUUUGUAAUUACUAAUUUAAUAUUUAGCUAAUAUUUUAGAUAUUAGUAUUUUAUUUUAAAAAGAACUCUAGAGGAGGAGAGAGGGAAGAGAAUUUAAAAGAGGAAUCUAUUGUCAAAGAAGGGAAGAAAAAGAAACCCUAGAUCUAAAUUUUUCUCUUCUCUAUGAAGAACUAAAUCUAUUAUUCUGGUUGAAGGUUAAUGAAGAUUUGAUUCAUCACUACUGUGAGAUCGUUCUUAUGCUUUAAUUGUUUUAUUACUUUUUGGGUAUUUGUUUAUUCUCUGAAUUAUUGUCAUGAUUAUGUUUGUUAAUUAGAUAUUUGGUCACUAUUUAAUUAUUAACUUAAUGUAUUGUCAAUUAAAAGAUUCAUUGUAUAAAGAUUUUAAUGUUUGUGAUAAAUAGCAUAGCAGUGCAUUGUGUAAUGAGAAUAAACAAUCUAAUUUAAAUAAACCAUCGUAUGCGUUUGGUGAUUAGGAUUUGGGUCUCUCUGGUUUUUCAGGCUGUUAAUUGAUUAAAUCCUAUGAUCGUAUCUAGGGUUGUCUAUUGAUUAGGAAAAUAACCAACGGUCGUACCUUGGUUAUCGACUAGUUAAGGCGAGAUUGGCUAUUAGAGAGUCUCAGUAGCUAUAACCGGUCUAUUCAUAAGUAGUAAUGAUUUAUAUUUGAAUCAAUGAUCAAUAGUCGAAUCAAGCUGAGUUAAUUCCUUCAACCAGAGCUUUCCCCAAUUUAAAUUACAAUUUUAAUUUGCAUUCUUGUUAUUUUAAUUUGAUUUUUAUUAUUGUCAACAAUUCCCCCAUUUUGCAUUUUACAUUUUAAAAGGAUUUAAAUAAUUACCGAUCUCUGUUGACACGACCCUGCUCAAUCACUAUACACAAUUUAUUUAGAGUAUGGCAUUAUGAGCAUACAUUCUCUACCCUACAAGGUGAAUUCCUAUGUCUAAUUCUUCACACAUUUUAACUCAAAGAUAGCCCUUUUGGGACUCAAGUAAUCUUAAUCCAGGAAACUUAAGUUAUGAUCAAGUAUUACUCUAUUAAUUUCCACUAAGACAGGUCCUUUUGCAGCUCUUUCUUAACUUGAACCAUUAAAUGGGUGGUCAACCAAAAUAAUGAUUAUAAUAAUAGUUAUUAGAGUAAAAUGCUAUAGCAAUCUUGUAGCAACUCAUAAGAACAGUCAAAAACCCAUUUAGAUUGUUUGUCACUCAACUACAAACAGAUUUAGUUCAUACUUCGAAAAAGAAAAGUAAACAGCAAAGUAUUGGCCAUGAAAUACAUCGUUUCAAUCAAAGAGUAAGAAAAGGAACAAGUAAAAAACAAUGAAAAUUGAAUCCAAAUUGUUCUGCUGAUUUCUUCACUGAUGCAGACUUGAGUUUCCCUUGAAUUCUGAUUUUUCCUUCUUUUCCUCUUGAUUUUCUUGAUGUCAAUUCACCGCCACCCUUUUUAUGUGAUGUGCGCUCUAUUUAUAACUGAAAACUAAGGUAAACCAAAGCCUAGGGCACGCGUGAUUCAAAUUAGAAAACUGCAGAUUGCAAUUUUGCAGAUAUCUCGCACUAAGUUUUCUCUAUAGUUGUUCCACGAUUACUACAGCAAUGGUUGCCCCAACAACGGCUAUAGCACUGCACUGCUCCAGAUCUUGUUUCAAUUAUUUUGUGGCCAUAUUCUUCCUCAUUUUGCCAUCCUAUUGCAUCAGCAUCUCUUCCAUAAAUUAUAAGCUUCUGGAAACCUACAAUUAUGCACAUAAUUUGAGCACGAAUUACCUUAAAUCACGUAAAACUUAUUAAGACUAAACUAAAAUGAAUGUUUAUUCAAAAUAUAACAAAAAUGUAAUAAAAACACAUCAUUUACUCUCUAAGUGAUCUUGAUUUGAGUCUAGAAUGGCCAUAAUAACUCUCAUUUCAUAGAGUUAUCACCCAACUUCACAAAUGCAGGUGCAAACUUCUUAAUAGCACGUGAGAAAUUGACUCCAAAUUGUCUUGAAAAGAGAAUAACUACGGUUAAAAAGCAUCAAGUAUCGCAUUAUAGAAUGCGAUAAUUCCUAUGACCACACCGUCCACCGAUGGCAUUGCUUCUCCACUGCCAGAACCUUCUCUAAUCGCUGGCGACAUCCCCACUGAUCAACAACCCUCACAACAACUAUUAACAUUUCAAACCAUAAACCCUAGAUUACAACAAAUCUUUCAAAAUAUGCUCUACGUUGUCGCCACCUUGCCUACCUCCGUUGGUGGCGAUUACUUACUGACGAAACCACCGUUGAACCUUAUGUACUCCUAACAGCUGCCUUUCACCCUCCCUGUACCACCAACCCCCUCAGGCACCAGUACACACGAGCACAAUCAAAACUCAAGCACCACUUAUUGGCCACUAUUUCUGACUCCUUUUAGUAAGACAAAUCCCCUUAGCUGCAAUAUAUCUCACCAACACCUUGCUGUCUCUCUUUUGGCCACCGCUAGUGGCACCAUCAACCUGCCAGCCAUCUCAUAUCUGCCACUUUUGACCACCCAAACCCACUCUACUGUUUAAAACUGAGACCAGCUGCUAAAUGCAGAAAACCUUAGUUAUAAUAAAGAAACCCUAGCCAACAUCCAUCUUUCCAAACCUAAAACUAAACCAAACAUCAAGCCCAAACCCAUGACCCUUUUUCCACCCCUCACUCUUGGUCAUACAUCCAACCCACCCUAAAAGGCCUCUUAUACAUCUAUUACAAAUCCUGAAGUUAUCCUCAACCGUAAUGCUAAGUCUUUUGUUGAUGUUAUUGCUGGCCCCCUGGAAUCUUCAAUUUGGGAAAAGCCAGUUUUAAUAUUUCAUGGUAAAAUUGUUAUCCACUUUUCAGCUACAGAUAUCCAGCCCAUAGCAUAACCAUUCAAACUUUCCCUUGUUAGUAAGUUUUUGUUUAGCCGCCCUCCUGUAGAUGUGAUUCACAAAUUCUUUGUUUCUUGAGUUUUAAAGGUAGUACACAGGUUACUUUGCUAGAUAAUUGAUCAAGCUUUAACUUGGAGUGGAUUACUCAUGUAUUUGGGUUAGGCAGACUUGGUAUGUUAGCGGCAAGUUCACGCGUACUUUUAAGUAGUCUACAUUUAUGCUCUAAGGAGUCUCAGUUGUUCUUGUUUAGGAGUCUUUGCCUUAUUUACCUGUGCAUUUCAUUCAUUACAGAGAUGCUUUAUUUUCUAUUGUAAAUGCUAUUAAAAAGCCUUUACGGGUUGACCGUGCCACUGCUGCUGUUAAUAGGCCCUCGGUGGCUCAUGUACUCAUUGAGUAUGAUGUUUCACGGCUAUUGUUACCAAGACUUUGGAUUAGUAAGGGUGAUAAUGGGUUUUGGCAAGAUAUCAUCUAUGAGCGUGUUCUGUUAUAUUGUGCCACGUGUAAGCAUCUUGGUCACUUUGCUGAUGCUUAUUUUGUUUCUAAUCAUGGGCUUCAAAAGCCCCAAUCACCUAUUGGUUAGGUGAAGGAUAUAGUUGUUGAUGAUACAAGUACGAUACUUAUUACUGAUGGUUUUGUCUAGCCUACUAGGGAUUUUGCUACGUAUGUGGUUACUAAGGAUAAUCGACUACAGAGGCCUGCUCUCGUCCAAGGUCAGUCUUUGGGCCUGGCCCCCUCGAUGAUGUUGCUUGGCCGUCUGCUCUUUUUCCUCAAGAUACUGUAGACGCGACAUCUAAUUCGAUUUCUUCUCUGUGAGUUCCAGAUGAUGAUGGUUUGCAACAUAAUGUUGCUCUAAGAGAUGUUGAUGGAUGCACUAAGGUUGCUAAUUCUCUUGUUUUGGAUAAUCCGAGCGCUCUAAGGACUUCCACAAGCUUUACUUUUUUCAGGUCUAUAGUGGAUGAUAUUCACUCCAUGGUUGUGAGUUUUAAUUACCAUUCUACAGAUAUCCCUAAUCAGUCGGAUGAGGAGUUUAGCUCUGACAGAAAUCCUGCAGUUCAUGAUUAUUUUGCGUCUAAGCCUGAGGGUAUAGCGGGGCAUGAUCUUGACCCCGACCUCAGUAUUGGUGGCCUCCAUUCCUCUAGUUUUAAGAAAGGUUUCAAAUUAGUUAAUGGUCGUAAGUAUUGUAAGUAUUUUUCUCGGCGUUUGCAUUAAUUAAUUAUCUUUAGCUUCUUAUUUAUUCUAUUAUUGUUUUCAUUCUUUUUCCAUUAGUUGGUUAUUUUUGUUCAUUUGCUUGGAGAUUUUGGUCUACGUCCCCCUCCAUAUGUAAUUUUGUUUAUAUUUUAAUAAUCAUAGGUAAGGGGGUCCCGCCUAACCCCACCAACUUUGGUUGAUUUUUAAUUAAAAAAAGCACAAAAAUUGACAAUUAAAGAAUUGAUCUAAAAUGGUAAGACAUGGGAAGUUUCUAGAUAUUAAAAUAUGAAGAAUUUUCUCAUGAAGGGCCUUCCACAUCGUUCUUUUGUUGCCUCUUAACAUGUUGUGAACGGAGAGUGCUUCUGAGUGUCGCUCUCAUUUUACUAAGAUGAAAAAUUAUGGAGGAGCAGAGUUCCUGUAAAACAGCAUAGUUGUGAUAAGUGUUUCGCGUUGCAAUCCCGAAGUAAAAGUUCAUUUGUCUAUGACCACUUUUAUACCCCUCCGGCUGGUGGCUUUUACUACGCAUGUCCAUUGAUGUGAUAAUAAUUUAUAUAUUUCUUAAUUUAAUUUUAUGUUAAAUUAUAUUUUAUCAUAUUAAUUAUAUCUUAAUCUUUAUUUUUGUUAUUUUAGGUACAUUUUAGGAAUAAAGAAGAAUUAAAUCAGAAUAUUCAAAUAAGAAGAGCUUAAAGAAGAAAUUGAUUGGAAAUUUAAGGAAGAUAAUGGGAGUUAAAAUGGAAGAAAAUCGAAGCAACCAAGGCCUAAUUGUAGUUCACGUGAAGAUGAGAAGAAUUAGCAUUGGAAAUAAGUUAAUUAAUAAGGCAAAUCAUGUGAAGAAUAGAGUAAAAGAAGAAAGCAUUCUGGUGAUGGGCUUUGGCCAAAUCAUUAUUGGCUUAUUAAUUGAACAAGUCACGUGCAUGCAUGAAAGAAAAGAAGCGGUUUGGCUUUUGUUUUUAAUUCUUUCCAUAUAAAGAGUUAAAGGCCACAAUUGAAACAAUAUAAAAGGGCACGAGUGGAAGGCCACAAGAGAGGAGGGCAGCCGCACAAAUUGGAAGCCAAGAGAAAAAAAAAACCGAGAGCAAGAAAAAAGAGAGAGAGAGAGAGAGAGAGAGAGAAAAGCCGCCGCUGCAAAUUUUUGCAACAAUUUGGAGAAGUCGAUUGCCGAGAUUGAAGAGAGACAGCUUUUUGAGUUUACUCUUUCUCUUCUCUUUUUCUAUUAUCUUGUUUGAAUGUUCCUAAUUAAAUUUAUGAAUUCUCUUUAUAUUCCCAUGAACUAAUUUAUUUUGCUAGGGCUACGAUGUAGCCUAACUAUAAAGAUUUAUUUCCAUAAAUAUAUGUUAUUUUUAGUUUAUUAUUUCAUGGUUGAGUGUUCAUUAUUGUGCUUAAUACUUUUAAAUAUUUGGUCAAUAUUUAAAUGAUUUAAGGAUAUAUAAUGAGACCGAAAGGAGAUUUAUGUAUUUUUGCUCUAUGUAAUGGAUGCCAUGACAGAGAUGUGCCAACGUGAUUCAUGUAGUUUUUCUAAGAAUUUCCAUAGAACUUAAUGAAUCUUUGCAUAUUUAAAUUCACAGAGAGAUAUAGUGGGUUAAUAUGUGAAGGUAUUUUUGAUUUUACUCGGGAGAGGAUAUUGAAUAGAUUAGGGAAAUUCACUGUCAACAUUGGUAAUAAAUUUUAAUAACAUAAAUGGAGGAUUAAAAUUGGAUUGGUUAUGGUGAAAUCAGAUGUCCUAGAGUCAUAAUCUCUUCGUGAUUUCUAUUACUGCUUGCAUAUUUAUUUAGUUUUUAGUUAUUUUAUUCUAUUUUAAUUUUUUUUAUCUAAAUCCGUCUAUACGAUUGUUCAAAUAAAUUAGGAUUAGAAUAAUUUCGGUAGCUAAUAGGAUAUACAAUCUCUGUGGGACGAUAUUCUACUCUUCAUUUUAUUACUUGUGCCGACUAAUACACUUGCUAAUUUAUGCAUCAUCCACCAUAGUCCGAUAAGCAAGCAUAUAACACUUUUUAUUGGAGAAAUGUUUGAUUAGAAUAUGAUGGGUAUUGUUAUCCGGACUAAUUCGUCCAAUUUCCUCGUAACAUUCAUUACGCUCUCCAUAGCACCAGCUAUGCAGUAGGCAUAGAGCAUGCAAUUUAAAUCAUAUUUGUCAUACUUGACUUCAAAAUACCCAGCCAAUUUGCCUCUUCAAAACACCCACCCUGGCAGAAUGCUGAAAUCAUGAUACUGUGGGCAUAGUCAUUUGCGUGAGGCAAAUAAAAUUUGUGGUUAACCUAAAAGCUUAGAUAUAGUACUAUCUUUUGUUUGGUUAAUAUCUGACUGAACUAUGUUAAUUUAAUUUAAUAAAUUAUUAAAUAAAAUUCUGAUAUUCAAUAUAAAAUUACUUGGUUAAAAAUUCGUGAAAUUCACUUCUAUGUUUAAUUUAUAUUAAAAUAUUAGGUUAAAUGAAAAAGAAAAAAGUGAUAAAGAGGACACAAAGCUUUUGUUUAAUCUUAUCUCACCUAAACCCCUAUAAAAAUAAGGAUUAAUAAUCCUAUUAGUUUUAGACUAAAUUUAAGUUUACUCUAAUGGUCCAUGACAACCAAACAUACCUUAGAUUAAAUUAUUUUGUUAGUUUCAAAAUCUAAUUGAAUCCCACAAUUUAUCGAAGCUCCCAAAAACAGCCUAAUAUAUAGUUAAAAAAUAUUGUAUUCAUAAAAAUGCGGUACAAGUAAGAAUACCAACGUUAGUGCACCAAUAUACAUAUGAGAUAGGAUCAACUAUCUCUCUCUUUUGAAACAAUAACUUACACAAAAUCUUAACCUUUUAACAUUACCUAAUGAUCUCUUUAAUACUAUUUUGAUUUUAAAAAAUGGUGUCUUUAAUACUACUUUGAUAACAAAUGGGUUACAAAAUUUUGAAAGAAGGCAAUAUUUAUUAAUAUCAAAAAUAAAACUUAAUGGGCCCUAAUAUAUUAUUAAAUAUUUUUCUUCUACUUCAUCUUAUUUUCUCUCCAUAAUUAAUAUGAUUUGAUUCUCUCAAUCUUUCACUUGCUUUAAACAACUCUCCUCUAAGUAAUCACCAUACAGAUUUUCCAUUAAAAUACAAUCGUCAAUGGCAGAUAGAUAAAAGAAGAAACCAAAAAGUCCAGUUAUACUUCAAAUUAUGCUAUAUUAUUAUGCUAUUUUAUUAAUUAUUGGGAACGUGUGCAGCAACUAAUGUGUGCAUGGAGCAACUAACGUGUGCAUGUGCAGUAACUAUUGUAAUAUUCUAUAGCUUUUGUAUUCCAUUAGGAAUAGAAGGAGCAGCUUUUGUAUUCCAUUAGGAAUAGAAGGAGCAUAUUUAGGAGACUAUUUAGAGAUUUCGUAGCUAUCUUUGAUUUUGGUAUAGGUGUAUAUAUGAAUAGCCGUGUGAUAUACAAUAAACAUACAAAUUUCUUCCCCUCUCACAAACGUUUUCAUGGUAUCAGAGCCUUGAGCCGAACCUUCUAAUAAAUCAAAAUUUUUCCAUAACCGACGCCGAAGCUAAGCACCAUGGCUGGAAGGGAAAAGGAAAACCCAAAUAUGAUAGAUUCGUCUUCAUCUUAUUAUCUUCAUCCCUCUGAUCAUACGGGCAUGAUUAUAUCCCCGGUGAAAUUAAAUGGUGAGAAUUAUGAAGAGUGGUCAUGCUCGAUGCGUAAUGCAUUUUGGGCAAGAAGAAAACAAUCGUUUUUUAAUGGCAAGAUUGAGAAACCUGCCGAAGAUGCUCCUAAAAUUGAAGAUUGGUGGAGUGUGAAUUCAAUGCUUGUAGGAUGGAUAUUUACAUCUUUUGAACCGCAUAUUCAUUCAACAAUCACCUACUAUGAUACUGUUAAGGAACUCUGGGAUGAAUUAAAAUUGAGAUUCUCAAUUGGGAAUGGACUACGGGUGCUGCAGUUGCGAUCCGAUCUGGUCAAAUGUAGACAAGAUGGGCAGACAGUAGGAGCCUAUUUUGGACGUCUCAAGAUUCUGUGGGAUGAACUCAGCAACUAUGUUCAACCUCCUGUCUGUUCUUGCGGCAACUGCGCCUGUAAUCUGUCAACGCAGUGGGAAAAAAAAAGGGAAGAAGAAUGUGUUCACCAAUUCUUGAUAGGACUUGAUGAUACGAUUUAUGGGACAGUUCAUUCUAAUAUUAUUGCUCAAGAUCCUCUUCCCUCACAAAGUCGUGCUUAUGCCUUGGUGGUACAAGAGGAAAGACAUCAAACCAUUACAAGGAUAUGUGAUGUGCGUGUCGAAGCCGUGAGCUUUGGUGUCCAAGCACCCAAGGCACAACAAGGUGUUGCUGCGUCUUUUUUGAAUAAUGCAAAUGGAGAAAAAUCAGUGUGUAAACAUUGUGGCAAAACCAGUCAUGAGAUAUCAUCUUUCUUCAAGAUUAUUGGAUAUCCGGAGUGGUGGACUGCUAAUCGUGGAAAGGGUAACUCAGGCAGACGAGGGCAGACAAAUAAUUUUGUUGGGCAUAGUAAAUCGCAUGCUGCUGUGACUAACGCUGCUCUUAUGCCUGCUGGUGGAGGAGGAAACUAGGCUAGUCCGACUCUGUCAGCAUAAGAUCAGGCUGCCCUUGCAACUACUCUCACGGAUGAUCAAUGGGAAAUUAUGGUGAAUAUGCUUAAUUCACAAAAUAAGGAUGUUUCAAAAGAGAAGCUUUCUGGUAAGUGGAUUCUAGAUACAGGGGCUUCGAGACAUAUGACAGGAAGCAGAGAAUUAAUGACUGAUCUGCAAAAUAUUGGGCUUUCGCCCAUAGGUCUUCCAAAUGGCACAUGCUCUCAUGCUCAGUGCGAGGGCACUGUUGAGUUUGGAAACAAUUAAAGAAUGAAUCAUGUUCUAUAUGUACCUGAUUAUUGGUUAUUUCAUUUUUUUCGGUGGUUCUCCCAUUUCCUGGAAGACAAAGAAACAACAUACUGUCUCUCGUUCUUCGACUGAAGCAGAGUAUCGGUCUAUGGCUUUCACUUGUUGUGAAUUAACUUGGUUGACGGCUUUGUUAAAGUCUCUUGGUGUUUCGCAUUCUCUACCAAUGCGUCUUUACUGUGAUAGUCAGGCAGCGCUUUGUUAACAUAUAUGUUUCCAUAAUAUUGAUUUUGAUAAUAACAAAUAAGUUUAAGAAUGAUUAAUCUUUUAAGCUCAAAUUAUUUAAUAUUCUUUUUAAAUAAAUCAUUAUUUUAACAUUAUAAAUGUUUUAUAUUUAAUGGAAAAAUAAUUUUAUGAAAUUGAUUGUUUUUAUUCUUUUUAAAUAAAUCAUUAUUUUCACAUUAUAAAUGUUUCAUAUUUAAUGGAAAAAUGAUUUUAUGAAAUUGGUUGUUUUUUAAAAUUUAUGGUUUAAUUGAAAGAAUUUUGAAAACUUUGAAAUAAACAAGUAUUGCUUGAAAUUUUGGAGAAGGACUUAUUUGAAAAGUGUCAUAGCAUUUUGGGCUAUACCAUAAUUUUAGAAAGUUUUGGGAUUAACAAAGCAUUACUUAGAAAUUCUGAAAUUGGACCUAUGUGCAAUGUUUCAUAACGUUUUGGGUCAUACUAUAGUUUUAUAAAGUUUUGGCGUCAAACUAUAAUUUCAGAAAAUAUUUUCACUGUAGCAAUUUCACUGUAGCAAACGGCUAACCGUUUAUUUAAAAUGGCUAACCGAUAAUUUCCAGAAAGCAUGUUCUGCAAAGUAUUGUUAAAAUGAUGAUUCUGGAAAAUAACGGUGAACCAUUUACUGAAAACGGUUAACCGAUUAUUUCCAGAUUGCUAACCUUGAACCGUUUAGUAAGAACGGUUAAAUCAAAUUUGUUUUGUAGGUCUCUGGAAAUUAACGGCGAAAGGGUAAGCCCAAACGGCUAACCGUUUAUUUAAAAAUUGGCCCAACGGUAACUUUGACCGGCCUAAACGGUUAACCGUUAAUGGUUAACAGCGAACCGUUUUCGAGUAGACAGUCUAUAACGGCUAGUUUUUUAGCUCCAACUAUAAAUAUGCUCAAUCCAAUUCAAAUAAGAAGAAUUCCAACGAUCAUCAUUGAGCAAAAUAUAGAGAAUACAACUUUCAUUGAGCUUUAAAUCUUUGUAUUCAUCUCAUUCAUUCACACAUUGAGCUUUCACUUGAGAUCAAACACAUUGUGUGAGAGGGAUUCAUUUGUAAUCUUUUUUGUAAAAUCAAGUUAAAAGAUUGUAAGUGUUGGGAUACACUUGGGUUAAGAGAUUGGGGAUAAUCUCUUGUUGUAAAGGUCCAUUGACACCUUGGAAGUCAAUUGUAAGUGUUUGAAGCCUUGAGAGGCUAACUUAGUGAAAUCCUCAAGCCCGGUGAGCUUGGAGGCGUGGACGUAGGCGGGGAUUGCCGAACCACGUAAAAAUCAUUGUGUUCGUUUUCUCUUCUCUUACUCUUUUAAUAUUGUGCAUGAUUGAAUUUAUUGUUUUCAAUUUGAUUAAGGCAAUAGAUUAAAUUGUUGUGUGGUUUGCCUAGGAUAAUUUUUAAAAUCCCAAUUCACCCCCCCCCCCCCUCUUGGGUUGCCUAGUUAGUAUUUCAUUUGGUAUCAGAGCGAGGUGCUCUUUUGUAGACUUAACCGUCUAGAGUUAAAGAUCUAUAGCAACCCAAAUUAGCUCAAUCUUCAUGGAAGGCCAAUCCACCACUAGACCUCCAUUCUUUGAUGGUAAUGACUAUCCUUAUUGGAAAACUAGGAUGAGAGUGUUUUUACAAGCCUUAGAUUAUGAAAUAUGGGAAAUAGUUUGUGAUGAUUCAUUCAUUCAUAGGAAGAAUGUUUUAAGUGAAUUGGAUAAGAAAAAUAUGUCUUUAAAUUCCAAGGCUAUGAAUGCUUUAUUUUGUGCCUUAGAUAAAAAGGAAUUUCAUAGAGUUUCAAAUUGUUCUAAUGCUUAUGAAAUUUGGAGAAAACUUGAAAUUGUGUAUGAGGAGACUACAAACGAGGAGGAAUUUCAUGAAGUGUCGAAUUUGGCACUUAUGACAAUUGUAGAUGAAUCGGAUGAUGAACUUGAUGAGGUAAAUCAUCUUCCUACUUAUGAUGAAUUACAUGAUGCGUUUAAAGAAUUGUAUAAUGAGUGGAUGAAAAUUGGUAAAAAAAAUGCAUGUUUUAAAAAGAAAAUGGUAAAGCUCACAAAUGAAAAUGAAUCUCUAAGUGCAAAGAUUACAUGUCUAGAAUUAGAGAAUAAAACAUUGCAUGAUGAAGUUACAUUAUCAAAUGACAAAUUUAGCACUUCACAAAAGCAUCUAGAAUCACAUGUAGAUAACUUGAAAAAUGAAAAUGAUGCUUUACAAAAAUGCAAUGAUUCAUUAAAUGAAAAGAUUAAAGGACUAGAGUUAGAUAAUAAAAUGUUGCAUGAUAGAAUUGCAUCAUUCACAUGUAAACAAAGUACUUUGUAUGAGCAUGAGAAAUCACAUGUUGAUGAAUUAAUAAAUGAAAAUGAAACACUUAAGAAAAGGAGUAAUGAGUUGAAUGAGAUUGUUUUGAAACUCACAAAUGGGCAAAAGAUGUUGGAUAACAUGCUUAAUUCACAAAAAUGUGUGUUUGAUAAAGGAGGACUUGGGUAUAAGCCUUACUUGAAACAAAAAUAUUAUAAGAAUUAUUUUGUUAAGGCUACCUCCACAAAUGAUCAAAUUGUAUGUCAUUAUUGCAAUCAAAAUGGUCAUAUGAAGAAUAGAUGUCCAAUUAAAAGAAAUGUGUAUUAUGGAGUCAAAUGUAUUUGGGUUCCAAAAGGAACUAAAUCUAACAUUCAAGGACCCAAGAGUAUUUGGGUACCAAAGGGUACAACUUGAAUUUGUUUUUGUAGGUACCAUAAACAAGGAAUGGUGGAGAGUUCCUUGAUGAAGCUUGUGGAGAUAAUCACUUGAUCAUAAUCUAAAGCAAAAAUAAUGAGGCAAGAUGAUUUAAUUGUUUUGGUAACUAUUAUUGCCUUAUUGAUUAUAAGUGAUGGUAUUUUAAUCUUAGCAAAUAUUUAACACUUCAUUUGGUAUCAUAACAUUAAGUGUAUUAACAUGAUGUGGAUAAGUUUAUCUUGGCUAUUUACUAUAUUGAGUGAAUCAUGAUAAAUGAAUUUGCGAAAGUAUGCUUGUAUGUUUACAUGAUGGAAUUAUCAUUGUGUUUAACAUUGAGUGCUUUAUCAUGAUGCAUGGUUAUAUAUAUAAGAUGAUAGCUUGUCAACUCAUCAUGAUAGCUUUGUUUGAUUUUGAUGAUUAUAUAAUGCCUAAGCUUGAUAAAUGAGUGAUAUGCUUGAAUUAUUAAUCUUUGAAUGCUUAUAUGUUUCAUGAUUGUGUAAAAUAUACACAUGAUGAAUGAAUUAUAUGUGUGAAUUCUUGUGCUAUUAAUUGUGUUAUAUCAUCAUUCAUUUAUAAAAUUGACAUUAUUGGUUGAUACGAUUUCAUAUGUUUGGUCUUGUAUGCAUAUAUGUUCCAUGCACUAAUUGACUUAUUGAAAAGUUAAAUGAAUUUUAAAAUUGAUCAAUUUCUAAGCCAAAAAUAAAUUUGUGUCUAAGAGCUUACAAAAUUUCAAAAAUAUUUUCCAAAGCUUAACCGGUAUACCACUUCCAUAGUGUGCUCUCCUUAUGGAUUUUACCAUAGUUUUCUAUUAUAUUAUGCACUUACAUGUUCAUAUGCUUUGUUGCUUUCAUUGUGGAUUGAUGAUGAUUAUUGUUUGCUAUUUGGAUGUUUUAUAUUUGGAUAAUGUGGAACUAAUGUGUUUAUCUUGACUUUUUGAUGAUCAAGAGGGAGAUAUGAGAUGUAAAGGAGAAAUACAUCUACUUUGAGAUUCUUAAGUAUAUGUUGAUUUUGAUGAUCUAUAUAUUGCUAUUAUGUACUUAUGCUUUACUUAAGUUUUGAUGACAAAGAAUGUGCUUUGAUGAUUCCAUUGUAUUUGAUGAAUUUUGAUUUUAUGGAAUUUAUGAUUGGUGAAUGGAUACAUUUUUUUUUGCUUUCUUGACGCAUUGUUAAAUAUGCAUUACUUGUUUUAAAUGAUAUCAAAAGGGGGAGAAAUACAUGAUCAUUGAGAUCUUGGCGCAUAUGAGAGUGUAAGUUAUAUUAAAAUGUCGCUUUAGGUCUUUGAUGAGUUUAGUUGUCUUGAUUUCUAAAAUGUGAUUAGUAAUUAUAGAGCUUGAAUUGUUGACAUUAUGCUCUUAUGACUUUUGCAUUCCCUUUCUUAGCUUAUUACUUGUUCUAUUUUGGAUAAUAUGCUUUUUGAACAUUUUUAUUGUCCAAAGGGGGAGACAAAGUAAUAAAUCUUUUUAAUGAUGUAAAUUGGGGGAAAUAACAUGCAUUUUGAGCAUUCUUUUAAUGGUUGAUAUAUGAUUAUGGAAUCCUCGGAUAUAAUUGUUACAAGUGUUGGGGGAAUUCAUAAUGAUUGAUGAUUAUAUGUGCAUUGCUUGAUGAAUUGAUGAAGUUAUUGGUUUGUUAUAAUUGUUGAAGCUUAUAUCUUUUUAACCAUGUUGUUUAUUUGAGAAUUUGUUCUUUUUUAAGGGGAGACUUUAUCGAAAUUUUUGCUCAUACAAAAUGGGUAAUAUCUUCAUUGAAUUAUUUUUGAUGAUCUUGUUUCGAUUGCAUCUAUCUAUCUUUCCUUUUUACGAUGAAGGGGGAGAUAAAUAUGAUAUGUUUUUAGAUAAAAUCAUUUUGGUUAAAUUUCUUAAAUUGGCCAUAUAUUUAGGGGGAGCAUAUAAUAUGAUUUUGGAUAAUAUGCAUUUUGAACUUUUUUUGUCCAAAGGGGGAGACAAAGUAAUAUCUCAUUUCGAUAUUGUCAAAAGGAGGAGAAUAAUAUGCAUUUUGAGUAAUUAUUUUGAUGAUUAAUAUGUGAUUAUGGUGAUGAUUUUGAGAUAUCAUGAUGAUUUGAUUACAUGGUGUGUAUCAUAAUUUAAAAUAAUUUGGGAGUAAUAUUACUAAACUUGUAUUUGAGGUGAUGCUUGUUGAUAGGGGGAGAAUGUGUCAAAAUUUUUACUCGGCUACAUGGGUAACAAAUUUGCUACUCUUUUUCUUUUCCACUAAGUUUUCUUUUUGAUGAUGAGGGGGAGAAAAAUCCAUGUAUUUAAAUAUGUUAAUUUAGCUAAUUGGCAAAUUGUAAAAGAAGAUUAUAUUUAGGAGCAAUUUGUGGAAUCAUUCUUUAAAUACAUGAAAUGUUUGUCAUCAUCAAAAAGGGGGAGAUUGUUAACAUAUAUGUUUCCAUAAUAUUGAUUUUGAUGAUAACAAACAAGUUUAAGAAUGAUUAAUCUUUUAAGCUCAAAUUAUUUAAUAUUCUUUUUAAAUAAAUCAUUAUUUUAACAUUAUAAAUGUUUUAUAUUUAAUGGAAAAAUGAUUUUAUGAAAUUGAUUGUUUUUAUUCUUUUUAAAUAAAUCAUUAUUUUCACAUUAUAAAUGUUUCAUAUUUAAUGGAAAAAUGAUUUUAUGAAAUUGGUUGUUUUUCAAAAUUUAUGGUUUAAUUGAAAGAAUUUUGAAAACUUUGAAAUAAACAAGUAUUGAUUGAAAUUUUGGAGAAGGACUUAUUUGAAAAGUGUCAUAGCAUUUUGGGCUAUACCAUAAUUUCAGAAAGUUUUGGGAUUAACAAAGUAUUACUUAGAAAUUCUGAAAUUGGACCUAUGUGCAAUGUUUCAUAACGUUUUGGGUCAUACUAUAGUUUUGUAAAGUUUUGGCGUCAAACUAUAAUUUCAGAAAAUAUUUUCACUGUAGCAAUUUCACUGUAGCAAACGGCUAACCGAUAAUUUCCAGAAAGCAUGUUCUGCAAAGUAUUGUUAAAAUGAUAAUUCUGGAAAAUAACGGUGAACCGUUUACUGAAAACGGUUAACCGAUUAUUUCCAGAUUGCUAACCUUGAACCGUUUAGUAAGAACGGUUAAAUCAAAUUUGUUUUGUAGGUCUCUGGAAAUUAACGGCGAAAGGGUAAGUCUAAACGGCUAACCGUUUAUUUGAAAAGUGGCUCAACGGUAACUUUGACCGGCCUAAACGGUUAACCGUUAAUGGUUAACGGCGAACCGUUUUCGAGCAGACAGUCUAUAACGGCUAGUUUUUCAGCUCCAACUAUAAAUAUGCUCAAUCCAAUUCAAACAAGAAGAAUUCCAACGAUCAUCAUUGAGCAAAAUAUAGAAAAUACAACUUUCAUUGAGCUUUAAAUCUUUGUAUUCAUCUCAUUCAUUCACACAUUGAGCUUUCACUUGAGAUCAAACACAUUGUGUGAGAGGGAUUCAUUUGUAAUCUUUUUUGUAAAAUCAAGUUAAAAGAUUGUAAGUGUUGGGAUACACUUGGGUUAAGAGAUUGGGGAUAAUCUCUUGUUGUAAAGGUCCAUUGACACCUUGGAAGUCAAUUGUAAGCGUUUGAAGCCUUGAGAGGCUAACUUAGUGAAAUCCUCAAGCCCGGUGAGCUUGGAGGCGUGGACGUAGGCGGGGAUUGCCGAACCACGUAAAAAUCAUUGUGUUCGUUUUCUCUUCUCUUACUCUUUUAAUAUUGUGCAUGAUUGAAUUUAUUGUUUUCAAUUUGAUUAAGGCAAUAGAUUAAAUUGUUGUGUGGUUUGCCUAGGAUAAUUUUUAAAAUCCCAAUUCACCCCCCCCCCCCUCUUGGGUUGCCUAGUUAGUAUUUCAUGCUUCAUAUUGCUGCCAAUCCUGUAUUUCAUGAGCGCACUAAGCACAUUGAAAUUGAUUGCCACUAUGUGCUGGACCAAAUCCAUGCUAGUAAUAUUGCUACUUCUCAUGUUCGUACUUCAGAGCAACUUGCAGACAUUUUCACAAAGGCGCUUGGUCGACGCCAGUUUGAGAAUAUCCUUCGCAAGUUGGGCAUUCGUGAUCUUCAUGCUCCAACUUGAGGGGGAGUAUUGGGAACGUGUGGAGCAACUAACGUGUGCAUGUGCAGUAACUAUUGUAAUAUUCUCUUUGUAUAGCUUUUGUAUUUCAUUAGGAAUAGAAGGAGCAGCUUUUGUAUUCCAUUAGGAAUAGAAGGAGCAUAUUUAGGAGACUAUUUAGAGAUUUCGUAGCUAUCUUUGAUUUUGGUAUAGGUGUAUAUAUGAAUAGCCGAGUGAUAUACAAUAAACAUACAGAUUUCUUCCCCUCUCAAACGUUUUCAAAUUAUCUUUUUGUCAAAAUUUCAGUGAUGAAGAAACUCAAGAGCAAGUACAAGACAUUUAAAACGUACGUUUGGUUAAUUUUUUUUUCUUUUAAUUACUUAAUUAUAUAUGCUCUGUUGUGACGUUUUUGCUUAUGUUAAUCAUAUUUCUUUUUCGAAAAGACAAGUCAAUUUGCUUAUGCUAAUCAUAUUUCUUUUUUGAAAAGACUUGUUAGUUUUUCUCUUAAAUUUCUCUUUAAACUUAUGUUUUCGUAAUUUUUUAAUAUAAAUACAUGAUGCAUUUUCUGCUCAAUAUACUACUGUGAAUAAAGUAAUUUAAGAUGACAUUUUUGUAGGUGUAUCAACUGAAGGAACAAGAAAGCUGUUAAAUUUGAUCGUUGUUGGAAUCAAAUAUUGGAUAGUGAAAGGCUUCUAAAAAUGACAAGUAGCUUUCUAUAAAACAAAGCGUUUAUGAUUGAAUCCACUGACUGCACUCAUAUUCUUUAAACUCAUAUGACUUUGUUAGAGAUUUAUUGUAGAAAUGAAUACGAUAUUAAAAGAUAAAAAAGGCUAAUCGAAUAAUUAGGUGCUCGUGUCUUUAAGCUAACCCAAAAAUUAGGAACUCGUGUUUUUAAUUAGUUAUAUUAAUAUUUUAUCCUUGUGAUUUCUUUUUAUGGCACAGCUCUGAUUUCUCUCCUUAGUUGUUGUUGCGUUUCUCAGUGUUCGCUGCAUAUUGUCAUUUUUCAUGGGUAUGAUUUGCCAUAUGCGAUUUAAAUGGGUCAUGUCCACUGAGCAUCCGUUGUGCCUUAACAUGCUAUGAACCCAUGAUUGAAUAUAAAAUAUAAUUGCAUACAUAACAAAUUCUGCCAUUCUCAUGCUUUUGCUAGAAAAUGGUUCUCAUAUCUGACGACUGUUACUCAAUAAAAGUAACAUAUAUGACAUUUUUGUUUCAUUUAUAAACCUCGACGAGUGAGAGAAUUUAUUAGAAUCAUCGAAAAGAGACCUCAUCAUCGGAAAGAAAUAGAAACUGAAAAGAAAUGUCGAGGCCAACAUCAAUUGAAACUGCACUCUUGGGAUUCAUGCACUAUAAUUCAUCAUCCUUUGGUGCCAGGUGAUGAUGUGGCAACCACGUGUUUGUCGUCCAAGGGAAUUGGCUGAAAAAGCAAUGUGAAAACUACAUCCAUAGUCUCUUGGUUUUGAGCACCAUGCCCGUCUCCAUGUAGAUACAUAAAAUGGGACACUCUCACAACAUUCAAUAUGAAUUCGACUGUAGUUUGCGAUAAGGGAGAAUCUUUAACAGCUCUGUAUGCAUUCACCUUCUUCCACAUCUGUCUCAUCAUAUCCUUGAUGUGUUCACGAGCAACUUCCUCCGAGGCACCAGUUUCCUGCAUGUAACACUGGAUUGAUUUCGGAACAUCCCCUCUCUGUAUCUCAUCCUGAUGAAUUAUUGGGUAAAAAAAAAAGUACAAUCAAUUCAUAAAUAGAGGAUUAAUUCAAUUUCUGUCUUGUUAAAAAAAAAGAAGAAAGAAAAAAUACCGAUGAAGUUCCCAAAUCAUCUUGAAGACGAAGAAUCUUGAAUGACCAGUGAAUUAUAUCUUGAUUACUUUCUAAAAAUUCUAGUUCCUUCUCAGUGAUUGGAUUUGUCCCAGAAAGGUAUGCAGUCAUUGUAACCAUAGGGCCUCCUAUUGAUACCAAUCCAUUUUCCAAGAAUUCUCCCAGAGUUGGCGUGUACUUACCAUGGUACCAUUUCGCCUCCACUAAGUAGGCUUGUAUAUUACGAAGCCACUGAUGCACAAGACAGAAAAUAGCAGUAGUUACAACUUAUAAUUUUUUUUUUUUUUUUUUGCGACAACAACAUCCUAAUUUAAAAAGGAUAAAUCAAAGGAAAGGAAUGGCGGCAGAGGUGCAACUAAUAUUUUACGUACCGCAUUUUUUAUACUUCGAAGUAUAUCAAAAUCCUGUUGUUUUGAGUACGUAAUAAGUAAAUUCAUUAACCAAGUUGUAAAGCGCAAGAAAACAGAUUUUCAUAUAGUCCGGAAGGUGGUUCAAAGCAUAAUUGAUGUCCCACCUGUAGAAAACGAAAAAAAAAAAAAAUUCAUAUGACUGGUCUAUUAAUUUGAGAGGUAGCAAGCAGCUAGCUAGCAGUUGAAUUAAUCAAUUAGGUAUAACAUUAAUUUGCCAACAAACCUCUCAACAGCAUCAGCAAAUAGCUCAAGUUCAUCCAAAGUUCCAUAAACAUCAUAAAUAUCAUCAAUCACUGAAAUUAGAGCAAAUGUGAUUGUGAGUAUUCUCCUACAGUAGGCGAAUUGAGGCUCAAACACUAUCCCCAUGCUCCAUACGAAGGAUGCUACCAAGCUGUCCCUCGCAAAGCUCAGUUUCUCUCCAAGACCUAUAUCCUUCCACCACCUUCAUAGGAAAAUUAAAACGAAUAUUAUGACUCGUAGCUUUACAAUACAUCUGUUAUAGAGUCAUCUUCUAGUCCGAGAUUCCUUAGAGUGAAUCUCUGGUGCAAACGUCUGUAUUUUAUGAAGUGCAGACUCAGACCUUUACACUACUGUAAAAGGUGUAGUCUGCACCUGAGAAUAAUUUAAUAUGCAUAUGAUCAAUUUGUACAAGUUAUGUAUGUCAUAAACUAAAAUCUUUGAUACAUACAUAAAUAUGAGUUAUGCAACCAAGCAUGGAUACCUUGAAACAUCUUUAAGUUCUUCCUGGUAAAUUGCCUGCAAAACGUUGAAUUCCAACUUAGCGAGCUCAAGUAAAAGGUGGUUCUUGUCCUCUCUUUUCUCAUAAACGUCUAUGAACCACCUUGCCUCUAACAUUGGAACUUUCCAAUGCAGAGGGAGCUCCAGUCCACGCUUUGCUUGUUCUGCUACAAAGACAUCCCCUUGCUUGCUCUUGCUGAUCAUCACUUCUUUUAGAUGUUUACUAGUGAAUUGCCAGGCCUCCUCCAUGAUGCUUUCUCCUUCUAAGCUGAAAUACGAGGCUUCAUGCAAGCUCAUUAUUUCCUUGAAAUCAUUACAAAUGAAGCCUCCCUUGUGUCUUUAAAACCAUUGAAAACGUCUGCAGUGCUCAAUCAAAAAGAACUAUUUCACAAAAUUUUCGCAUACAUAUGCUAAUUAGAGAAUGAUUUAAGUGUCUCAGCAGCCUUGUCGAGUUCGAAUUCUCUGGAGAUAGAGAGUUAAAAAAUUGAUUUGGGUGUUGUCCACUCUUUUAAAUUAAAAAAAAAAAAAAAGGAAAAAAACAGAGAGAUCGAUUCAAAUAUUCAGACCUUGCAUGCGCAUGACAAAAAAAAUCGAGUUUAUGAAAUGUACCUUGACAAACAGGAUAGCCAUGUUGUCUAAGUAGUCUAAACUCGAGAGAGGUUGCAUACAGAUUUUCUUUUCUCCAAUUAUAAUCUUUAUUACUGUUGUAGAUAUUAUGCAAUAUGUUCCGAAUCUCAGUCUCAAAAUGAUAAGCCAAUCCAAGUCUUUGCAAGUUGUCAAUCAGCUCCAACUGAUCCAGAGGCUCGGUUACAUCCUUAUUAAUCGUUGUCAUUACUUUUCCCUUCAGCUCUUCUGCUUGUCUUUUGUAUGUUUCAUCCUGUACAUGAACGGCAUUUAGUUUUUAGUUAUUCAUGGUCCCAAUUUGAAAUGAAUAAUAAUAAAUACCGUAUAGCCGCUAUUCAGUGACUGCAAAAAAUCAUGGUCCCAAAUUGAAGGUUGGUAGUUUGCUGAUCUCCUGUCAACUGUCAAAUUAUCAUAUUUGGCGCUGACAAGGCAUUGGACUGGCUUAUUUAUGGUAAUGAUUCUAGUGGCUGCUCGAUUUGUUGCAAGAGGAGGACAUUUGAAACCAUUUACAGAGGUAAACGAGGUUGAUGGAACAAUGCAAGAAGACAUUGGACAUACAGAUGUAGUGUAAGCUAGCUUACAGUUAUACUUGGCAAAAAUUCUCAAAUUAAUCUAUGGUUUGCGGUUAUGCACAAGGUUAUAUAUAUAUAUAUAUAUAUAGGCAGCGGAGAAGUGCAAGCGAUUUAUUUUUCUUAUUCAUUUUCCCUGAGAUUUUCAAAGCAUGUAAUUUGUAAGUCUUAGUUGGACAAAGAUAUUAUAUUCAUUAAAAAAAAAAAAGGAGUACAUCUUCCCUCUGUUGAGGGAAUUCUAACGUGCCAGCAAGUUCAAAUAUGUACAUUCGCUGGCAUGUUUUUUUUUUUUUUUCCUUAAAGGUAAGGGGGUGGGCAAGCCUAAAUACAGUUUUUACUCCCCUUAUCAUCCACAAAAAUAAACCCGAAUUUUGGUAGAGAUUACAGCUGCAAUGCAACCAACCCGACCACGCCCUUGAGGGGGCUGGCUUGUUGUAUAAUUGUUAUUUAUUUGUCAUUUUUUUUCGCUACAAAUUUUUUUAAAGAGUGUUUCUAUAAGCCAUAUAAUUAUAAUAAAUACACAUAUUAAUGACAAAAAAAAUUCAUAAAUUUAACUUUGCUUACAAAAGUCCUAUUUAUUACAUUAAAAACUUGUUUUACGUACUUACAUAAAAAUAAGAACACGCAAAGUUACAAAGAAUAUCUUAAUGUUAAUCAUUAAUACUCAAAAUAAUCAAAAUUAUAAAAGAAGAUAAAGACCUGUUUUAUUUAACAAAUCUAACUAAAACCUUAUUUGUUAUAGUUAUAAAGUACUUUUGAAAAAAAAAAUUAUAUAUUUCAAAAUAAUUACCAUCAAAAGAUAGAUUGGAUAGGAUAGAUAUGUCUCCCUCAUAUUAGUGAAAAUAGAUUUUUUAGCUCAUGCCUAAGGGCAUCUCGGUUGUACUACAAAUGUAUGUAUCUAAAUAAGGAUAAAUGCUCAUUUAGUCCCUAUAUUUUAAGAUUAGUAUCCAUAUAGUCUCAAAACAUCCCUGCCGUUAAAGUAUUGAUACCCCUACCAUUACUUUUUAUUUCUUUUGACUUGCUUUUACAAUAUUACCCUUUUAUAAUAAUUUUUUUGUGUGGACAUUAAUAAAAAAAUAGUAAUUAAAUUACAAAUUUAACCCUAGAAAAUUAAAAAAAUUAUAUUAAUUUUUUUGUAAGCUGCACACUUGGUAGUUUGUAUACAAUUUUUGACAAUUAAAAAUUAAUAUAAUUUUUUUUAUUUUUAGGGUUAAAUUGGUAAUUUAAUUAUUUUCUUUUUUAUUAAUGUCCAAACAAAAAUAUUAUUAUAAAAGGGUAAUAUUGUAAAAGUAAGCGAAAAAAAAUAAAAAGUAACGGUAGGGGUAUUAAUACUUUAAUGGUAGGGAUGUUUCGAGGUAUUUUUAAAAAUACAAGGACUAAAUGGAUACUAAUCUUAAAAUACAGGGACUAAAUGAGCUUUUACUCUCUAAAUAAUAUAUGUAUAGACUGUAAUAAAGGAAAAUGAGGAUUAACCCUAUCAUUUAGAUAAAUUAAGGGAAAUCCUUUCAUAUUUUAAAAUAGGUCCAAACACCCUACAAUUAUGACCGUAUUAGUUUUAUAUAUCAUUUUACUAUUCUAUCUCUAGUAUUGAUAUUAGUCAUAAAAUUUAAAUAUUUUGAAGAUAUUCUUUUAAGCAAAGUGACUUGUAUUUCCUUAACGAUUAAAUUAAUUUAAUAACAAAUUGCAAAUUAUGGAGAAAAAUUACAAGUAGGGGAAAUGACAUAAUUCCUACUAGUUGUAUAAAUGUGUCCUAAGUGUAUGAAGUCCAAGAUUCUAAAUAAAUCUCUGAAAACAUAAAAUAAAACAAUUGAAGGAAAUAUCCAAAUAUACAUUCAAAUAAAGGACAAAUAGAUAAUUGGACUAAAUGCAAUAAAUUCACCCAGACUACAAAUGAAUAAUAUAUGAUAAAUUAAAGAAAAGAAUCACUAUAGGAAAGGGAUAUAUAAGCAACUACUAACAAAACAAUAAAUUACACGUACUUGCAGCUAUUUGAUGAGAAAUAAUUAAUUAAGAGCAUUAAAUUAGCAUAAGCAAGUGAGCAAACAACAAUUACAAUGGCAACGGUAUGGCCUAGCCUAUGCUUCUCCAAUAAAACAACUGAUCGUGUGCCAGAUUAAGAAGCAAAUUAAAUAUAUCAAACUUGUUACAUUCAUUUAAACAAAUACUUUAUAUAAUUAUCAGGGGUAUAUAUGAUAUUUCCUCUACUUGUAAAUUGUAAUUUUUCUUCAUGUUUUUUAAUAGGUUAAUAAAUUUAUUUAAUUGUUGAGGAUAUAUAAGUCAUUUUGCUUAAAAAAUUCUCAAAAUAUCUAAAUUUUAUGACUAAUAUCGAUAGUAAAAAUAGAAUAGUAAAAUUAUAUAUAAAACUAACACCAUUAUAAUUGUAGUAGAUUUGAAUCUAUUAAAAAGUAAGGAGGGGUUUUGCUUAAUUUUCCUAGACAAAUAGAAGGUAAUCCUCAUUUUCACAUUGUAAUAAUUUCAAAAAAAAAAUCCAUUUAACAACGGUUAGUGAAAGUGCGUUCGAAUUUUUGCAGUAACUAAAAACAAGUCAGAAUUAUGUUAGGAUUAAUCCAUACAAAGAAAACAUCCCAAGUCCUCCGAAGUAAUAAGCAACACACACACACACACAAACACAUAUACACACAUAUAUAUAUAUAUAUUACAAUUUUUUUUUUUUGAUGCGAUAUAGAGUACAAUUUAAUAUUGGUUCAACUACAGAAAUUAAUUGUGCAAGUCAUAAAAAUUAAGAAUGAAGAAAAGGAAAUAUGAACUCAAACCAGAACGCCAAAUGUAGUCAUAUUUUUUCAUGAGGGAAUUCUAACGCGCCAAUGAAUGUGUUUAUAGUAAUCAACGAUGCCGAUAUUUGUUUAUAAUAGUAAUACAGUGAACAGAAACGUGCGGAAGCAUGUGUUUAAUAAUCAACGUUAUAUUUCCAUUUGAGUCAUAGAACACUGGAGAGACUUCCUGUAUAGCCUGACCUUACUAGAAUUUGCAAAUAAAAUGCGAAUGUAAAAUACCAAAACACGUGCGACUCUUCAUCAACAGCCUGUAAAAUACCACUAGAAGAGAUAUUUGCCCCAUUUCCUUGAGAUCAUCUGUCUCGAAACAAAAGAGACUUCAUUGACUUGUAGUCGAAAAUGACAAGAAGGGCAGAAGAGAAAUUUUAGAAAAUCUCUAAUAUACCAUAUCAAUUAUAUAAAAAGUAAAUAAUGAUAUAGUAUAUAUGCAUUUAUUUUAAAGAACAGACAUAUAAUUGGUAGUUAUAUAAAAUUUAAAUAUACAUUUUAUACAUAUAUUAAUUAAACUGAUUUAUGUAUUUUAGUUUAGAAUUUCUCACAACAAAGAACUAGCAUUCAUUUUUUUCUUCUUGGUUUUGCGGCAUCACACACUAUAGUGUAGCACAUGAACCAUAUGCGUAUGAAAAAUUAGACUAGUUGGUAUACGUAAUGUUAAGGAGUCAGAGCCUCUCCUUUUUGACACACUGAUAACAGAGUGCAACCGUGUGUAAUACACAAGCACAUGCGAAGUCAAAAUUAGACUAGUUGGUGUGGGGCUUGUUCAGGAAGCCUUUCUUUUUUUCACAAUAUGAAACAAAUUAUUAACCAUCAAAUCACAGUUUGAUAAGUCUCAUGAAAAAUGAAAAUAAUAUAAAUAAAUGUGACUAAUAUUUUUGUGUCUUUAUUAUCACGAGCCUUGUGGGCAAGGUCGGCUCAAUUAAUUGGGAGCUUUAAGGGAAUUGUUCAAUUAGACCUUUCAAAAAAUUUGAGGUUAAAUAUAUGUAUUAAUUUUACUAAAAAACUAUUUAUUAAAAUCAAAUUUUCUAGCUUUAGAUGUAAAAUUAUUAAUCAAAUUUUUAUAUUAUAAUUUCCUAAUAUAUUUUUCUUAGUAGACAUUAUGGCUAAUCCAUUUACUCUUUCUUGCGACAUUGUUAAUCUCAAAUAAGCUUUUAUCAAUUUUAAUUUUGAAAAACUUCUUUUUGCAUAAGCAACUGCUUGUAGUAUUGUUAAUAAUAUUCUAUAAGUAGCAUAUGCAUUUGGAAAAAAAAUCAAUUUUUUGAAAAUAAUUAAGUAUGUCAAGCGGGGUAAUUUUCCAACUGGUAAAACUUCUUUAAAAAUUCUUAACUCUAAAAACAAAUCUAAACCAUCUAUAUCAGAAAGCAUAUCAUGUUUGUAAAGCAUUUUCAAUAUUAACACAAUAAGUUUUUAAAACAUUGUCACUUAACGAUUGUAAUUUUUUGAAAUUAAACAAAAAUCCUAACAUAUUCUCAUACAUUUGAAAUUGUUCAAAUCUACUUAUUAUUGAAGAAAUAGUUUGAUCUAUUAUGUAUAUAAAAUAAUUAAUUCUGAAAGACUAUUCAAGAGAUAAAAUUCCUCCUUCACCGAUACUUUCAUCAAAAUUGUUUUUUCUACGAAUUAAAUGUUUUUCGUGAAUUUUAGGUUCUAUUUCCAUUUUGGUUGCAAUUUCUUUAGUUAAAAUCAUAAUAGGCACAAAAUCCAUUUUCUCUAUGGCUUUCAAAGAAAGAAAUAAAAACUUUAUGUCGAUCUAUGGCAAUAUAAAUAUGCAUAUGUUUUUUGCAAGAUCUUACAUAUAGAGUUAAUAGCAAAUAAUAUAUCAUACUAAAUAAUCACACCUAAUAUGAAAUUAAAAUUUUUCAAUUCAUAUGUUGCUAAACACAUAGCUUCACUCUUUAUUCUAGAAUCUUCACUAAUUUCUUCUAAUUCAAGUAAAGCAUCUCAUACUUUAUGGAGUUUGAAAUCUUAUUGCUUUCACACUUUCAAUACAACUUUCUCAAUGUAUGUGUCAAAAUAAUUUCACAGUCAAAUUGGGUAUAUUAUUUUGUGAGAUUUUCCAUCACCUCAUUGAAGAAGAAAAAUAAUGAAUAAAUAAGUUUCAUAGCUCCAAAAAAUGAAAUUGAUCUAGGACAAGAAUUAGCCAUGUUGCAAACCACUAAAUUUUGACCAUGACAACCGCUUGAUGUAUAAAAUGCUUUAGAAUUUGUUUAUAAUAUCUUACACCUUGGUGUUUUCCUUUCAUAUUAGAACCAUUAUUGUAUCCUUGUCCUUGUAUAUUAUCAAUGACAAGUUCAAAAAUUUUUAUUAGUUCUAUGAGUUCAUUAAAGAGCUCUUUACCAGUACAAUGGCAAACUUUUAAGAUUCGAAAAAAUAUUCUUCCAUUUCUACUGGAUUUGCUAAAUUAUCUACACAUCUUACUAUAGCAGACACUUGUUCUUGAUGGUUUGUAUCUGAAGUACAAUCAAGAAUAAUUGAAAAUUAUUUUUCUUCUUAUUUGUUAGGGAUUUUAUUAUUCCCAUCAUUGUGUCAAUAAUAUUACAAUUUAUUUAUUCUUUUUAUGAGGGAUUUGUCUAGUCUUGGGAAUUAAUUAGAUUAGAUUAUGUGGAAUAUGGGGGAAUAUUUUUUGAGGCAUAAAGAAGCAAAUCAGCAUAUAAGUAGGAUUACAUAUUAAAGAAUUCUAAAUAAAGAUGAUCAUUGUAUUGGUAAGUAUAUUAAGUAUUUAUGGAAUAUUAGACUCUAAAAAAAAUAUAUGUUCUAAUGAAAUACUGCACAUAUAUAAAGGGAAGUAUUUCACACAUUGAAGACUGAAGAAGGCAUUUCUUAUUUUAUAUUAGGGAAAUAGCCAAUGCAAAGAAUGAGAAGAAAAACUAUUUCGUCACAUAUGAGGUUUCAUAUCUCUAUAAUGUUUUAAUCUUCUUCAUAUCAAGCAUUUCAUUAGACAUUCUUUAUUAUUAUUUGGUUUUUUCGGAAUGGAGAGGUCAUUUGUUGUGUUGAGGGAAUCUCAAGGAAGUAGCAAAUACAAUUGAAGAUGAGUGGUGCUUGCUAAACACGAUUGACUAGGUAGAUUCAACAAGGUGGUGGUAAGAGCAAGAGAGAGUCUGAGACUAUAGAAAUUAAGGGCUUAUUCGGAUCAAUUUCAACAACAAGACGACCAAAUUUGCCUCUGGAUGCGGAUUCAGUGUUGUAAUCAAUUUUAAAAACACUCCCGAAAAUUUGUCCCAACAUUCGGAGAAUUUUCUUAUUGUAGUAAUGUAGGGCCAUGCCUGGUAAGCGGAUCCAGGCUAUAACAUAUUCAAUCACUGUUGGGUAUAAGAGGCUUUGCACACAACUCUGUAGAAUUGCAGAAUAAUUCUUAUUUGAUUCGAAUGCAAAAUAAUUGACUUAUAGUCGUACAAAAGCAGGGGAAGAAAACUGAAAAACAAACUACCCAUUUUCCACUCUAACAGAUCGUGAAUCAUGGAGAAGAAAUAUUUAAGCUAACAGUUACUUUCCUAAUAAAUAGGAUUUAUUUAAGGCAAUUAAAUAGCUAAACCUGAUGACUCAACAAUCACUGCUGCCGAACUAUCAAAAUGGGGAGUCCAUGGCUUCACUGUUAGAUAGUGCCCCAGAAUAGUCUAAGGCCCUUGCGCCAAAGCGAACUCCACAUCCCUCUCUGUUCUGAAACGAACAAGAUAAUAAUCAUUCUCAAGGUCAAUUCCAGAAAGCCCUUGGGUCGAGCUCCAGAUGGUUUCCAAGCGGUUGCGCAGCGUCCGGUAACCUAUGCGACGACCCAAAAGCUUGACCACCACCGUGUAUUGCCAUGGUUUCAUUAGUUGAGCAUGUACUUUUCUGUGAAAAAAAAAUGGAGUGAAAAUUGUCUGCACACUCAAAAACCACAUCUUCCGGUUCAACUGCCAAAUCUUCCCCGCUAUCAAAAAAUACUCCUUCAUCCACCCUUUGUGUUGACAUCAGUUUAUCACGAAAGGAAGGAGGCUGAGGAUUGUCACCAUCUUCCCCUUCAGCCUUAAAUCUUGCUUUGUUUGUGGAACGGUCGUCAGCCAUAGGUGGAUUAGGGUUUUUCUCCAUUUCAAUCUUUCCUCACAUUAGGAACUCAUUUUUUUUUAAUUGGUUAUAUUUACUUUUUGAUUCUUGUAACUUUUUUCUUUAAAUGCCACCGCUCUUAUUUCUAUCCUCAUUUAACAGACUGCGGGUUGCGUUUGUCACUGUUAGCUGCACAUUGCCAUUUUUCAUGAGUAUGAUUUGCCGUAUGCAUGGAUACUGAAAGUAUCCCUUGUGCUAAAAAUGCUAUGAACCAUCCUUGAAUAAUCAAGUAUAACUGCAUGCAGAACAAAUUCAGCCGUUCUCACGUUUUAGCUAGCAAAUAAUUAUCUUGUAGGAAUUAGAAUGAGCCUGACUUAAGUAUUUGCAUAUCCUGAAGACUUUUAUUCCCAAUAAAAGUAACAUAUAUAUAUAUAUAUAUAUAUAUAUCAUUUCUUUUUCAUUUAUAAACCUUGAUGAAUGAGGGAAUUUAUUUUAUUAUCGAAAAGAGAUCCCUCAGAAAAAAGAAAAGCGGAGGCCAACAUCAACUGAAACUGCACUCUCUGGGAAUUCGCAACGCAUCGUGCAUUAUAAUUCAUCAUCAGCCUUUGGUGCCAGGAGAUGCUGUGAAAGCCAUGUCUUUGUCCUCCAAGGGAAUGGGCUGAAAAAGCAAUGUAAAGCCGACAUCGAUAGUCUCUUGGUUUUGAACACCAUGCCCAUCUCCAUGUAGAUACAUAAAAUGGGACAUUCGCACAAGAUUCAAGAGGAACUCAGCAGUUGUUCGAGUCAAGGGAGAGUCUUUAUCGGCUGUGUAUGCAUUCACCUUCUUCCACAUCUGUCUCAUCAUAUCCUUGAUGUGUUCACGAGCAACUUCCUCCGAGGCACCAGUUUCAUGCAUGUAACACUGGAUUGAUUUCGGAACAUCCCCUCUCUGUAUCUCGUCCUGAUGAUUAUUGGGGAAAAAAAAAAUACAAUCAAUUCAUAUAUAGAGGAUUAAUUCAAUUGCUGUCGUCUUAAAAAAAAUAAAUAAAAAAAGACAUACCGAUGAAGUUCCCAAAUCAUCUUGCAGACGGAAAAUCUUGGAUGACCAGUGAACUAUAUCUGGAUUACUUUCUAGAAAUUCCAGUUCCUUCUUAAUGAUUGGAUUUGUACCAGAAAGAUAUGAAAUCGUUAUAAUUAAAGGGCCCGUUAUUGAUACCAAUCCAUUUUCCAAGUAUUCUUCCAGUUUCGGUGUGUACUUGCUAUGGUACCAUUUCGCCUCCACCAAGUAGGCUUGUAUUAAGCCAAGCCACUGAUGCACAUGGCACAGAAAAUAUACAACUAGUUACGGUUUAUAAUUUUUGAGAAAAAAAGAACAUCGUAAUUUAAAAAGGAUAAAUCAGAGGAAAGGAACAGGGAGAGGCGCCAAAUUAAUAUUUGACGUACUGCAUGUUUUAUGCUCAGAAGCAUAUCAAAAUCCUGUUGUUUGAGAACGUAAUAAGCAAAUUCAUUAACAAAGUUGUAAAGGGCAAGAAAACACAUUUUCAUAUAGCCCGGAAGGUGCUUCAAAGCAUAAUUGAUGUCCCACCUGCAGAAAAAAAAAAUCACAUAAACGGUCUAUUAAAUUGAGAAGUACCAUGCAGCUAGGUAGCAGUUGAAUUGUUAAUUUGCCAACAAACCUCGCAACAGCAUCAGUGAAUAUCUCAAGUUCAUCCAAUGUUCCAUAGACAUCAUAAAUGUCAUCAAUCACUGUAAUUAGGGCUAUCGAGAUUGUGAGCACUCUCCUGCAGUAGGCGAAUUGAGGCUCAAACGCGAUCCCCAUGCUCCAUAAGAAGGACGCUACCAACCUGUUCCUCGCAAAGCUCAAUUUCUCUCCAAGACCUGUAUCCUUCCACCACCUUCAUAGGAAAAUUAAAACGAAUAUUACGACACGUGAUUUAUAUAUCUGUAUAUAUAGAAUCAGCUUUCUGUCUGGAAUUCUGAAGAAUAUUUCUCUGAUACAAGCAUCUCAUUUUAUAAAGCACGUGACUUGUGGCUUUACAAUGCAUUUACAUAUAGAGUUAUCUUCUAGUUCGAGAUUCUUUAAUGCAAACGUUUGGAAUAAUUUAAUAUACAUUUAUAUAAAGUGUAGGCUGGUGCCUUUAUACUGCUGUAAAAGGCGGAGUCUGCACUUGAGAAUAAUUUAAUAAACAUAUGAUUAAAUUGUACAAGUUAUCUAUUCGAUAAAAUCAAAUCUUUGCAAUAUAUAUGAGUUAUGCAAUCAAGGCAUAGAUACCCUGAAAUGUCUUUAAGUUCUUCCUGGUAAAUUGCCUGCAAAGUGUUAAACUCCAACUUAGCGAGCUCAAGUAAAAGGUGGUUCUUGUCCUCUCUUUUCUCAUAAACGUGUAUGAACCACCUUGCCUCUAACAUAGGCACUUUCCAAUGCAGAGGGAGCUCCAGCGCCCGCUUCGCUUGUUCUGCUACAAAUACAUCCUCUUCCUUGCUGUUGCUGGUGAUCAUCAUUUCUUUAAGAUGCUUACUGGUGAAUUGCCAGGCCUCCUCCAUGAUGCUUUCUCCUUCUAAGCUGUAAUACGAGGCUUCAUGCAAGCUCAGUAUUCCCUUGAAAUCAUCACAAAUGAAGCCUACCUUGUCGUCUUUAAAACCACUGAAAACCUCUGCAGUGCUCAACCGAAAAAAGAAAUUAUAUUCAUCAAAACUUUUACACAUAUAUGUUAAUUAGAGAAUGAUUUAAGUGUCCCCAGCGGCCUUGUCGAGUUCGAAUUUCUCAGGAGAUAGAGAGUUAAAAAAUUGAUUUGGGUUUUGCCCACUUUUUUACAUUUAAAAGGAAUGAAUAAGAUAAACAGAGAGAUCGAUUCAAGUAUUCGGAUCUUGCAUGUGCAUGACAGAGUAAGCGAACUAAUGAAAGGUACCUUGAGAAACAGGAUAGCCAUGUUGUCUAAGAAGUCUGAAUUCAAGGGAGGUUGCAUACAGAUUUUCUUUUCUCCAAUUAUAAUCUUUAUUAUGGUUGUGGAUAUUACGCAAUAUGUUCCGAAUCUCAGGCUCAAAAUGAUAAGCCAAUCCAAGUCUUUGCAAAUUAUCAAUCAGCUCCAACUGAUCCAGAGGCUCGGUUACAUCCUUAAUCGCUGUCUUCACUUUUCCCUUCAGCUCUUCUGCUCGUCUUUUGUAUGUUUCAUCCUGUACAUGCACAGCAUUUAGUUUUUAGUUAUUCAUGGUCCUAAUUUGAAAUGAACAAGGGAAAUUUAUACGUAAUAAUAAUAAUAAUAAUAAUCAAUACCGUAUAGUUGCUAUUCAGUGACUGCAAAAAAUCAUGGUCCCAAAUUGAAGGUUGGUAGUUUGCUGAUCUCCUAUCAACUGUCAAAUUAUCAUAUUUGGUGCUGACAAGGCAUUGGACUGGCUUAUUUUUUGCCAUGAUUCUGAUGGCUGCUCUAUUUGUUGCAAGAGGAAGACAUUUGAAACCAUUUACAGAGGUAGCCAAGGUUGAGGGAUUAAUGCAAGAAGACAUUGGAUAUACAGAUGCAGUGUAAGCUAGCUUACAGGUAUACUUGGGAAGGAUUCUCAAAUUAAUCUAUGGUUUGUGGUGAUGUACAAGGUUAUAUAUAUAUAUAUAUAUAGGCAGAGAAGAAGCUCAUGUGAUUGAUUUUUCUUACUCAUUUUUUCUGAGUUUUGAAAGCGUUUAAUUUUUAAGUCUUAAUAGUACAAAGAUAUUUUAUUCUUUUUUUUGUGGGGGGGGUACAUCAUACUGUGCGAACGAGGUCAAUAUUGUACCAGAAGACACAUACAUCAUCCAUACAUUCGGAUGAAUGUUGUAUAAUCUUUUUUUAUUUAUCUUUUUUUUUCCUGCAUACAAAUUUUUUAAAGAGUCUUUCUAUAAACUACACAAUAAAUGCACGCAGAAAUAACAAGAAAUUCAUAAAUUCAAUUCUACUAAUAAAAGUUCUAUUUAUUACAUUAAAAUCUUGUUUUGUGGAGAAAUAAGAAUAUACAAACUAAGUUUAAGGAAAAAAAGGCAUACAAAGUUGCAAACAAUAUCUUAAUGUUGAGGACUAACAUCGAAAUUCUAUUUGUUACAGUUAUAAAGUACUUUUGCGGAAAACAAAUUAAUAAAUUACAAAAUGAUUAUCAACAAAAAGUAGAUUGGGCAGGUAGAUGUCAACUCAAAAGUUAGUGGGAGCAGAUUUCCGGGCUAUAUAGUACAAAUGUAUGUAUCUACUGUCUAAAUAGAUAAUGGAUUUUAAUGUAUCGGUAGAUUGUGAUAAUUUGUACAAAUUUCAGAAAACUUCCAUUUAACAACGGUUGCUGAAAGUGUGUUGUAAAAUAAUUUUAAUAUUUGACAACAAACGAAAGAAUGUUGUCAUAAACUCUUCAAUGGGCUUUCAAUUUCACAACGUCCUACAAAAGCGCGUUGUGAAAAAAAUUCUAAUAAAUGACAAUAGGUGUAAAAUCGUUAUAAAUUUUCAACUCAUCCAAUUCAUGAAUUAAUGAAAUUAAUCCAAAUUUAAUUCAUAACUCUAAGAAUUAGAUGUGGAUUUGACAUAAUUUAUAUCCCAUUGCACUUUUGCGAAUUCGAUAUCAAUUAAAAAAAAAUUCUUUCUAUCCAUUCAUAAAAUAAUUAAAUAAAUAUUUUAAUACAAAAAUAAUUUUAUUACCAAUCAAAUUCAAAUUUAAAAAUAUUAAAUAAAUCAAUAGUUUAAGUACUUGUUUAGGAACGCGAUAUAUCACCCAGCAUCUGUUAAAUCAAUCAACGUACGUUCCUAAAGAAGCAUAAUUUUGAAGCCAUAUACCAUUUCAUCUUUACUCCCUAUUCUUUCUUUAAAAAAACUAUGAAAACGCUGGAGUAAUUGGUUUCAACUUCCGUGUAGGAUAGAUGGGACGUGAUGACACGUAACGACCACUUCUGAAAAACCAUUUGUUUUUUAAGGAUGCCAUUCAAAGUUUCGAACUUUAGCCCACCAAAAGAAAAAAUCUUGAUGUUUUAGAUCAAUGAAUGAAAACUAACUUAAAUUUUAGAAUUAAAUCAAUACAAAAGUUGAAAAUUGAAAGCUUACAUAAUUAAUUGUUGUCAAUGUCCACCCUAACUAAAUUUUAACCUAUUUAUUUAUUAAUAGUAUAACAUUUUUAAAUUAUAUAUAUAUAUAUUCGAAUUUGCUGAUUUUUACGAAUUUGUAGAAGCAAAUCUAUUUCUAAUUCAUUGACGGUGGAUUUUUAAAAUUUUUUAAUCUAAUCCAAUCCAUCAAUCCAUGGAUUAGAUUUUUAUGGAAAUGAUUUUUACAGAUUGAAUGAAUGAAAUGUUAGAAAAUCAAUGGUUGAAGCAGGACUACAGCUAAAAUGAAUUGGAAUAAAAUAAAGAGCAAGCACACAUAGAGGACACAAAAAAUUACAUGGUUCGGUUUUUAGCCUACAUCGAUGGGCGAAGAUAGAAGAAAAAUAUUUUACUAGUGAAAAUAAAUUACAAAUAUUGUGGUAUUUUAACUCACUACCCAAAACCUCAAUACCCCCAAACUCUCAAAUCACUAAUAACACAAGAGUUAUUUAUUUUUCUUCUCAAAAUUUUCUGCAGCACUACCAUUUUUCUUACAUUUCAGUUUCUUGAAUGUCAAAGUCGUGUGCCGCCAAUUGUACUUCUUCAAAGAUGCUGCAGCCCUCUUUGAUUUUUCUUUGUUCAAAAUGAGCUGCUUCGAAAAUUUGGUAGCUAAUUUUCUUGACAUUCUCCCACUUCAAUUGUCAUAUUGCUUACGUCUCUGCUAGGUCACAAGCAAAUCUACUCCAUACAAACUUGUCAACAUUGAUUGGCUUGGUAAAACAUCUGCUAGGUUCUCUUUAGUAUGAAUUUUCUGCAAAUCCACACUUUCGUCUUCCAUUACAUCUCAAACAAAGUGGUAUUGUACCCCUUGUGCUUUGUCCUGGAAUGAAAGGUUGGAUUCCUUGCAAUGUGCAAGACACUCUGACUGUCACAAAAUACAGAAAUUUUCUCUUGUUUGUGUCCGAGCUCCUCCAAUAAUCUUUGUAUCCAAAUAGUUUCCUUGCAAGCUUGUGUAGCUGCCGUGUAUUCUACUUCUAUUGUAGAUAAAACCACAAUGGUCUGUAGUUUUGAAACCCAACUUAUAGCUCUUCCUGCAAGUGUAAACAUAUAGCCAGUAGUGGAUUUCCUUUUAUCAAGGUCUUUUGUAAAAUCUCAAUUCAUUUAGCCCCUGACAAUAAACUCUGAUCCUCCGUAACAUAAUGCAACAUCUGAGGUUCCUCUGAUGUAUCUCAAAAUCCUCUUCAUAAUUUUCCAAUGUUCAACACUAGCAUUCGCCAUGUGUCAACUAACUACUUUUAUUGCUUGUGCAAUGUCCAUUCUAGUACAUAUCAUCGAACAUUAAACUUUCCAUUGCUGAUGCAUAUGGUACUCGAGACAUUUCCUUGCUCUCUGCUUCAUUGCUUGGACAUAUACUUGAGGAUAACUUGAAAGUAAUAGGAAGUGGGGUAUAAAUUGGCUUACAAUCUUGUAUGUUGAAGUGCCACAAGAUUUUCUCAAGUAAUUCUUCUGAAAAAGCCAAAUCUUCCUAUUAUUUCUGUCUCAGUAAAUUUGCAUCCUUAGAAUCUUGCUUGCUGGUCCUUCAUUUCAAACUCCCUAGCCAAUUGUGCUUUUAAUUCUUAGACUUGAUCUUUGUUGGGGCCUGUUACCAACAUGUCAUCUAUGUACAAUAGCAAAAUGAUGAAAUCAUUAUCUUCAAACCUCUUGUAAUAUGCACAAUGGUUUGAACUAAGUCUGUUGUAUCCAAGCUCAUGAUAAAGGAAUUAAAUCUCUUAUACCAACACCUUUGCACCUGUUUGAGACCGUAUAGAGAUUUUUUCAACUUGCAAACCAAAUUCUCUCUGCCCUUUUCAGCAAAACCUUCGGGUUGGAGCAUAUAAAUUUCUUCUUGAAGUUCUCCAUGAAGAAAUGCAAUUUUCAUAUCUAACUGCUUUAGAUGUAGGUCAAAUGUAGCACACAUCGCCAAGAUUAAUCUGACUGUUGUAAGUCGAACCACUGGAGAAAAUAUCUCGUUGAAGUCAAUUCCUUCUUUAUGAGCAUAUUCUUUUACCACCAAUCUUUUACAAUACCGCUCCAUUUGUUCAUUGCCAUCACGCUUGACCUUGUAGACCCAUUUAUUUCCAAUGACUUUUCUUCCAUAUGGUAGUAGUACAAGUUGCCAUGUUUUAUUCUUGUGUAGAGCCUCAAUUUCUUCCUCCAUUACUGUCAUCCACAAAGCAAAAUCUGAGCUGCUUAAAGUUUCAUAGAAAGUUAAUGGCUUUUUAUCCUCUAUCAGAAGACGGCAUGCAACAUUGAUCUUUGUGACAUAAUCUGAGUGCCACAUUGGCGAUCGUCUCUCACGAGUUGACUAACGAACUUCUCCAGCCUCGGACUCAACUGGUUAUUGUUCCUCGUGCUCUGGUGCUGCUUCAGAAGAAUCUGAAUCUUUUUUUCCAGAUUAUUUUCAACAUAUACCAGCACAGUCUUUGACUUUUCUUUUACAGUGCUAUCAUCUUUAUCUCUCUUUGUAGUUGAUCAUCUACAAAGAUAACAUCUCUGCUAAUGACUAUCUUGUGGGCAGUGGGGUCCUACAGACGAUACCCCUUUCUCCAUUAGCAUACCCCAAGAAGAUACACCCAUAAAUUUUAUAUUCAGCUUUAUUUUUUCUUGGGCAUUGUACAUCACGUACACAUGACAUUCAAAUGUAUAUAGGUGGGAGUAAUCAGUUGGCUUUUCUGUCCACAUCUCCAUCAAUGUCUUUAACCUAAUUGAUGUGGAUGUCAAUCGAUUUACUAUAUAACAAACAAUUUUGGCUGCUUUUGCCCAAAAUAAGUUGGGUAGACCAGCAGUCCUCAACAUAGCUCUUAUUAUUUCUAUAAAAGUUUUGUUCAUCCACUCUACCACUCUAUUAUGUUGGGAAGUGUAUGACACUGUGAACUGCUUCUGAAAAUCUUUUUGCUUACUUUAUGCAAUAAACUUGUCAUUUGUAUACUCUCCACCGUUAUUUGUCCUCAAGCACUUUAUCCUCUUUUUGAAUUCAAGUUCUAUCAGCAUUUUGUACUAUUUGAAUACUAGAAACACAUAUGAUGUUUUCUUGAUUAGACACACCCAACAUCUAUUGAAAUAAUCAUCAAUAAAAGGCACCAAGUACUUUGCACCUCCCAUGGACAUGUCUGGUGAUUCCUAAAUAUCAGAAUGAACCAAGUCUCAAAUGCAUUUACUUCUAGCAAUAGAUCUGCUUAACUUCAAUCUAUGCUGUUUACUUUUAACACAAUGCUCGCAAAACGAUAAGUUUACCGAUUUGAGACCUGGAAGCAAUUUUUACUCAGAGAAAAUAUUCAAACCUUGUUCUGACAUUUGGCUAGGCUGGAAAUGUCACAUCAUCAUCACUCUUCUCCAUUUGAUGCGACACACACAUUAACUUUCUGUAGUGUUUUCCCUUUAAGCAUGAAUAAAUUAGCACUAAUCAUUUCCGUCUUCAUUAAUACAAGUGCACCUUUGACUAUCUUCAUGAUCACAUUUUCCACAUGAGUUUUGUACGCAUGACUAUCUAUUUGUCCUAAGGAUAAUAGAUUUUUAUUCAGGCCAUUGACAUGUCGUACCUCCUCAAUUGCGCGAACCGUACCAUUAAACAUUUUUAUUUUAACAGUGGAACAGCUCUCUCCGAGAGGUCAUGUGUUAGGUAGCUCUCGAUUCUAUAAGCCAGACAUUAUAUAGUUGUUUUCUGCCUUUUAAAAUAGUUGUUGCCUUGCUGUAGAGAAUUUCGCUAUCAUUUAAGGUACUUACUACACACCCCUGAGCAUUUGAUGAUACAGGAACUAUACCCUCUCUUCUCUUCUAGUUGUUCCAAUAAUCUUUUUUGACACACCAUUUCUUACCACAAUUGUAGCAUUUGACAUUAUUCUUACUUCUUGAUUUUGAUCUACCAUGAUUGUGACUCCUAUUGGGACCACGUUCCGUUGGUCUCCCUCUUAUCACCGAUAGUACUUCCACUUGUUGCGAACUUGCUUGCCUAUCUUCCUUAUUUUUCCGCAUGCUCUCAUUUAAUAUGGAGGCUGCAACAUCAUCGAAAGCUACACUGUUUGCUUGGUUGUUUGUCAGAUUAAUGAUGAGUUGAUAUGUGAAAAUAGAGUCUUCAAGGUGUUGAUAUGGUCGAUCACCGAUGUAAAUUUCGCUAUUCGAAGAGGAUAAAGUCUCUACUUUAAGAAGAUCAUAUUGUGCAGUGACUUGACCUCGUACAAUUUUGUAAGAGUAUCCCAUAUUUCCUUAGCUAUCUUUUUCUCUGCCAUACUAGAUAACAUCCCAUCUGCAAGUGCCAGGUGUAGAUCAGCAAUUACAUUACCGUCCAUCUCAUUCUACUUGUCAUCAGUUAUAUUUGUGGGUCUUUCUCUAAUUGUUGCUAAGCAAUUAGUUUUCCUCAAUACAACCUUCAUCUUCAUUUUCCACAACGAGAAAUUAUUUUCGCUGAACUUCUCAAUUUCAUAUUUUACUGUCAUCACUUUUUACAAUGAACUACUUUAGUUAGAAUUGGCUCCCACCAUUUCACGAGAACAAUAACUAUAUAUAUGAACAAUGUCGUAUAUAUGAACAAUACUCUAUAUGUGAACAAUACCCCGACUCUAAAAAUACAACCAGUAGCUCUGAUAUCAGUGUUAGAAAAUCUAUGGUUGAAGCAGGGGCACAACUAAAAUGAAAUUGGAGGAAAAUGAAGAAUAAACACGCACAGAUGACACAAAAAAUAACGUGGUUCAGCUUUUAGCCCACGUCCACGGACGAAAAUAGAAGGAAAAUAUUUUACUAGUGAAAAGCAGUUACAAGUAUUGUAAUAUUUUAACUCACUACCCAAAUACCAAUAAACUCAAACUCUCAAAUCACUACGAACACAAGAGUUAUUAAAACACAUGAGUUAUUAAAACUCUAUACUCUCAAUUCUUAGCUCUCUAUAAGGAAGAAGAAAAUGAGAUAAAGAAAUUGGAUGCCAAAACCAAAUGGGGAGCUCUCUUUUUAUAGCCAAAAUUGGCUAUUAUUUUAUUUAUUUUUCUUGUCAAAAUUUGCUACAACACCACUAUUUUUCUUACAUUUUGGCUUCUUCAAUGUCAAAACCGUGUGCUGCCAAUUUUACUUCUUCAAAGAUGCUGCAGCUCUCUUUGAUUUUUCUUUGUCCAAAAUGGGCUGCUUCUAGAAUUUAGCAGCUACUUUUCUUGACAUUAAAUAAAUAGAACACUCUAGCACGUUGUUAUAAUCAUGUUGCAGAUAGAACACUCUAACACAUUGUUAUAAUCAUGUUGCCUUGACCUUAUUUUCUUGAAGCAUGUUGACAAAUACAAUAAUGUGCAUUUGGAGGACUAUUAUGAAUAUAAAAACAAUAGAAAGUAUAAAUGACUAAUAAUAUACAUGACUUUAAGUGACAUGAGAUUUUUAAAACUAAACAAAGCUAACACAAGUAUAUGAUCCUUUCAUUAUAAUAUGUCGUAAAAUAAAAACUACAUAAUAUGUAUUUCUUUUAUUUUUUUAGUUUAAUUCGUUCAAUUUCUUGCAGUAACUAAAAACACUUUAGAAUUAUGUUAAGAUCAACCCAUACAAAGAAAAUAUCCUAAGUACUCCGAAGUAAUAAGCAACAUACAUAUGUGUGUGUGUUGUACAAUUUAAUAUUAUUUCAACUAGCGAAAUUUAUUGUGGAAGUCAUAAAAAUUAAGAAUGAAGAAAAGGAACCAUGAACCCAAACCAGAACGCAAAAAGUAGUCAUAUUUUUUCAUGAGGGAAUUCUAACCUGCCAAUCCAUGUGUUUAGAAUAAUCAACGAUGUUGAUAUUUCUUUAUAAUGGUCCUACAGUGAACAGAAACAUGCAGAAUACGAGUCAGGGUGUAUUGAAAAGAAUACGUAAAAACUCUUUUAAUCCCUAUAUUUUGAGGUUAGUAACCUAUAUUUUUAAGAAUACCUCAAAACUCCCUGCAGUUAAACUAUUGACACAUCUGCCUUUUUAUUUUUUAUUCCUUUUAACUUACUUCUAUAAUAUUACCUUUUUACGAUAAUUUUUUUGGACAUUAAUAAAAAGAAAAAAAUUAUCAAUUUAAACCUAAAAAUGAUACACACACACACACACAUAUAUACACUAAUUUUUCUAAAAGCUCACAUAUUGUAAAAAAGUAAUAUUGUAAAAAAAAUUAAAUUACGAACUUUUUUGGACAUUAAUAAAAACAUAAAUAUAUUAACUCAUCAGUAGAAUGCUCUAAAUUUAUUUUUUUGGAUUAAAUUAAUAAUUUAAUUUCUUUAUUAAUGUCCAAAAAAUAAACAUUAUUGUGAGAGAAUAAUAUGUAAAAGCAAGCUAAAAAGAACAAAAAGUAACGGCAGGGGUGUCAAUAAUUUAACAAUAGAGAUGUUUUGAGGUAUUUCUAAAUAUAUAGUGACUAAAAAAAUACUAACAUAAAAAUAUAGGAAUUAAACGAGCUUUCAUCCAAAGAGAAUCCAUGUAUAGCCGAUUUUACUAGAAUUUACAAGUAAAAUGCAAAUACCAUUAGUCUUCUAAAACACAUGCAACUUUUCAUCAACAACCUGAAAAAUACCAUUAGAAGAGAUACUUGUACCAUUUCCAUGGGAUCAUCAAUCUCGAAACAAAAGAGUUUUUGUGAGGCAACAUAUCAGCAUGUAAAAUGCCACUUCAUUAACUAGUAGUUGAAAAUGACAAGAAGAGCAUAAGAGAAAUUUUAGAAUACCUCUAAAGUACCAUUUCAUCUAUGCAAUAAGUAAAUAAUUAAGUGCAUUUAUUUUGAAGAACCGACAAGUAAUUAAUGGUUAUACAAAAUUUAAAUACACAUGUCAUAUAUGUAUUAAUUGAUUAUAUUAUCUUUUGGGUGCUACUAAGUUAUAAUUACUGUAACUUACAGCCCUUCAAAAUAAUGUAAACAGUUGUCAUAGGUGGUAGGACCCGUAUGAUUAUAAAAGGAAUUGUAAAUUACAGCAGCAGUAACUUAGCAAAAUCUUUAUCUCUUAUGCAUUUUAGAAUUUCUCAUGAAAGAGACACAACAUAUUUCACUUUUUUUCUUCUUGAUUUUACUGCAUUACACUAAAGUGUAGCACAUGAGCCACAUGCAUAUGAAAAUUUAGACUAGUUGGUGUAGGGCAUGUUGAGGAGUCAGAGCCUUUCCUUUCUGACACAAUGAUAACAUAGUAUAUCAGUGUGCAGUACAUAAGCACAUGCGCAUACAAACUUAGACUAGUGGUGCGAGGCUUGUUCGAGGAGCCUCUCUUUUUUUCUUUUUUUGACACAAAAUGAAAAAAAUUAUUAACCAUCAAAUUACAAUUUGAUAAGUCUGAUGAAAGAUUAAAAAAAAAAAAUAGAAAUACAUGUGUCUAACAAUGUACAUUUUAGUGUCUUUAUCAUCGCAAGUCUUGUAGGCAAGAACGACUCAACCAAUUUUAAAGUCCUAGGUGAAUUGUACUAAAAUUUUUAUUUAUUUAAGAUCAAUGUUUUCUAGCUUUCUGAAAUGUAAAAUUAUUAAUCAAAUUUUUAUGUUCUAAUUUCAUGAAUAUAUUUUUCUCAAUAAUCAAUAUAGCUAAUCCAUUUGUUCUCUCUUGCGAGAUUGUUAAUUCUAAAUAUGUUUUUAUAAAUUUUAAUUUUAAAAACUUCUUUCUACAGAAACAAUUGUUAGUAGUACUAUUAAUAAUAUUCUAUAUGCAAUCUAUGCAUUUGAGAAAGAAUCAAUUUGUUUUCAAAUAAUUAAUUAGUAUUUUUUCACCUUGAAAUACUUCAUUUAAAAUCUCAACUCUUAAAACAAAUAUUCACCAUCUAUAUCAGAAAGUGUAUCAUGUUUUAAAGUAUUUUCGAGAUUAACACAAUAAAUAUUUAAAAUGUAGUCAUUUAACAAUUGUAAUUUUUUGAAAUUAAACAAAAAUCCAACCAUAUUAUCAUAUAUUUGAAAUUAUUCACAUAUAGUCUUAUUGUAGAAAUAACUUGAUCUACUAUAUAUAUAUAUAAUAAUUAAUUCUAAAGGACUCUUCAACAGACAAAAUUUCCUCUUCACUAACAUUUUCAUUAAAUUUGUUUCUUUUUCUACAAAUUAUACUUUUUUCAUGAAAUUUAGGUUCUAUUUCCAUUUCACUUGCAAGUUCUCUUGCUGAAAUCAGAGCAGACAUGAAUCCAUCUUUUCUAUUUCUUUCAAAGAAAGAAAUAAGACCUUUAAGCUUAUCUAUGGCAAUAUCAGUAUGUACGUAUUCUUUUUGCAAGAUCAUACUUUGUAAUACCCCACCCCGCUGCUUUGACUAAUUUUGACUUGCUUUUUUAUUAUAUAAAAAUGUUGGGAAAAUAUGCUCUUUAAAAGCAUAUGUGUUUAUUUAAUUGUAAUAAACAAAUUUUCUGAUUAAUAAAAUAAAUGAGGUAUUUUAUUCAAAUAUCUUAAUUGCAUUAAUAUUUGUAUUAAAGUCCAUUUAAUCAUAUUAUAUGUAUUUAUGUGAUCACCAUGUGGAUUCACAGAAUGAAUUUAUUACAGUCUAUACCUAAAUAAAGUGCCCAACUUUAUUUAGUUCACAGAAGAUAUAAAUACAAGUUAUCUUAUGAUUAAAUAAAUUUAGUUCGCAGUUGAUAAAAUAAAGUUGGGCACUUUAUUUAGGUAUAGACUGUAAUAAAUUCAUUGAAUGAUUUGUCUUAAUCAUAUAUGAAUUUAUUACAGUCUAUACCUAAAUAAAGUUAUCUUAUGAUUAAAUAAAUUUAGUUCGCAGUUGAUAAAUAAAGUUUGGCACUUUAUUUAGGUAUAGACUGUAAUAAAUUCAUUGAAUGAUUUGUCUUAAUCAUAUAUGAAUUUAUUGAUGUAGUACGACUACAUUGAACAUCAUACUACAUUGAACAGGAUCACAUAUGAGAUUUAAUUAACUUUGUAAUAACUGUCAGACUUAUUAAAUCUCAUAGGUGUUGAUUUUACUGUAAUCUUAAUCUUGAGUUAAUUAUGAUUUCAUGAUUGUAAUUGUUAUUCCAUUUGAGUUACUAAUGGGCACGGCACAUCCUUGUGGUCAAGAUUACCCGGUAUUUUGGUGGGAGCAAUUAUGAGUAUUGGAGUUAUGGAUUAACAAUAUAGAAUUUGUACAACACAUCUCUUGAUGGGUUUUCGGCACUUGAUCAUAGAAUUCUCUGGCCAGAGUGUGUCAACAUAUUUAGUAUGUUGAAAAUGAUCAUUAGAGAAAACCAGUAAGAAUCAAGGAAUAAGAUAUUAUUAAAUUGAUUGAACAGUUGAGAUAUCAAUUUAAUUAACGAUGUGGUACAAAGGAUUGUGCAGUAAAGAAAUCAAUGUGGCUUGGACCGAAUUAUUAUUCGAGCAUACAAUUAUGGAAGUCAGUACCAAUCUUUUAGUGGAGUAGAUUUGGAAUUAAAUAAUUGGGCUAGUUUAAUUACAGGCUUAAUUAUUGUAGCCACUAUUGUAUGUUCCCAAAUGAUCCCCGGGUUAGUUCAUUUAAUUGAUUGCACCACUACUAGACUAAUAAGUAAGAUAACUAGCUAUUUGGGUCAAAAGUCUAAAUAUAUCAUUUAGUGGGAGGCUCUAUUCAAUUAGUUUUUGUGUAAGGGGCCUUAUGUUAUUUUACAAGGUGGGUCCCCUAUUAAAAAAGCAAAUAACGUGGGUUUUGUUUUUCGAUUAUUUGGAGCCUAAGGUUUUUACUAAAGGGAGAUAUAAAAGGCUUAUUUUUCUCUAAAGAAAAGGGUGAAGCUACUUUAUAUGGAUCAGAGAAAAUGAUUUUUCUCUCUAUUGUUGAGAGAAAAAUUUUCUCGUGCUAGUUGCUUUGGUAGUGAUAAAGGCGCCCACACGUCAAGUGCAGAUCGAACCUGAGUCAUAACCUGGAAGAUCAUUGGUGCCAGUUCGUGUUCUAACAAGCGUGGUGGUGACGGAUCGUGAUCUAACAGGAGUGGUGGUGACGGAUCGUGAUCUAACAGGAGUGGUGGUGACGGAUCGUGAUCUGGGAGCCUAAAUCAUUUCAGCAGAAAAAGCUAAAUCAGAUUUUCAAGGUACGAUUUCUAGAUUACAAAUUCUUAUAUAUUAUAUGAGAGCGAUCUUAAAAAGGUUUUAUAAAAAUUAAAAAACUUGAUUUUUCCCCAACAAAAAAAAGGAAGCUGGAAAUUGUUUAAAGAAGAGGAAGCAUAUUCACACGUGAGAAAGAGAGAAAGCUGCCAAAACCGACUCGGAAAACCUAACCCAUGAACCAACCUGGCCACCAUUUCUCGUUCCCGACCACCCCACCAGCAACGGGAGGUACCGAUUAGAAGCUUUAGAACCAAUGGUCACUUCCCCGCCAUUGUUACCGUUGAAUAACGACCAGAACGCCGUCAUUUGGGCUCGCAAAACUUGCAGUAUUUGCCACCUCCAUUCACCGUGAUUUCGCUGGUUUUGGGUGACGCCACCGACUGGGUUCGUUCCUCAGGUCACUACCUUCAUUUUUUGACCACCCACAUCACCAAAAAUAGUUGAUUUACUGCCAAUCGACCGCCAAAGUGUUCACGGCUUUGGGAGCUCAAUCCGGUGCCUCCGUCGCCACCGUUGGAUUCAACGCGACAUGAAGCUUCUAUCCCGACCUUUCCCAUCACCACCGUAUGAAUUUAGAUCACCGUUGGUCGAGGAGAGCAUUUUAGUAAUUUUUUAGAAUUAGAGGGUAAUUUCUUAAAUUUUUGAUUUCAUGAAUAUUUCAGUGAUUUCUGAUUUGAGAAUAAGAAUCUAAGGGUAGUUCGAUAAAUUAUGAUUUUGAGGAUAAUUUGGCAACUUGUGAUUCUGAGAUUUCAGGGGCAUUCUAGUAAUUUAAAUUUUGGUAUUUUUGUAAUUAAUUAUUCAAAUUGAGAUUAAUUGAGGUUAAGUUUAGAGGGUGUUAUAUUGAGGAAUUUGAGAACAAUAGAGUUUAUGAUUUCAUAUGAUUUUAUCUUAUAGGAGUAUUUUUUAUUGAUUUUAGGUCGGUGAUAUCGAUACAUAUUUGUUACUUGAGGAUGCUAGAAGGUAAGUAAACUAGAUUUCUAAAUGAGUCAUAAUAAAUAAUAUGUACAUGUUUGACAUGUUUGAAAAGCUUAUUUUGAUAUAUACGGAUAUGGAUUUAUAUGCUCUGCCCAUGUGUUUAUAUGAUGUGUUAAUAGGAUGUAUUGUUAUGUGUUAUGUGUGUUUAUGGACAUGGACAUAUGUCUGUGUGUAUGUUUCAAUGGCAUUAGCACAAAAAUGUAUUAUGUUUUUUGUGAAAUGAGAAAGCGGAUUUUAGCCAAACGGAAUUGAAAGAAAGAAAAUCUUACACUAUGUAGUAGCAAUCCUUAUGAAUUUCCUCGAGGUGAUGAAUGUUUUCGUUAUUCAAAGCUAGGCCAUACAUUAAACCAAUGUCCAGAACGAAGACAACAAAUAGUCAAUUUGGAAACUAAUGUAGAGGAAAAUGGAAAGCCUAAGGAUGAACUAUAUAAAGACAAUGACGACAUAGAAAAGGAGGAAGAGUGGACAUAUUGAGACAUAUGAGUAUCACUAGUAACACAACAUUCGUUAUACACACAAAAGAAAGACGAAGACACUCAGAGACAUAAUAUCUUCAAAACAAGGUGCACAAUCAAUGAGAGGGUAUGUGAUGAUUAUUGACAGUGAUAGUAGCAAGAAUAUAGUUUCGAAGAUUAUAAUUGACAAGUUACAGCUUAAAACUCACAAACAUCCUUCCCCUUAUUGCAUUAGAUGGAUAAAAGAUGUUGGAGAGAUCAAGGUUACUCAACAAUGUUGUAUUCAUUUUUUCCAUCAGAAGACAUAAAGAUGAAGUUACUUGCGAUCUUGUUGACAUAAAUGCUUGCCAUUUGCUUUUCAGGAGACCUUGGCAAUUUGAUCUUAAUAUGGUACAUUAUGGGAAAGAUAACACAUACAGGUUCUAUAAAGACAACCUAGAAGUUAUCCUUGCUCCGAUAAAGUCAAAUGUCAAGGGAACUUAUCUUUUACUACAAAAGAGAUAGCUGAAGAAGAAUCGAUGCCUGAAUAAGUCCAAUCGCUACUCUCAUAAUUUCAGGAUAUCGUGCCUAAAGAGCUUCUUAACAAGUUACCUCCUAUGAGGAUUACCUAUGACUCAAAUUAAAAGAGAACUUCUAAUGGUUUGCCCUUACAAGUCUACUAUUUUUAGAAGAACCAUACUAAAAAACAAGAAGAAAUUGAAGUUUUAGUACUUUUGAGUUUUAAGAAAAGUUGAUGCAAAGUGCUACACUUUUGCAGUGCAAGAUCAAUUACUCCUUCAUUAAAAGAUUUAUCCUCUAGAUUGUCCUUUAUUUUCAGCAAAACUUGAGGACGAGUUUUUUUUUUCGAAGAGGAGCAGACUGAUGUUGUAACACUCCACUAAAAUAUCUAUUUUAAAAAUGUUUAAAACAUAGUUAAAUAUGAUUUCUAAAAGCUUAACACAACAAACAAAAUUUUCUUCAUAAAGUAAAAGUCAUACAGAGAUUUAAUAGUUUAUUUCAAAACUUGAUUAUUACAUAAAGCUAAUAUGUUUAAUUUUUAUUUAAACAAAGCUGAGCCCAUCUUAAAAUCCCAAGGUCUGUUAUGCCCAUAUGCACUUCGUCUUGCUUAGGACUUGGCGCCAGCUUGCCUUACUCAUCAUUAUCUGCAAUGUAAGGACUUUAUGAGCUAAUGCCCAAUAAGAUAAUACUUUUAUGAAUGUAUAAAUUAUGAUGCAUAUGGAUGACCAUCUUAAGCUUUUAAAAUAAACUUAAAAAAUACAAAACAACUUCAUUAGGGCCCUAGGUAUGUUGCACUACAAGGUUGGCACUUUUACUCUUUUAAACAAUAUGCCUUUGGGCCUCAUUAGUUGAUCUUUUAGGCGUUAUGUAUCGCCGUCCCCAAAAGAUUUUUUAUUAGUUAGCUUUAAGGGCUUGCCCUCCUUAGAAACUUUGCCACCUGGUGGUACAACCACUUAUUUUUCAUAAAUUCAUUUUCUGAAACGCCUUCUUCAUAAUGUAAUCCAUGAUAUGCAUGCAUUCAAUGCAAAUUAUGUCAUAAUAUUUGAAGUUCCUAAAUGCAUAAAAGAAUCAAUACAGAACACUAUUUAAGAACAAGAUUCUUUAAUACAGGUGGCACAACCGACCAUAACAUAAAUAAUUAUAAGUAUCACAGAUUAGGCGACAGAGCCGACCAUAACAUAACUAAGCAUCGUAAAUAGGCGGCAGAGUCGACCAUAACAUAACUUAUCAUCGUAGAUUAGGUGGUAAAGCUGACCAUAACAUAACUAAGCAUCAUAGAUUAGGCGGCAUAGCUGUUGGUUAAUUUAACUCGAUUGUUAUUGAUGUUAAUGUGCAAGUGUACACAACAAUUGUCAAUUUAUACAAAGUUGCUUGUAUUAUUUCUAUCUGUAGGUUGGGUUAAAGUUGAUAUGGAUGGUGUACAAAAUGAUAAAUUUCACUAUUAUUCAUUCAUAAUAAAGUUGAUUGACUAAUAACAUUAACAACGCAAUAAAGUAACGGCAAUAAUAAAGUAAACUGAACAGCUUGCACAAAUAAAAUUCAAUAAGGAUAAAGUAGUUGAAUGAUCAAACUCUCUUCAUGGGCUGACUGUUUUGUUUAGACUAACACCAGUUGGUGCAACAACUCCUAUAGCACUGGGCAGACUUAUGCAACCUAACAAUGACCAGUCGUUAUAUUACGAACAUAUACUCUCUUUACCCUACAAAGUGAAUCAUUAUAUCUAUGUCAUCACAAAUCUUAAUUCAAGUGUGGCCCUCUUGAGACUCAAGUUAAACUCAAUCUAGAAAACUUAAAUUAAGAUCAAAUAUUACUCUAAUAAUUUCCAUUGAGACAGACCCUUUUGUGGCUCUCUCUUAACUUGAACCAUUAAAUGAGAGGUCAAUCGAAACAAUGAUUGUAAUACAAGCUAUUAAAGCAAAAUGCUACAGCAAUGUUGCAGCAACUCAUAAGAACAGUCAAGAACCCAUUUAGAUCGUUUGUCACUCAUAACUUGUAAAAGAAAAACAAACAGCAAAGUAUCAGCCAUGAAAUACAUCGUUUUAAUCAAGGAGUAAGUAAGGGGGCAGUAAAGAAUGAUGAAAAUUGAAUCCAAAUAGUUCUAUAGAUUUCUUCAAUGGUGCAGACUUGUCUCUCUUGAAUUCUGCUCUUUCCUUAUUUUCUCUUGAUUUCUUCGAUGUUAAUUCACCGCCCCCUUUCUAUAUGAUGCGUGCUCCUUUUAUAAUUGAAAAUUAGAGUAAACGGAAGCCUAGGGCACGCAUGAGUCAGAUUAGAAAACUGCAGAUCACGAUUCUCCAAGUAUCCUACGUGGAAUUUUCUCUAUCAUUGUUCCAAGAUUGCUACAGCAAUAGCUACUACAGCAACGGCUACAACAACUGCACUGUUCCAGAUUUGUUUCAAGUCUUUUGUGGCUAAGUUCUUUUCCAUCUUUUACAAGCCGAUUGCAUCAGCAUUCCUUCCUUAAAACUUGAGCUUCCGAACACCUACAAUUACGCACACAAUCUAGGCACAAAUUAUUUUAAAUCAAACAAAAUUUAUUACGACUAAACUAAAAUGAAUGUUUAUGCGAAAUAUAACAAAAAUGCAAUAGAACACAACAUUUACUCUCUAAAUAAUAUCGAUUUAAGUCUAAAAGUGCAUUGAUAACUCUCAUUUCCUAGAGUUAUCAAUAGCCGACCAUAUAAGAAUUUAGAUUAUAACUAAUAACAUCAUAAUAGCCAUCACAACAUAAGGAAAUCGUUAAAACUGAAGUUAAGUAUGAAAAGAAUUUUGUCCUUACAUUGCAGUUGAAGUGUUACUUACAUCUUGGCCUUGACUUCUCUAGACAUUUCUAAAUUAAGGAUUUCUAUACACUUGAUAUUAUGACUUAGAAUAGAAUUCAAUUUUGGCGGGAAAUUAUUUAUGAUAGAAUAUAUGAUGGCUUUUCCAUCAUAAAGUUUUGAUUUUUUUCUAAAAUUAUAUUAUAAUUUAUUAAUGAAUUCCUGUUUACAAAUUUAAUUAAUUAAUAAAACAAAUAUAAUAAAAAACUUAAUAUCAAUUAACAUUCAUUCAAUCCAAAAAUUAAUUUAAAAAGAAAUACAUCUAAUAUCUAAUGUGAUCUCCACCAAUACAUAAUAAAACAUCCCAAAUUGAAAAAGUCAUCCCAAAAUAUAAAAUUGCAGUCAAAUUCCAAUCAAACUCUAAGAAAAGCAAUAAGAAUUCCGGCCACCAAGCCAAGUUACCCAACAAAACUUCCAAAGAUUAAUGCAAGUACUCCAACAAUAAGAUUUCUAGCAAGACUUCCUGUAAAAAUUCCAGCAACAAUAUCAUCUUUCGACAGCACUCUAAACGAAAAUUGAAACUUACAAAGCGACCUACAAGCUUCCUGUGAACAAAAUUGAUUCAAACACCAAGCAGAAUAAGGAAAAUUAAGAGGCUGCAAUACAUGUGGGCAUCAAAUAUAGUAAUCCAUUUGAUUUAAACUGACUUAACUUUUAUGGAAUGAGCAAAAUGUACAUACUCAAUGGAUUAAAAUUACUUUUAGUGAAUGGGAAUUCAUCAAAAUCAGCAAGCUAGCUAAAAAUGCAAAGGAAGCCACAACAAUAGACCAGUGUAAGGAGACAAAAAUAAAUCAUAAAGUCAUAAAAAGCAAUGGCAUCCAGAUCCAGCUGAACUGAUCAACCAAUGAAAAGGAAACCAAACAACCAACUUUGACAAGCUUAUCUCAACCAACAGCACUAAUUCUAGGCCUGUAACUUGCCUACGUAUUUAAAAUAGCAAAUAGUCCAAGUUUAACAUCAAUUUUGACAAGAAACACAACAAACAGAAAAUGUAACAAAAACCAAAUCAGAGGCUAAGCAACAUACUGCAGCCAUUAUGCCACACAAGAACAUAAAUAUUGCAAUUUGUAGUAGCCCUCCAAGAACAGCGACAUGUCCCACUGCUUUUAACUGCAUUGAUGAUGAAUUAUGGAAUUGGAACAAAUUUUAUGAACAAAGAAGGAAAAUGUUGUCAAUAAUUAUCAUACACUUUCCAAGCACAGAAUGAUUUACCUUUUGUCAAAGAAAACUCUAGCCCCAAAGCAAAAAGAAGGAAGACAACACCAAAUUGUGCAAAAGUUUCAACCUGUGAUGAAUGAAACAAAAAGGAACUUGUUACCUAGAAUAAUGAUCGCAAAAUAAACAGAAGAACAAAUACACCACAAGAAUCUCUACCAGAUAAUAACUAAUAGUAGUUUACUGAAUAUCUACCAAUUCACUUAGGCUUAAUGAGCUAAAUGAAAAACUUUUCAUCAGAAAGUUAAUAUCAUAAUGAGGGAUUGAUAGUUAAAAAACUGGAAAAGUUAAAGAGGAACAUAUUGUUUUUUUAGGCCAGGUUUUCUUCAAAAUCUCUUGAUGUGAAAGUUCUCAGCUUUCACAACAAAAAACUAAAUUUUGCAGUGAAGUAUUGUUGGACCGAUUACCAUAGGUUUUAUCAAAUCAUAACUAAAGCAGUACCAUAACCAUUCUCGAAUUAAUUUACUCACUCAGCAUUAUAUCACCUUUAUGCAUCCUUUUAUAUUCAUCCAGUAUACUUCCAAGAAAAUCCUGUCAAAAUAGCGUAUGAACUAAGUGUCCCGAUACACAUUACCAACUAGCCAUUAUUUAUUUGUUUAUUUUCUUUAGCAGUAACUAGAAUAACUAUAGCUAGAAGAAGAAAUAAUCAGAGUGCCAAUGCAUAAACUACAGAAUAUACAUUCUACACCAAGAAAUUGAUUAACUGAACUAUUUACAAUCCUGAAAUAACCCAAGGUCAAGAAACGGCUAAAUAUGCUUCAAGACCUGAAUCUUACUAGCCCAUGUCCAUAAAUUGUAAGCGAAAAUCAUUAAUAUAUUUUUAAACAGUACUUGUAAAAUAAGUGUUCCAAUUGUAACUUGACCAUGAAGAGCAUUAUUGCUGUUCUGUUCUACCAAAAAUUUCACCACCUAGCACAGGUAACAGGAAAAGCAUGAACCAGAUAGAAAUUCACAAGUGGAAGCCAAGAUGAAAAGAGGAAUUCGAUUGUCAAAAAAAUGGUGUAGAAGAAUACCACUGCAGUUGAUGACAUAUAUUACUGGUUUUUUUUUUUUUUACAAAAAGGCUUUAUAAUAUAUAUAUAAAAAAUUGAAAUAAAAAAACUAGAAAAUAAAAAACAAAGCAAAAUAAAACAACCAAAAACCUAAAUCCCCAAAUAACCAAAUUGCCUCCCUCAGCCGCCCUCUCUCUCACGCGAAGCAACAGCCAAAAACCUAAAUCCCCAAAAUCACUCACCCUACCAUCCGUGAAGCAACAACAAACAACAGCCGACAGGCACACCUUCACUGCCUCACACACCUAAACAACAAUUACAGCCAUCACCCAUCAACAACCCAGCAGCACGCGAUGCAGUAGCGACCCAACAGAAUCAGCAGCGUGACGUAGCAGCAGCCACUCCCACGCGACAUAGAAGCAGCCACUCGAACCCCGCGCGACACAGCAGCAAUAAACCCAGCAUUUUAAUACUACUAGCAAAAUGGUGUCGACAGCAAUGGGCUACAAUUUUUAAACAACAUUGCCGGCAUAGUUACAAUAUAAUUGAAUGGCGGCGAAAGGAUGGUGUUUUGCUCGGUCGAUUGAGUGCAAGGUUGAUUUCUAGGGUUUGGCCAUGAGAGAGUGAUGAGUGUUUGGGUGUGAGUGUUAGUGAUUUUGGGGCUUGGUGGGUCAAGACAAUAGUGUUUUUCUUUUCUCUUUUUUUCAUUUUUGAAUUAUUAAAAUGCACCUUUUUUAAAAAAUAAAAUAAAAUAUUAAACUUUAGGUCAAACAUAGUCAAAGUAAAUUUUUUAUCAUAAUUUCUUGAUAGAGAAAAUUUUUAUCACGAUUCUAUCAUAAAUUUGUGAUAAACAAUAAUUAUAUCACAAAACCAUCAUAAAUUUGUGAUAGAAAAUAAUAUUGUCACAAAAUCAUCAUUAAUUUAUGAUAGAUUGAAAAUUCUAUCACGAGUCUGUCAUAUUAUUAUGAUAUAAGUUGAAUCUGUCAUAAACUGUCUGUCAUCUAUUAUAUGUUUUCUUGUAGUGAUUCUCUACCGCCAGAACCUCCUCUAAUUUCUGGCGACAUCCCCACUAAUCAGCAGCCCUCACAACAACUAUUAACACUUCAAACCAUAAACCUUAGACUGCAACAAACCUUUCAAAAUAUGCUCCACGCUUUCGCCACAUUGCCUGCCUCAAUUGGUGGCGAUUACUUGCUGACGGAACCACCAUUGAACCUUAUGUACUCUAAACAACUGUCAGCAGCCUCUCACCCUCCAGCUGCCACCAAACCCCUCAGGCACCAGUACACACGAGCACAACCAAAACUCAGGCACCACUUAUUGCCCACCAUCUGUGACUCCUUUUACCGAGACAAAUCCCCCUAGUUGCCAUAUAUCUCACCAACACCUCGCUAUCUCCCCAUUGAACUUUUCAAGAUCAAAUAUGGUGGUAGCCGUUGUAGAUCCAAGAUCAGCUAAAUACCUAUCUCUGAUACCAGUUUGUUAAGUUCUGAACAAAAGAAAGUCUUUCCAAGAUUGAAUCAAACCAAGAAAAUAGAAACUUAUAUAAACCAGAACAACGAGCAAACAAGAGAUUAAAAGAAAAGGAAAGAAAAAUAACAAGAUCAUAUAACGUGGUUCAGCAACAAGAUGCCUACAUCCACAGUUGAAAUCAGGUCUGCUUUGAAACUUUAUUAGAAAGAUAUGAGUUAUAGAAGAUUAUUGAGAUUACAGAGAUUAAAUCUUCUCUAUUGAGAUUUUUUCUCCCUCUCUCACAAAGACUAUCAUAUCAUCACUCUCUUGACCACAGUCUGCACGCUGCAAUUCCUCUUAUAUAUCUCUUAAAGAGUAAAAGCAUGAGUUGUCAUACAUAAUAACGACUUUAACAGCAGAUGGUCCCACUAAUGCCAGCUCAGCACGCCACCUUAUUCACUCUUAAAAUAAUAUAACUACGCCAGGCCUCACAGAUUUUUAAUUAAAAAAAGCAUAAAAAUGACAGUUGAAAAAUCGAUCUAAAAUGGUAAGACAUGGGAAGUUUUCCGGAUAUUAAAAUAUGAAGAAUUUUCUCAUGAAGGGCCUUGCACUUCGAUCUUUUGCUGCCUCUUAACAUGUUGUGAACAGAGAGUGCUUCUGAGUGUCGCUCCCAUUUUACCAAGAUGAAAAAUUAGGGAGGAGCAGAGUUCCCGCAAAACAGCAUAGCUGUGAUAAGUCUUUCGCGUUGCAAUCCCGUAGUAAAAGUUCAUUUGUCUAUGACCACUUUCAUACCUCCUCCGGCUGGUGGCCUUUACUCAGGGGUGGCUUUAGGUAUAGGCGAACAAAGCGGUCGCCUAAGGUCCCAUAUUUUGUGAAGGCCAUAUUUUUUAAAUUUUUUUGAUAAUUCUCAUUUUUUUAAGUUACGUAUUUUAGGAAAUCAAAAAGCUUAUUAAUAUCUCUCUAAUUAUUAAUUAUCCUACAGUUAAGAAUUAAUUUUUUAUGAAAAAUCUAUAUUUGAUAACAUUAAUGUUAAAUAGAUAUAACUAAUAAUAUUAUUUAAUCAUUAAUUCAUUCAUUAUUAGUCUUUCAAAAAUAAAUUAAUUAAUUAUCUUUUCAAUUUCCUCAAAAAAAUUAAUUAUUUAAUGUUAGAAUAUUUGACUUUUAGUAUUUCUUUUAAUUUCCAUUAAAAACUUUGUAAUCUCAAAAAUCAGUAAAUAAAAAUUUUUUUUCCUCACUUCUCUAAAAAGAAAAAUAUUAUAUUCAUUGGUUCAUUUAAAAAAAUCAAUUUAUAGAAAUACAAAGUCCAUUUCUAUUAUCUGAUCAUUAAUUUAUCAUCUCAACUUUUUAUAUUCUAUCAUUCUAAAUAUCCUAUUUGAAAAUAAUAUUAUUUGUAUUUAUUUGAUUGUUUAUUUUGUAAUAAUUUUAAUGGAAUAAAAAAUGUCUUCUUAACUUUUUUUUUAGGUUUUAUUUUUAAAAUUCAAGAAUUACAAAUGAAAUAAAUUUUGAGCUUUUUUUUUUAUUUCUUUGAGUAUUGAAAUUGCAAAACAAAUAGAGGCCUCAUAAAAAAAUUUCGCCUAAGGCCCCAAACACUCUAAAGCCGGCCCUGCCUUUACUAUGCAUGUCCAUCAUAGUCCGAUAAGCAAGCAUAUAAAAUUUUAAUCCGGACUAAUUCGUCCAAUUUCCUCAUAACAUGCAUUACGCUCUCCAUAGCACCUGCUCUGCAGUAGGCAUAAAGCAUGCAAUUUAAAUCACAUUUGUCAUGCUUGACUUCAAAAUACCCAGCCAAUUUGCCUCUUCAACAUCAACCGGACCACCACGUCCUAGUUCUUCCGGUUCCCUCAAUCAACAUCAACCGUUGAUUGUACGAUGCUUUAAAUCCUAUGGUUAUUAUUUUUUUCCAUAUUUUUAAUUUCAUGGGGUUUAUCAAUGGAACUGGUGCGUAGUAGUCGUAGCCUUAAUUAAUUUAGAAUACUUUUGAGUUGCGUUAACAGGCAGCAGUCACAAUCAACUUCAUCGCUUUGUAAAUUUCCAUUACCACAGAGUCAACAGUCAGGCUCAUGAAAAGAAAUUAUUUGUAUUUUUCUUAUUAGCAUAAAAUAAAUAAUGAAAUAAAAAUAAAGAUUUUAAUAUUUGAAUUUUGAUUUAAGUCCUAACUUAUGUGUAGCUAGAGGCGAAGUUUUGAGAGGACUAGAAAGAUUGAACCCAAGUCUCUACCCUCAUAUUUUAUAAACACAGACGACAUUGUUGGAUAUUUGUUUCUAGAAAUGAAUAUGAUAAUAGAAGAUAAUUAAAAUGGACUAAUCCAACAAUUAGGCGCUCCUUCUUUAAGCUAACCCAAUAAUUUGGAACUCAUUUUUUUGUUAUAUUUACUUUUUUAUCCUUGUAACUUUUUUCUUUAAAUGCCACAGCUCUAAUUUCUAUCCUCAUUUAAUUUAAAUGGGUACGAUUUGUCAAAUGCGAUUUAAAUGGGUGGUGCAUGUAUACUGAAAGUAGCCCUUGUGCUUAGCAUGCUAUGAACCAUGCUUGAAUAAUCGAGUAUAACUGCAUCCAUCCUCAUCUUGUAGGAAUUGGAAUGAUCCUGACUUAAGAAUAUGCAUAUACUGACGACUUUUAUUCUCAAUAAAAGCAACAUAUAUAAAUAUCAUUUUCUUUUCAUUUAUAGACCUCGAUGAAUGGGGGAGUUUAUUAUAUUAUAGAAAAGCGAUCCCCCAAUAGAAAGAAAAGUCUGGCCAACAUCAACUGAAACUGCACUCUGGGAAUUCAUCAGCCUUUGGUGCUGUGAAAGCCAUGUGUUUGUCCUCCAAGGGCAUGGGCUGAAAAAGCCAUGUAGAAGCUACAUCCAUAGUCUCUUGGUUUUGAGCACCGUGCCCAUCUCCGUGUAGAUACAUAAAAUGGGACAUUCUCACAAGAUUCAACAUGAAGUCAACUGUAUUUUGAGAUAAGGGAGAAUCUUUAUCAGCUCUGUAUGCAUUCACCUUCUUCCACAUCUGUCUCAUCAUAUCCUUGAUGUGUUCACGAGCAACUUCCUCCGAGGCACCAGUUUCAUGCAUGUAACACUGGAUUGAUUUCGGAACAUCCCCUCUCUGUAUCUCAUCCUGAUGAAUUAUUGGGGAAAACAAUUACACAAUCAAUUCGUGUAUAGAGGAUUAAUUCAAUUUCUAUCUUCUUAAGAAUCAAAAGAAAAUAAAAGAAAACAUACCGACGAAGUUCCCAAAUCAUCUUGAAGACGAAAAAUCUUGCAUGACCAGCGAACGAAAUCUGGAUUGCUUUCUAGAAAUUCUAGUUCCUUCUGAAUGAUUGGAUUUGUACCAGAAAGGUACGCACUCAUUGUUACUAUAGGGCCUGCUAUUGACACCAAUCCAUUUUCCAAGAAUUCUCCCAGUGUUGGUGUGUACUUACUAUGGUACCAUUUCGCCUCCACUAAGCCGGCUUGUAUUAAGCCAAGCCACUGAUGCACAUGAAAUAGAAAAUAAAGCUAGUUACAAUUUAUUAUUUUUGAGACAAAAACAUCGUAAUUUAAAAAGGAUAAAUCAAAGGAACGGAACGGCGGGAGAGGCAAAAUUAACAUUUUACAUACUGAAUUUUUAAUACUCCGAAGCAUAUCAAAAUCCUGUUGUUUGAGUACGUAAUAAGCAAAUUCAUUAACAAAGUUGUAAAGCGCAAAAAACCACAAUUUCAUGUAGUCCGGAAGGUGGUUCAAAGCAUAAUGGAUGUCCCACCUGUAGAAAAGAGAAAAAAAAUAUUAUAAAUGGUCUACUAAUUUGAGUCUUGAGAAGUAGCAGGCACCUAGCUUGCAAUUGAAUCAAUCGAUUAAAUAUAACAUUAGUUUGCCAACAAACCUCUCAACAGCAGCAGUGAAUAGCUCAAGUUCGUCCAAAGUUCCAUAAACAUCAUAAAUGUCAUCAAUCACUGUAAUUAGAGCUAUUGCAAUUGUGACUGUUUGGGAGAAAUACGUCGACGAGACCAGGCAUGGUGAGCAGAUAUCUGAUGGCAGAGUUCUGCGAACCGGUGUGUUCCGUAAAAGCCUGGUGCGCGGGGGAACAGGAGCAAAAAUAUCCUGCUCGUCCACGAGCACGUCAUCCGCGAGGCAAAUUUCCUGUAAGAGGCAUAAGGCCAUUCCGGCUAGAGGUCGAGAGGCGAGGAGACCCGGUCGACGGCAGUAGGCAAGGCAUGCUCUCCAGCCCGAGAAUCUAGGCACGACAGCCACGCUUUCCCCAGAACCGUGGCGUAACACGCAAGAUCCCACGUUUGCCCAUAACGCAGCAGUCGGAGUCCCAUACCGUCCCCCAAAAAAGCGGAAACAAGAUCUCACAAAACCACGACAGCCACGCUUUCCCCAGAACCGUGGCGUAACACGCAAGAUCCCACGUUUGCCCAUAACGCGGCAGUCAGAGUCCCGUACCGUCUCGAAGAAAGCAGAAAACUGGGAUUCAAAGGAAGCCUAUAAAAAGGUAGCCAACGAAGGUAAAUGGGUUAGCAUUUUUGAGAUUAGAAAAGAAAUUCUAAAAGAGAGAAAACAACCUAACAACCAUAAGAUUUGUGGCAAGUGUUCCCCGAACCUUCAUAUCUGACUUGAGCGUCGGAGGGUUUGCGCCGGGAAAACAACCGGCGUACUCUGACCUGUCUGUGUGCGCAGGAACCUCUGGAGAAGAAGCCUUGCGAGGAGACCCCCUGGUCGUGAUGAAGUUGAUCGAGCAGAGAUCCUGGUCGUAGAACGAGGAGAACCGGAAUCUCGCAUCAACAUUUUGGCGCCGUCUGUGGGGACCAGAGCAAAAAGCUUCUGUUGAUAGCAAGAAGAGGGGUGAAGCAAGUGAAAAGCAAUGGAGACAGGAGGAAGUAGUGCACAAGGGGGUGAUAGGAGGCUUAACGAUUCCGUGACGCUGAGGGAGAUAGUCAGUGAAGCACGGGGAAAAGUCAUGUUCGACCGGAUGGAACGGAUGGAAAAGCAAAUGGAGACCUUGACAACCAUCCUGCAUGAGCUGCGGAGCGAGCGAAGGGUAACCCAAGAGGGAAGGGUGAGAGGCGGUGGAGUGGCACCAGGUCCCGAUAGUGCGGGGAGAAGUCAAACCACUGGGAGAUUUGGUGGUGAGAGAGGUAACGUACCUCUGCGGGGACAAUUUCAUAGAGAAAGAGAGCAGUCCCCGGCAAGACAGACUGGUGACGAGGACGACGGGGUGGUGAAUGCAGAGGAAACAGAGUUGAGGCAACACUUGCAUGAUGUAGAGCAAGAGUGGGAUCAAGUUGCAGCACGUGACCCUGGUCGUGCAGUGCAGCUGGAGGAGGAAGUGCGCAGACUAGCGCAGAUAAUUGACGACAUGCAAGGAAGGAACAGAGCCCCUGGUUGGAGGAUAAUGCUGGACGGAGAAUCACCGCUCGCAGCAGAGAUCAUGAGGGCAGUUAUUCCGAGAGAUUUCCGCCUCCCAGACCUCAGAUACUCGGGAAGAACUGAUCCGCUGGUGCACAUAGAGCGCUUCAACGACAUAACUGGGGUACAAGGAUUAUCUCAAUCCCAAAGGUGCAGGGUGUUCCCACUAUCCCUUGAGGGACGUGCACGAGAAUGGUACAGGAAACUCCCUCGGGGCAGCAUUAAAACCUUCGAGCAGAUGUGCCAGGAGUUCGCGGAGCAGUUUAGUGGGGCAAUGGCACCGGAAGAUGACAUGAUGGAGCUGAAAAGCAUGAGACAGGGGGAGCAAGAAACCCUUCGGGAAUUCAUCGAGAGGUUUCAUCGGACUGUCCUCGACUUGGGAGCCUUCAACCACCCUCAGGCGUUAAGGGGAUUGAAAGAAGGGGUGAAGAUAGGAAGGCUGUGGUACAAUUUGAGAAGCCCAGCUAUUCAAACGUAUGCAGCCGCAUACGAACAGGCUAAGAGAGACAUCGAGAUUGAAGAGGAGAAGGCUGCACGGAUUAAGAUAGACCAGUUAGAAGGGUUGGGGAGGAAAGAGAAGAAAGCAUUACCGGGGAAUGGGCUGAUCAGGAGAAGGGACCACCAUGCCUCCGGUAGUGGAGCAGGAGGUCGGGUAACCGCUUACCAGCCUCAUCAGAGGCCACCACAGUAUCAGCGCAGCAGGGCGCAACCUCCUCGUUCCCCAGCUAGGGAGCCUUGGAGAAGGCAUGAGUCGGCAUCUGGUGGUCUUCAUCAACAUCCCCACGGUAGCAGAGCGAGCAGACCAGAAAUACUUCCACCGCCCCCAACUCAGAGCGGGGCAAACAGAGAAAGAGCAGUGCACCUGAUCGACCAGAACCCGGACUAUGGGCGGUACACUUCCUUGAAGAUGUCCCUGGAUGAGGUGUACGAGGCCAUAAAGGAUCGAGGGCUGCUGCACCUCCCUACACCAAUAACAAAGCUACCCAACAGGAGGGAUAGAGGACGUUAUUGUAAGUUCCAUGGCACCCAUGGCCAUACCACAGCAGAGUGUAGAGAUCUCAAGACCCAGGUCGAAGAUUUGGUGAGAAAUCGGUACCUGGACGAGUUUAUGGAUGGGACUUUCCCGAUGGUGGCCACAACAGGUGAAGGGGAGCAGAGUGGUAGAAACUUGAGGCGCGAGCAGCCCGCAGUGAGGGUGAUAGCUGGGGGCCCAACAUUGGCCGGAGAUUCCAACAGAUCGAGAAAAAAUUAUGCUAGGUACGCCAUGACCAGUAAGAGGUACUCUUCAACACCCCAGCAGCCAAACGAGCAAGGGUCAGGCAAGUGCCAAUCAUGUGGACGGAUGAGGAUGAGGAAGGGAUUCUAUACCCCCACGAGGAUGCUUUGGUCAUCAAGGCUAUUGUCGCUAGCAAGAAGUUUGACCGGAUACUGAUUGAUACAGGGAGCUCAAUUGAUGUGUUAUUUAAGUCAACCCUGGAAGAGAUGGGAAUAGCCGACCGGAAGUUGGAAUACACCAAUACCUCCUUGAAGGGGUUCGGAGGAGGGAAGCUGGUCCCUCUGGGCGUGGUCGAGCUGCCUAUCACAAUUGGGAGCUCCCCGACAGAAAGAACAAUGGUACUGGACUUUGUCGUAGUGGAUGAGGAAGGUCCUUACCAGAUGAUCCUAGGUCGGCCAUUUUUAAGGAUGAGCAAAGCGGUGUUGUCCAACCAUUAUCUAGCUCUGAAGUACCGGGUGAAUGGGGUAGUAGGAGUGGUACGAGGAGACCAGAGGAUCGCAAGAAGCUGCUACUCCUCGGCAGCAAGGGAAGCAAUGCAGAUAACAUCCCUCGAUACCCGAGUGGAAAACAAAAAGGGCAGACAAGAACCUGUAGAGGAUCUGGAAACGGUAAGCCUGGGACCAGAGAACCCGGGAAAGACGAUCAGAAUCGGGUCGAGACUUAAGGGAGAGCAAAAGCAGGAGUUGGUAAAAUGCUUAGAGGCUCAUGCUGAUGUGUUUGCUUGGACACAUGAAGACAUGCCAGGGAUUGACCCUGAGGUAGCAUGUCAUAAGCUGGCAAUAAAGAAAGGUGCUCGGGCAGUAAGGCAGAAGAGGAGGUGCUUCAAUCAGGAGAGGUAUGAGGCUAUAAAUGGCGAGGUGGAGAAGCUCUUGAGAGCAGGGUUCAUUCGGGAAGUCAGUUACCCUGAGUGGAUAUCGAAUGUGGUGUUGGUAAAGAAGGCAAACGGCAAGUGGAGGAUGUGUGUGGAUUUCACAGACCUCAAUAAGGCGUGCCCAAAAGACAGCUUCCCUUUACCAAAGAUCGAUCAGCUAGUAGAUUCAACGGCUGGACAUGGUCUGCUUAGCUUCAUGGACGCGUUCUCGAGAUACAACCAGAUCCCCAUGUACGAGCAGGAUGAGGAGAGCACGGCUUUCAUCACUAACCAAGGUCUGUUCUGUUACAGGGUUAUGCCAUUCGGUCUCAAAAAUGCUGGGGCCACCUAUCAAAGGCUGGUGAACAAAGUCUUUAAGCCAUUGAUUGGGAAAACCAUGGAGGUGUACGUGGAUGACAUGAUCACCAAGUCCAAAAUCCCAAAGGAACACGUCAGACACCUCGAGGAGACAUUCGAGCUUUUGAGGAAGUAUAAGAUGAAGCUCAACCCGGAGAAGUGUGCUUUUGGGGUGGAGUCAGGGAAAUUCCUUGGAUUCAUGGUGAGCCAUAGGGGGAUUGAAGCAAAUCCCGAGAAAAUCCAGGCGAUUGUGCAAAUGACGUCUCCUCGUAACCUGAAGGAGAUGCAGAGCCUCACGGGGAGGUUGGCGGCGUUGAGCAGAUUCGUAUCCAAGGCUACAGAUAAGUGUCAGCCAUUCUUUCAAGUGAUAAGGAGGGGAAAGAAAACGGAAUGGACCCCAGAAUGUGAGGAGGCCUUCCGGAACUUGAAGCGAUACUUGCAGCAAGCUCCGCUGCUGUCCACACCGAGGGAGGGGGACAAGUUAUAUCUGUAUUUGGCGAUAUCGGAUCGGGCCGCCAGUUCUGUUCUGGUGAGAGAGGAAGAAGGAGUUCAGUAUCCGAUAUACUACACCAGCAAGUCCCUGCUCGACGCUGAGACCAGAAUCCCAAUCCUCGAAGAAUCAAAGGCAUGCAAAGGCUCGACAAAGUCUCAAAGCCUGUCUUAUGGCGAGACAGAAGCCAAGCAUGCCAGGAUCUGCUCGACCACGAGAAGGCGAGCAGACUCCAAAGCAUUCGAAGAAAUUCCUGAGGCAUGCAAAGGCUCACCAAGUCUCAAAGCCUGUCUUAUGACGAGACAGAAGCCAAGCAUGCCAGGAUCUGCUCGACCACAAGAAGGCGAGCAGACUCCAAAGUAUUCGAAGAAAUUCCUGAGGCAUGCAAAGGCUCACCAAGUCUCACAGCCUGUUUUAUGGCGAGACAGAUGCCAAGCGUGCCAGGAUCUGCUCGACCGCGCGAAGGCGAGCCGAAUCCCAGGCAUUGAAGAAUCUUCAAAGGCGUGUGGCAAAACCAUGAGCAAAGUCGGAACCUGCUCGUCUAGACAAAGACAAGCAGAUUCUCAAACGAAAAUCAGCUCAUAAUUACAACACAAGAAACAUUUUACAGCGCCGAAUCCCGAGGGUCUCAUAACCGUCGGUUUGAAAUUCAAAUGGAGGGGGGGAUUUCUGCCACGUCACCUCGUCCGCAAUUAAAUGCGACGUGAUUCUUGGCAGCCUUUUCCAAUCCCACGCGAGCGAGUACUAACGAGUUUCUACUGCUGGUCCACUACAUUACCCAACACCAGAAACUGGGGGACCGGUGUUUGGGAGAAAUACGUCGACGAGACCAAGCAUGGUGAGUAGAUAUCUGAUGGCAGAGUUCUGCGAACCGGUGUGUUCCGUAAAAGCCUGGUGCGCGGGGGAACAGGAGCAGAAAUAUCCUGCUCGUCUAUGAGCACGUCAUCCGCGAGGCAAAUUUCCUGUAAGAGGCAUAAGGCCAUUCCGGCUAGAAGUCGAGAGGCGAGGAGACCCGGUCGACGGCAGUUGGCAAGGCAUGCUCUCCAGCCCGAGAAUCUAGGCACGACAGCCACGCUUUCCCCAGAACCGUGGCGUAACACGCAAGAUCCCACGUUUGCCCAUAAUUAUAACCAGAAGGUGAACAUACGGCAAUUCAGGGUCGGAGACUGGGUACUGAGAAGAGUGAAUCAGAGCACCAAAGAUUCGACUCAAGGAGUUCUGGGACCGAAUUGGGAAGGGCCAUAUAGAGUCAAGCAGAUAGCGGGACCCGGAGCUUACAAGCUGGUUCGCACGGACGGCCACGAGGUGAAACGCCCAUGGAACGCAUCACACCUCCGAAAAUACUUCCAGUAAGACUUGUUCACAUUUGAAAGCUAUUUUUGCUCAUGCUCAUUAUCGUUUAUCUUUCACGCUUUAUGUCCAAACAAUUUCAUGUAAGUCGAAUCCUGCCAUUAAUGGAACGUCGAGGAAUUUCUUUCGCUUGAAACCGAGAAAAUUCCCAAGGCAUGCAAAGGCUCAUCAAAGUCUCAAAGCCUGUCUUAUGGCGAGACAGAAGCCAAGCAUGCCGGGACCUGCUCGGCCACGAGAAGGCGAGCAGAAUCCCAAUCCUCGAAGAAUCAAAGGCAUGCAAAGGCUCGACAAAGUCUCAAAGCCUGUCUUAUGGCGAGACAGAAGCCAAGCAUGCCAGGAUCUGCUCGACCACGAGAAGGCGAGCAGACUCCAAAGCAUUCGAAGAAAUUCCUGAGGCAUGCAAAGGCUCACCAAGUCUCAAAGCCUGUCUUAUGGCGAGACAGAAGCCAAGCAUGCCGGGAUCUGCUCGGCCACGAGAAGGCGAGCAGAAUCCCAAUCCUUGAAGAAUCAAAGGCAUGCAAAGGCUCAUCAAAGUCUCAAAGCCUGUCUUAUGGCGAGACAGAAGCCAAGCAUGCCAGGAUCUGCUCGACCACGAGAAGGCAAGCAGACUCCAAAGCAUUCGAAGAAAUUCCCAAGGCAUGCAGAGGCUCAUCCAAGUCUCAAAGCCUGUCUUAUGGCGAGACAGAAGCCAAGCAUGCCAGGAUCUGCUCGGCCACGAGAAGGCGAGCAGCAUCCCAAUCCUUGAAGAAUCAAAGGCAUGCAAAGGCUCAUCAAAGUCUCAAAGCCUGUCUUAUGGCGAGACAGAAGCCAAGCAUGCCAGGAUCUGCUCGGCCACGAGAAGGCGAGCAGCAUCCCAAUCCUUGAAGAAUCAAAGGCAUGCAAAGGCUCAUCAAAGUCUCAAAGCCUGUCUUAUGGCGAGACAGAAGCCAAGCAUGCCAGGAUCUGCUCGGCCACAAGAAGGCGAGCAGCAUCCCAAUCCUUGAAGAAUCAAAGGCAUGCAAAGGCUCGACAAAGUCUCAAAGCCUGUCUUAUGGCGAGACAGAAGCCAAGCAUGCCAGGAUCUGCUCGACCACGAGAAGGCGAGCAGACUCCAAAGCAUUCGAAGAAAUUCCCAAGGCAUGCAAAGGCUCGACAAAGUCUCAAAGCCUGUCUUAUGGCGAGACAGAAGCCAAGCAUGCCGGGAUCUGCUCGGCCACGAGAAGGCGAGCAGAAUUCCAAUCCUCGAAGAAUCAAAGGCAUGCAAAGGCUCGACAAAGUCUCAAAGCCUGUCUUAUGGCGAGACAGAAGCCAAGCAUGCCAGGAUCUGCUCGACCACGAGAAGGCGAGCAGACUCCAAAGCAUUCGAAGAAAUUCCCAAGGCAUGCAAAGGCUCAUCCAAGUCUCAAAGCCUGUCUUAUGGCGAGACAGAAGCCAAGCAUGCCAGGAUCUGCUCGGCCACGAGAAGGCGAGCAGCAUCCCAAUCCUUGAAGAAUCAAAGGCAUGCAAAGGCUCAUCAAAGUCUCAAAGCCUGUCUUAUGGCGAGACAGAAGCCAAGCAUGCCAGGAUCUGCUCGGCCACGAGAAGGCGAGCAGCAUCCCAAUCCUUGAAGAAUCAAAGGCAUGCAAAGGUUCGACAAAGUCUCAAAGCCUGUCUUAUGGCGAGACAGAAGCCAAACAUGCCAGGAUCUGCUCGACCACGAGAAGGCGAGCAGACUCCAAAGCAUUCGAAGAAAUUCCCAAGGCAUGCAAAGGCUCGACAAAGUCUCAAAGCCUGUCUUAUGGCGAGACAGAAGCCAUGCAUGCCGGGAUCUGCUCGGCCACGAGAAGGUGAGCAGAAUCCCAUUCCUCGAAGAAUCAAAGGCAUGCAAAGGCUCGACAAAGUCUCGAAGCCUGUCUUAUGGCGAGACAGAAGCCAAGCAUGCCAGGAUCUGCUCGACCACGAGAAGGGGAGCAGACUCCAAAGCAUUCGAAGAAAUUCCUGAGGCAUGCAAAGGCUCACCAAGUCUCAAAGCCUGUCUUAUGACGAGACAGAAGCCAAGCAUGCCAGGAUCUGCUCGACCACGAGAAGGCGAGCAGACUCCAAAGCAUUCGAAGAAAUUCCUGAGGCAUGCAAAGGCUCACCAAGUCUCACAGCUUGUUUUAUGGCGAGACAGAUGCCAAGUGUGCCAGGAUCUGCUCGACCGCGCGAAGGCGAGCCGAAUCCCAGGCAUUGAAGAAUCUUCAAAGGCGUGUGGCAAAACCAUGAGCAAAGCCGGAACCUGCUCGUCUAGACAAAGACAAGCAGAUUCUCAAACGAAAAUCAGCUCAUAAUUACAACACAAGAAACAUUUUACAGCGCCGAAUCCCGAGGGUCUCAUAACCGUCGGUUUGAAAUUCAAAUGGAGGGGGGGAUUUCUGCCACGUCACCUCGUCCGCAAUUAAAUGCGACGUGAUUCUUGGCAGCCUUUUCCAAUCCCACGCGAGCGAGUACUAACGAGUUUCUACUGCUGGUCCACUACAUUACCCAACACCAGAAACUGGGGGACCGGUGUUUGGGAGAAAUACGUCGACGAGACCAGGCAUGGUGAGCAGAUAUCUGAUGGCAGAGUUCUGCGAACCGGUGUGUUCCGUAAAAGCCUGGUGCGAGGGGGAACAGGAGCAAAAAUAUCCUGCUCGUCCACGAGCACGUCAUCCGCGAGGCAAAUUUCCUGUAAGAGGCAUAAGGCCAUUCCGGCUAGAGGUCGAGAGGCGAGGAGACCCGGUCGACGGCAGUUGGCAAGGCAUGCUCUCCAGCCCGAGAAUCUAGGCACGACAGCCACGCUUUCCCCAGAACCGUGGCGUAACACGCAAGAUCCCACGUUUGCCCAUAACGCAGCAUAACGCAGCAGUCGGAGUCCCAUACCGUCCCCCAAAAAAGCGGAAACAAGAUCUCACAAAACCACGACAGCCACGCUUUCCCCAGAACCGUGGCGUAACACGCAAGAUCCCACGUUUGCCCAUAACGCGGCAGUCAGAGUCCCGUACCGUCUCGAAGAAAGCGGAAAACUGGGAUUCAAAGGAAGCCUAUAAAAAGGUAGCCAACGAAGGUAAAUGGGUUAGCAUUUUUGAGAUUAGAAAAGAAAUUCUAAAAGAGAGAAAACAACCUAACAUCCAUAAGAUUUGUGGCAAGUGUUCCCCGAACCUUCAUAUCUGACUUGAGCGUCGGAGGGUUUGCGCCGGGAAAACAACCGGCGUACUCUGACCUGUCUGUGUGCGCAGGAACCUCUGGAGAAGAAGCCUUGCGAGGAGACCCCCUGGUCGUGAUGAAGUUGAUCGAGCAGAGAUCCUGGUCGUAGAACGAGGAGAACCGGAAUCUCGCAUCAACACUUCUGUAAAAGGCGGAGUUUGCACCUAAGAAUAAUUUAAUAUACAUGUGAUUAAAUUGUACAAGUUAUGUAAAUUAUAAAAUCAAAUCUUUGAUGUGUGUGUGUGUGUGUGUGUCUGUCUAUAUAUAUAUGAGUUAUGCAAUCAAAUGGAUACCCUGAAAUGUCUUUAAGUUCUUCCUGGUAAAUUGCCUGCAAAGUGUUAAACUCCAACUUAGCGAGCUCAAGUAAAAGGUGGUUCUUGUCCUCUCUUUUCUCAUAAACGUGUAUGAACCACCUUGCCUCCAACAUUGGGACUUUCCAAUGCAGAGGGAGCUCCACUGCACGCUUCGCUUGUUCUGCGACAAAUACAUGCUCUUCCUGAUCAUCACGUCUUUAAGAUGUUUACUGGUAAAUUGCCAGGCCUCCUCCAUGAUGCUUUCUCCUUCUAAGCUGUAAUACGAGGCUUUGUGCAAGCUCAGUAUUCCCUUGAAAUCAUCACAAAUGAAGCCUCCCUGGUCGUCUUUUAAACCAUUGAAAACCUCUGCAGCACUCAACCAAGAAACGUUACAUUCGUCAAAAUUUUUGAUACAUCUAUUAAUUAGAGAGAUAGAGAAAAAAAACUGAUUUGGGUUUCGCCCAUUUCUUUACAUUUAAAAAAAAAAGAAAAAAAAACAGAGAGAUCGAUUCAAGUAUUCAGAUCAUGCAUGUGCAUGAUCUGAAGGAAGCGAAUUAAUGAAAUAUACCUUGAGAAACAGGAUAGCCAUGUUGUCUAAGUAGUCUGAAUUCAAGGGAGGUUACAUACAGAUUUUCUUUUCUCCAAUUAUAAUCUUUAUUAUUGUUGUAGAUAUUAUUCAAUAUGUUCCUAAUCUCAGUCUCAAAACGAUAAGCCAAUCCAAGUCUUUGCAAGUUAUCAAUCAGCUCCAACUGAUCCAGAGGCUCGAUUACAUCUUUAAUCGCUAUCUUCACUUUUCCCUUCAGCUCUUCUGCUCGUCUUUUGCAUGCUUCAUCCUGUACACGCACAGCAUUUAGUUUUUAGUUAUUCAUGGUCCCAAUUUGAAAUGAACAAAGGAAAUUAAUACGUAAUAGUAAUAAUCAAUACCGUAUACUUGCUAUUCAGCCACUGCAAAAAAUCAUGGUCCCAAAUUGAAGGUUGGUAGUUUGCUGAUCUCCUAUCAACUGUCAAAUUAUCAUAUUUGGCGCUGACAAGGCAUUGGACUGGCUUAUUUUUGGCCAUGAUUCUGAUGGCUGCUUUAUUUGUUGUAAGAGGAAGACAUUUGAAACCAUUUACAGAGGUAACCAAGGUUGAGGGAUUAAUGCAAGAAGACAUUGGAUAUACAGAUGUUGUGUAAGCUAGCUUACUGUCAAAUUAUAUAUAUAUAUAGGCAGAGGAGAAGUUCAAGUGAUUUAUUUUUCGUGCUCAUUUUUUCUGAGUUUUGAAAGCGUUUAAUUUUUAAGUCUUAAUAGUACAAAGGUAUUUUAUUCAUUUGGGGGAAAAAAAAAGGAGUACAUCAUACUGUGCGAACGAGGUCAUUAUUGUACCAGAAGACACAUACAUCAUCCAUAUAUUCGGAUGAAUGUUGUAUAAUCUUUAUUUAUUUAUCUUUUUUUUUUCCUGCAUACAAAUUUUUUAAAGAGUCUUUCAAUAAACUACACAAUAAAUGCACGCAGAAAUGACAAGAAAUUCAUAAAUUCAAUUCUACUAAUAAAAGUUCUAUUUAUUACAUUAAAAUCUUGUUUUAUGUAGAAAUAAGAAUAUACAAAGUAAAUUUAAGGGAAAAAAAAGGCAUACAAAGUUGCAAACAAUAUCUUAAUGUUGAGCACUAACAUCAAAAUUCUAUCUGUUACAGUUAUAAAGUACUUUUGCGGAAAACAAAUUAAUAAAUUUCAAAGUGAUUAUCAACAAAAAGUUGAUUGGAGAUAAUGGAUUUUAAUAUAUUGUAGAUUGUGAUCAUUUGUAAUAAUUUCAAAAAACUUCCAUUUAACAGCGGUUGGUGAAUGGGUGUUGUAAAAUAAUUUUAAUAUUUGACAACAAGCGAAAGAAUGUUGUUAAAAACUCUUCAAUAGAUGUUCAAUCUCACAACGUUCUACAAAAGCGCGUUGUGAAAAAAUUCUAAUAAUUGACAACUAGUGUAAAAUCGUUAUAAAUUUUUAAUCCCAUUCAAUCCAUGAAUUAGUAAAAUUAAUCUAAAUUCAAUUCAUAAUUCUGCAGAUUAGAAGUGGAUUUGAUACAAUCCAUAUUCAUUCCACUUUUGCGAAUUCGAUACGGAUUUAAAAAAAAAUUCUUUCUAUUCAAUUCAUAAAAUAAUUAAAUAAAAAUUUUAAUUAUAAAAAUAAUUUUACUGCAUGCCAAUCAAAUUCAAAUUUAAACAAGAUCUAAAUAAAUCAAUAGUUUAAAUACGGGUUUAGGAAUGCUAUGUUAAUAGGGUCUUUAUACCGCCACCCCAACAUCUAUUAAAUCAAUCAACAUACGUUUUGAAACAAAUAUAAUCCGGAAGCCAUAUACCAUUUCAGCUUUACUCCCUAUUCUCUCUUAAAUAAAACUAUGAAAACACUGGAGUAAUUGGUUUCAGCUUCGGUGUAGGAUAGGUUGGAGGUGAUGACACGCGACGACAGCUACUGAAAGACUAUUCGUUUUUUAAGAUGCCAUUCAAAGUUUCGAACUUUAGCACACCAAAAUAAAAAAUCCUGAUGUUUCUGGAUCAGUGGAUGAAAAUCAACUUAAGUUUUAGAAUUAAAUCAAUACAAAAGUUGAAAUUUGAAAGCUUAUAUAAUUAAUUGUUGUCAACGUCCACCCUAACUAGAUUUUAACCUAUUUACUAGUAGUAUAACAUUUUUAAAUUUUAAAUUCUUUAAAUUAUAUACACACACGGAUUUGCUGAUUUUCAGGGAUUUGGAGAAGCAAGUCCAUUUCAUCAAUUGUCGAUUUUAAAAUUUUUCAAUCCAUCUAAUCUGUCAAUUCAGCUCUUCUGCUCGUCUUUUGUAUGUUUCAUCCUGUACACGCACAGCAUUUUGUUUUUAGCUAUUCAUGGUGCCAAUUUGAAAUGAACAAAGGAAAUUAAUAUGUAAUAAUAAUAAUAUUGAAUACCGUAUAGUUGCUAUUCAAUGACUGCAAAAAAUCAUGGUCCCAAAUUGAAGGUUGGUAGUUUGCUGAUCUCCUAUCAACUGUCAAAUUAUCAUAUUUGGCGCUGACAAGGCAUUGGACCGGCUUAUUUUUUGCCAUGAUUCUGAUGGCUGCUUUAUUUGUUGCAAGAGGAAGACAUUUGAAACCAUUUACAGAGGUAACCAAGGUUAAGGGAUUAAUGGAAGAAGACAUUGGAUAUACAGAUGUAGUGUAAGCUAGCUUACAGUUAUACUUGGCAAAGAUUCUCAAAUUAUUCUAUGGUUUGUGGUGAUGUUCGAGGUUAUAUAUAGGCAGAGGAGAAGUUCAUGUGAUUUAUUUUUCUCACUCAUUUUUUCUGAGGUUUGAAAGCGUUUAAUUUUUAAGUUUAAUAGUACAAAGGUGUUUUAUUCAUUUGGGGGGACCCACAAAGGAGUACAUCAUACUGUGCGAACGAGGUCAGUAUUGUGCCAGAAGACACAUACAUCAUCCAUACAUUCGGAUGAAUGUUGUAUAAUCUUUAUUUAUUUAUCUUUUUUUUUCCUGCCUACAAAUUUUUUAAAGAGUCUUUCAAUAAACUACACAAUAAAUGCACGCAGAAAUGACAAGAAAUUCAUAAAUUCAAUUCUACUAAUAAAAAUUCUAUUUAUUACAUUAAAAUCUUAUUUUAUGUAGAAAUAAGAAUAUAAAAAGUAAAUUUAAGGAAAAAAAGGCGGAUUCACCGAAGUUGCAACAGUUGCAACGUACCAGGAUUUUUGUCUUUUUGUGACUUCAGCUCUUCACCGUCCGAUUUAAUGAAAAAGCAGCGUCUAUGGUAAGGAUGUGUCUGUUUGGUAAUUAACGUUACGGUCCCUAUUUUUUUGAAAAUUCAACAAAGUUAAAGAGUUACAGCUUUUAAUGCACAAGUCUGAAUUAUCUCAAAAUUGUAAAUAAUUAGACAAUUAAAAUUAGGAGAAAUUUCAUUAACAUUUUCAUUGUUAAAAAUAAAAAAUAAAUAAAUUUAAUUUGUGAAUAAAAUUAAAAUUUAAAAUAUUAAAAAUUAUUUCAAAAAUCAUUUCCAAUUUCUUCAUCUUAUCCAUCUCAUGUGCCAUGAAGUGGAACCGAAAGUAAUUACAACAAAUAAUCAUAGAAUGAAAUAAUAGAUAUCGUCAAUUUAAGUUAGUAAAGCAUUAACCAAUUACUCCUUUCGUUAGCCUAAACCAUUAAUUUGGUUUAGUACCUAGAGGCUGGAACUUCAACAUAAAAUAAUUAAAAAAAUGUAAUUCCAGAUUAUUAAUUUAAGUUUCAACCUAAAUUGUAGUGAAAUUUCCCAGUUAUUACUAUUUUUUAUGAUGUUAUAUUAGUAUGUCAAUAUUUAAUAUUCAAAAUAGUAAGAAUAUGUUUAACAUAUUAACAUUUACAAAAGAGUAGAAGAAUAAAAUUCAUAAUUAUGAUACUUCAAUUCUAAUCAAAUUAUAUUGAUAUGCAUUAAUUCAAUAAGCCUAUACACCUAAAUAAGCUAAAUACUAGGAGCUUUACUAUUCCUAAGUUAUACAUUGUAGAUUAUUAUAACAGUCAUAGAUUAUUAUAACUUUUUUAAUUAACAUAACAUUCUCAAACAGUUAAUUAAAACUCUUUUGCCAAUUAAAGUUGGUAGAAAAAAUCGAAUCCCAAAUCCCGUACCAAAUGGUACAUGAUACGGUAUAUGACUUAAAAAAUAUUUAAAAUAAAUAGAAAUUUGAGAUUAAAUUUAUUCUCAUUAAAACUCGGGACUAGUCAGGACUUCAAUUGGGAUCCCGAUGGAAUCCUAAUUAUACCAAAUUAUUUUAAUUUUCUAAUUUAAUUAAAAUGUUAAAAAAAUCAUGCACAGCUUUUAGCUUUUAGUUAUACACGAUUGCAGAGAAUUCAUGGUCCCAAUUUGAAAUGAACAAAUUAAAUUAAUGUGUAAUAAUAAUAAUGAAUACCGUAUAGUCGCUAUUCAAUGACUGCAAAAAAUAAUGGUCCCAAAUUGAAGAUUGGUAGUUUGCUAAUCUCCUGUCACCUGUUAAAUUAUAAUAUUUGGCGCUGACAAGGCAUGGGACUGGCUUAUUUUUGGCAAUGAUUCUGAUGGCUGCUUUAUUUGUUGCAAGAGGAAGACAUUUGAAACCAUUUACAGUGGUAAACAAGGUUGAGGGAUUAAUGCAAGAAGACAUUGGAUAUACAGAUGUAGAGUAAGCUAGCUUACAGUUAUACUUGGCAAAGAUAUUUUUCUCCAUUUCCUUUGAGAUCAAUUUCAAAACGAAAGAGUUCAGCAGCUUUGCACGAAAACUCUGGAACACUAGUGAUUAAGCACUUGCGAUUAAACAAUUGUUUGUUAAUGUUUACACAGUGCGACAGAGGAGCCUGCCACCUCACUACACGUUAGUGUAGCACAUGAGAAACCUCCGUUUGAAAAAUUAGACUAGUUGGUAGCGGCCGUGCCCGGGAAGCCUCUCUUCUUUGACACAAUAUGACACAAAUUAUUAACAAUCAAAUCACAAUUUUGAUAAGUUUCGUGAAAUAUAAAAAUAAUAGAAAUACAGAUGAUUAAAAAUUUGUUAAAG